Molecule: long non-coding RNA, 171705 nt
Filed under: Lactuca sativa (garden lettuce)
Lineage: Eukaryota; Viridiplantae; Streptophyta; Magnoliopsida; Asterales; Asteraceae
Description: long non-coding RNA (LSAT_LNC001797)
Source: RNAcentral
AUGGGCCAAAAUGUAUAAAAAAAUAAAUUUGAAAAAAAAUAGUUAAGGGGCAAAUAUUUGAUUUGGAAGUUGGGUGGUUCUAAUUUUGUGUUGAUUUAGGUUGGAUUAAUGGUAAGCAAAAACUAAAUCGCAGGAAAAAAAUUCAAAGAAAAAUCGUGUAAACCAAAACAAGUAUGAUUUCUAGUUUGAAAAAACCGAAGUUUUCGUUGCGAUUUAGUUUCUAGUUUUGUAAAAACCACAAAAAAACUCAACCACAUCAGCUUGUGAUUUAAAAAUAGCUUCCGCACAAAAUAAGAAAAUCUCUCUCCAACGCAUAAAUGGUUGGGAGUUCACGUUUUCGUCAUCUUUAGUAAAAUCAAGGCCACCAUGAAGACAUUCAUAAACAACUCUACUAUAGUUUUUAGCGGAUAACCUCAAUUUAGGUUUAAUAGUACAUCCCAACAUGGGACGACCAUACUUGUUCAAUUUAUCUCUCUCAACUUGGAUGUCGUGAGGCGAACCUUGAAAAGUUUUAACAUACGCAGUAGAGAUUCGCAAAUCUUCCAGACGUAGAGAACGCAGGUCUUUGAACCCAAAUACAUUACCUACAAUGGUAGUAAACAUGUUAGUAACAUAACCUUCUUCAAAAAGGUUUAAUGGGUAAGCUACGUAAACAAUAUAUUGAUUUUCUUCUCCAAGAACAGGCUCGAUUCCAUAGCAUCGCCCUUUGUAACGAUCAAGGCUCGUAAGUCCAUCGGUCCACACAGUUGUCCAUGUACCAGUAGAAGAUUUGGCAGCUACUGCGACCCUGCUUCUUCAGGCGGAACUCUAGGUUGAGGAGUUACUCGAAAUGCUACCAAAAUAUCAGUAUCCUUGGUUUCAUACCCAGGAGUAUAAUAAGUCAAUUUAUAAUUUGAAUCCAACACUUGCUUUAGUCUCUGUUUGUGGUGACAUAAAUCCCUCCCUACAACUCAUGAAUUAAGAAUUCUCACAACAACAAUGUCUAGUCGACAUGAAUUAGGCGUUAAUGAAACUUUUUAUAGGAACCUUUCACAAAAUUCCCAACUAAUAGUAAAAUUAUCAACUAAUCAGAAUGCUUGAUUAUUAGACCAUGGUAUUUGAUUCGGCAAAUACAUCAUUAUUGUAUACUCUUUCAUAUAUAUGGCGCAACCCAAUUCUUAUUUAUUUAUUUUUUGAAUCGAAAUAACUAAAAAUCACCCAAAUACUAAGAAAUUCCCUCUUGACAGUGAUAUAUGUUGUAAGUGAUGUUGUAUAUGUAAAUCCUAGAUGUGAAAAUAUGUGGAAUUUUUCUAUGAGAAGGUAAAAAAAAAAAAAAGAACNUAUAUAUAUAUAUAUAUAUAUUAUAACAUCCAUAAAUUUUACGCCAAAUUUAAACUUUUCCAAUCAUAUAUAAAACCCAAUGGUAUUGUUUACAGAAAAUGUUUUCAAAUUAUUAUUCAAUCAGAGUGUCCCAAAAGCCAGGUCAUAAGGAUGAGGAGCGGUACGGUCACGCCUUUGUUUUGCCAUGAUCUCCUGAAGUACCUGAAAUAAUAAUUGUAAAUUGUAAGUCUGAGGGCUUAGUGAGCUACCCCCAAAAUACCAAUACCACACUGAUAAUAUCAUAUCAGUAAUAAUCAAUCAAUCAACAUGCAUACUGGGCCAUCGGCCUGACUGGUCCGCCCUACAGGGCCUACAGUUUAACUGAAUCUAUACCGAGCAUUCGGCAUGACUGGACCGCCACGUGGGCCUACAGUCUCCCCGGACCGCUCAUAGGGUAUGUUGACCUUCAGCACAAAGCAGGACCGCCUCAACCCAACCAACGAGCAAAUAAUCAUGUGCGCAUAAUAGGGGUGAGCAUAAGCGGGUACCCGCCUAAUUUGACUGGAACCGGAACCGGUCUAAGCGGUUCUUAAAUUUUUAAAACCGGUCCCGGAACCGGCGGUUCCGGUUCUGAUGUCGGGUAACCUGGUUAUGUUUAUUUUUUUUUUAAAUACGACAUAUGAAAUUUAUUCAUUACAAAUGACAAAAAAUUGAGUGUCUUAAAUGACAAAAACUUAGUCGCUAAUCAUUCAAAAAUUAGAUGACAAUAAAAAGAAAGCAUUUAUCGAAACACAAAUUUAUAUGUGUUGUUUUUUCAUUGUGAUAUCGAACAGUUGUUGAUAUACUUGAAUUACGAGGACUAAAAAUACUCAUGUCAAAUUGUCUAUUAUUAUCGAAAUCGACUAACGAUUAUGUUAUAACGGCAAAUUUAAAAUGAAUAAAAUAGAAAAGUGAUUUUAUUAAAGAUGUAAAUGGAGGAAAAGACGAAAAUCAAUGUGACCGAGAAUUAAAGCAGGAAAAUAGUUAUAUGGAAAAUAUAGGAUUAUCUAAAGCGCAUAGUUUUAAGUUAAAACGAAAUAGUAUCGGAAGUUAUAUAUAAAAAUGCAUAUAUCAAGGCGGUUCUAACGGGUAUCCAGCGGGUAACAGUUCCGUAAAUAUGAAAACCGGAACCGGUUCCAAUCGGUUCCAUAUCUUGCGAACCGAAACCGGAACCACUUAGGCGGUUCCGGUUUUGGAACCGGCGGUUCUUAGACGGUUUCGGUUCCAAAGGCGGGUAACUGGUUUUGCUGCUCACCCCUAGCACAUAACCAACAUAUAUUGGCAUAUACAGACAUCAUAUAUAUAUAUAUAUAUAUAUAUANNNNNNNNNNNNNNNNNNNNNNNNNNNNNNNNNNNNNNNNNNNNNNNNNNNNNNNNNNNNNNNNNNNNNNNNNNNNNNNNNNNNNNNNNNNNNNNNNNNNNNNNNNNNNNNNNNNNNNNNNNNNNNNNNNNNNNNNNNUGAUCAUCAAUCAUAGCAAUCUUUCAUAACUAGAGCACCGACCCAGCAAGUCACUAACAUACCAAUCCCUAAGGAUCAUAAAAACAUAACAUACUGUCUAUCCUGAUUCCGAUCUAUCAGAUCAUAAUCUCAUACAUAUCAUAUCAUAACCAUAACAACUAAAGGGUCGGCAUUGGUGCCUUAGACCCUUUUGAUACAGUGAGGAUGACUCACCUUGCAGACGUCGACUCGGUAGAUGAACUCCAACUCUCGAAUCACUGCCAAAAACUCCACCACCUAUUACAACAAUACAAUCAUACCCAUCAGUUCUCAACCUUUCAAGGUACUCCAUAAACAAACUAGUCAACCCUUAGUCAAAGUCAAAGUCCUCAGUCAAGGUCAACAGUCCAUAUUGACCCUUACUCGACGAGUACCCUCGGCUACUCGCCGAGUUUCUUGAAGUACUUGCCCACUCGCCGAGUCACCGGAGUGACUCGUCGAGUUCCUUUGGUUUACGAUUGAACCCUAAGGCCACUCGUCGAGUUUCCUUCUUGCCACUUGUGACAUCCCCAUUUUCACGGCCAGAAAAGACCGAUUUGUUUAUGCUUUGUUUUUAAAAUCAGCGUAAUCGUUUAAAGAAAACGGUUGCGGAAUUUGUUCCCAAAACAAGAUAUGAUAAUAACUUAUCAAAACAUUUCUCAAAGAGAAUGUAUUUUCAUUUAAUAAUAGAACCUCAGGAUGUCAUGUUCCGAUACAAACAUAUAAGCAUAAACAGAACAUACAUUCAUUUACUCUAGUGAUUUACAUCUCCUUUAAUCUCUCAGUGCAAAGCAGCUUCGUAUCGAUACCUGUGAUACAAUUAAAUUGAGUGGGUCAGGCUUGGGAGCCUGGUGAGCAUAUAGGGUUUUCAACCCACAAUAAUAUAAUUAUUAUAUUCAAUCAUCAAACAAUCAACCCAAUUACCCAUCCUCAUUAUCUUCGUUUAUCUCUUAAGUACCUUCCCUAAGGGAUUAUCCUAAGGGUCAUCUCCUACAUCGUAUUUACCUCUCAUCUCCUUACAUCACAUUUCCUUAUAUGUUUAUUUCUAAGGAUCAUCGCAUGAAUAGGUAGUCACAACAUCGCCUGGACUAGUAAUUCAUAGUAAGGGUUAGACUAUCAUCGCAUGAAUACGCAACCACAACAUCGCCUGGACUCGUAAUUCAUCACCUAGGGGUUAGAGUAUCAUCGCAUGAAUACGUAGACACAACAUCGCAUGGACUCGUAAUUCAUCACCUACAGGUUAUGAGCAUGCUGGUGUUUCCACGGGGUCAUCUAGAAUAGUCCAUGGUCGCCAUCUAUACUCUGGUAGAUGACUACAUCACCAAAUUUCCACAUCGCGGGUCAAGGUUAUGGUAUCUCCUCUCAUAUCACAUCACCUAUUUAUCAUCACCUAUCUAUCAUCACCUAUCUCUCAUCACCUAAUUAUCAUCACCUAAUUAUCAUCACCUAUUUCUCAUCACCUAAUUAUCAUCACACAUCAUCUAAUUCAUCUGCCCAUGUUCUGCCCAACAUAUUUGUAGAUAUAAAAUACAUAUACAGAUUAACUCAUUUAACACCUAUGUAAAACAUCCAUUCCACACUCAUCUCAAAUAAACAACAAUAUAUAAACACAUAACAUGUAUUUCAUAGCAAAUACUUCAUAUAUUUAUGUUAGAAGAAAAUAACCACACACUCACACAUAUAAACAACAAUAUAUAUACACAUAGCAUGUAUUUUAUAAAAUACGUCAUAUCUAUGUGUAAGAUGAAAGUAACUACACACUCACCCAAACAUAUACUUAAUACAUUCAAACAAUACUUGUAUUAUACCCGUGUUUAUGAAAGGGACUAUACACCCACACAUAUAAACAACUUUAUAUUAUACACAUAGCACGUAUUUCAUAGCAAAUACUUAAUAUUUAUGUGUUAGAAGAAAGUAACUACACACUCACUUGAUCAGAAGAUGAUCGGACAGCACUACAGCUUGUAGAAGUAGUAUUCUUCGGCAGAUCUGGAAGAUCUUCACAAAAACCGGACUCCUCGCGGGCAGAGCUUCGGCUCGGGAAUCUUACUUCUCGGGAUCUUCGGGACCUCGGGACUUGCUUCGGGGCUCGGGAAUGAUACCGGGGCUUCGGGAUAAUUCUUGCACGAAAAACGAUGCAAAAACGCGAGAAAAAGGGAAGAAAUGAGCAAUGAACUCGGUUGCCCUCGACCUCCUUUUAUAGGGGCUGGAACUUCAAAUUACGUUGGGCGUAAUAUGAAAUUACGCUGGGCGUAAUGACGAUAGGGUCGCUGACUCCCCCCAUGGAUAAUAUCGGUUAAUAUAUAUUUAAAUUAAAUAUCGAAAAUAUUUAAUAAACUUCAAAAAUUCAUAUCUUCAUCAUACGAACUCCGUUUUCGACAUUCUUUAUAUUCACGCGUAGGUGAGACUACGAUCUACAACUUUCAUUUGGACUCCAUCUACUAAUUUUGACUUUAUUUUUAUUAUUUAUUUUUAGUAGGCCGGGACAGGAAAAUUCCAUUAUAAAUUCAUAACUUCUUCAUCCGACGUCCGUUUUCGCCUAUCUUUUUAUAGUUUUACUCCUAUUAACGAGACCUUCAAUUAUAAUUUAGAUUGUUUCGGCUAAAAACCGCUCGGUCUCAAAUCGAGUAUUCGGGCUGCAUACCGCUAAGUCGAAACUUCAAAAAAUCAUAACUUCCCCAUACGAAGUCAAAUUUGGGCGUUCUUUUUAUGCACGCUCACAGUUUAACGUAUUCUACGACUUUCAUUUAGAUUGCUAAGGCUAAAUAUCGCUCUAACUUAAAUUCACUUUUUACGUCGCGCUGUGUCGUGUCGGUUCUGUCUCGAAACUUCGACAGGUCAUAACUUCUUCGUUAUAACUCGGAUUUCGGCGUUCUUUAUAUGUACGGAAUCCUUGUAACAUAUACUACAACUUAGUUAAGAUUAUUCAUUCUAAAUAAUCUUUCAUCAAAAAUUCAUUUUUGACGCCUAUCGUCUCUAAAUUGACUAGCCCUGAUCUACGGGCGUUACACCACUCGACGGUUACACACGCAUACAUAAAUUGGGGAAACCUCAACCGACUCGCCAAGUUGUUCAUACAACUCGUCGAGUUCUAUGGCAAUCUUCAUCGGACUCGUCAAGUUGUUCAUCCAACUCGUCAGGUCCAGACCUAUCUUCAUAUGACUCGUCGAGUCGACCUUGCGACUCAUCGAGUUCCUUCAGUCCUUAAGCCAUACAGGCUCUUUUAAGCCAUGCAAUGGCUCCAAAUUACAAAUCCAAGCUCUUAAGGCAUGCUUUUCAUGUAAAGUUGCACUUUACGUGNAAACUUUACGUGCAUGCAUAGCUAAAAAGGCUCUAAAUGUCAAAUCCAAGCUCACAGUGGGGUUUCAUACUCAAGGAAAGCUUCAUACAUGGUCAAACUCGGAGCUUUAUGACUCUAGGACCCAAGAAGGGUCCCGAUCUGAAGUUACAACUUCAGAUCUAGCUCAUAUCCCACAAUAUCAUCACAUUCAAACCAUAAAAACCCUAGAUCUCAACCAAAUGAGGUCUAGAAAGAAAAAUGAGGUAAAGGUGGCGUCUUGAUACCUCCAAAUGAUGCUAACUGAGGUAGAUUUUUGAUUCCCACACCUUCCUUGCUCCUAGUCUCUUGCCCUCCAAGCUCUUCCUUUCCAAAAACAUUCUUUCUAAAGCUCAAGACACAUAACAAUGAAGCACCACACGAAUUAGGGUUUCUAUGAGCUCUCAAGGACUACAAAGAGGCCAAAGGAGGCUUAAGCCUCUUUAAAUAGGGUGCAAACCCCAAGGAUUUAGGGUUUCAUCUGCGAACUCCUACUCGUCGAGUCCCUUCAUGGACUAGGCGAGUAGGUCACUAAACAUGUGAUCCCACCCUGCUGCUACUCGACGAGUAGUGCAACCAACUCGUCAAGCAGGACUUAAAACCAAAGAAAUUCUUAUUUACAUCAAUACCUAAGAAUCGGGGCGUUAUAUAUAUAUAUAUAUAUAUAGUUGAGUGACUCCGACAUAACUAGCAUCAUGAGUGAGUCGGUUAAGGCGUGGGACAUAUGAACAUGAGGUGUCUAGGGUUUGAACAUUAUCUUUAAUAGUAUUUUGUUAUUGUGAGACGAAAGAUCUUGUGUAAAGUGGAUCUUUCUUCUUUUGCCUUAGUGUAUGAUAUGGAACAAGUAGUAGCUUCUUCUUGUUUAUUUGUGCCUCACAAAUGGUGUUAGAUGCGAUUAUCUUGACGGAUUGGUGGUAUUUAUGGAAUAUUUUAUUAAGUGUGUUUUUGAUAGUUGUUGACCGAAAAAGGAUAGGCUUAUGGGUGAUAUUAUUGCGAGUUCUUUUUGUCGGGUUGUACAUAGAAACAAAAUUUUCAUACAGACUAGAACUUAUCGCUUCAAAACCCAAAUUUAAACACUUUGAUAUAACGUUUUCUUUAUCAUAGCUUUUUGUUAAUGCCUUUUUAUUUUAUAUAUUUAGUCGUUCAAAAAAGGUGAUACAAAACCAAAGCAUGUUGUUUAAAUCUAGUACUUAUGUGAAGACAUUAAUCAAAUUUGUAAGACAUAAGAUCCCAUGUUUACUAUCUACCAUGGAGAGCUCAAAUAUUGAUCAGGGAAUUUAUAAAUAAGAGAGCACUUCCUCAUCAUGUAAACAAAAUAAGUAGGUCAACAUAAUGAGGUGCAUACUAACUUUCUUGUACUAAUUAUGGAUUCAAAUCAUUAUCACAUUCACUAAAACAACAAACAAACAAUAUAACACUCACACAUAUGCCAAAAACAUGAAUGUUGAUAUGACCUUAUUUAACUAUAUAUUUUAAGCUAUUUUCUUAAUAUAGUUGAUUAAAAUGUUAUAUUUAAGAUAUAUGAUACUUAAUAUGCUUUAAAAUGUUCAACUACAGUUACAAUCAGAGUUAAGAUGCAAAAGGAAGAGAAAGAAGCUAAAAGGGACAAAAAAACGAAGAAAUCCGGAAAAGAACUGAUAGACGCACCGCACCCUUAAGAAAAUUCCAAAACUUCUCGAAUAAUGCCCGUCUCAAUAUAUGUGUUCAUGUGCAACAAGGAAGCCCGACACCGCAAAGUGGUGAGACCUGUACCACGCCGUGGCAUCAUAAUUUUAUAAAUAUAUAGGUUUUGCAACCCUAAUUCGAAUGCCAACUUAUACUAACUUGGAAAGCUAGUUAUUAGAUGAUUACAACCGUUUUUUAGAGAUGAAGAACACCAUUGAAGUGUGUAUUUGAAGAUCAAGAGAGAAUUCAUCGAUUUUAUCGUUUCGGUUUGUGUUAUAUCAUGCAUCCCAAUUUCGAAUUCGUUAAGUUUUGUUUUUUAGUUAUGAUGCAAGGCUAAAAAUCUUACUACUUUCACUAGAUGUAGAUGAAUCAUAGUUAAUAUGUUUUGAUUUUGUUAGUAGGAUUAUGUGAGUUGGAUUUAAACUUGUGUUCGAUGGAUUUAAACUUGUGUUCGAUUGACUGUUUAUCUUUCAUGUUAAAGUUAUGAUUUUUAUUACCUACAUGUGAGUUAUGUGUAGUUUAAAUGAUCAAUCUAGUUACAUUAGUUUGAUUCUUAACUCUUUAUGAUCAUUAAAUUGUUAAGAGUAGAUAUUUAUUUAAUCCUAAAGUUAGGUAAUAUAAAUUAUUAAUUUUGAUUGUGUUAUAGAAUAAUAGAUAUCCACACUAUGCUUGAUUUAUUUAUGAUAAUUGAUAAGAAAUCGUUAGAUCAUAACGUUCAUAGUUGAAUUUAUUUAAAUGAUUUCGUGUCCACUAAUUGUUUGAUCAUUGAGAUUAGAUGUUCAUUAAUCAUUGAUACUAGGAAUUCCGACCAAGAUAAUUAGUCAUAAAAUUCGGUAACAUACUCAUUGAUCCAUUACAUACUAACGAGCCAAACAUAAAAAACUAAGGGAUUCGUAUUCUAGUGGAAAUAUUUCAAAUCUGAACUAGUUUUUUGUUUUUGUUUGCUUAAUUUGAGUGUUUAAAACAAGUUUAUAAUUUAAACAAAAACCUCCCUCUUUACUUUUAUGUCUUUAGUUUAACUAUUAUCUUAUUUGUUUGAAUGAAAAUCAUAACCGUUCCUUACGAGUUCGACAACCAUUCUUACCUUAAACUAUAUUACUUUACGACUAAGUACAUUGUCUAUUUGUGAUUUCAAAAGUAAUUGAGAUUCGAUAAGACUUUACAAAUUUAAAACUACUAGUUUAUAAAUAACAUAUCAAAUGUUGAUUUUGUGAAUGAUGGAUUAGGAUGGCAGGGAGGGAGGGAAGGGGUUUUCACUUUUUGGCUUACAAGUGAACAGGAAGGAGAUAGGAAAGGUGUGGUGGGAUAUGGUAAGUUUUGGUGGGCCCAUGUAUUUAAUUUUCUUUUAUAAUUAAUUUAGAUAACUAAUAUCAAUAAAUAUAAUCCAACAAAGUAUGAUUUAAAGCGUAUUUGGCACAGAGCAUUUAGAGUUUCUAGCUUCUAGUGUUUGACAAAACACUCCGUUUUGAACAAAAGGUCUCGUUUGGCACUACAAGCUUCUAGCGUUUAGUUUGAACGAAACGCUCGAAAUUCAAGUGAUAUUUCACGUAGCAUUUAACAAAACUCUACUAGCUAAAAAUUAUCCACUACAAGCUACCUGCUACCAGCUAUUUUUGCCGAACACGCCCUUAAUCACUUUACGCUGGCCUUGGACCAAAAUCAUUAAAAAGCCCAAAAUUAUAGACAAAAUUUUGACCAAAAAAUGUUUUGGAUUGAAAAAGCAUUUUUUGACAACCACAUUGACCAAUUUUCUAGGGAGUUAUCUAAUGGACAAAUCAAAUUAACCAUACAAAACUAUAAUUUCAUUGAAAUGUGGUUACCGGUUUGAAAAACACAGUUUAAUAUUAAACAUACCGGUGAUUUUAGUGUCUCUUAAACAUUUAAGCAGUUAGAAUUUAUACGAAUGUUAAAAGGACUUAGACUGUGAUAAAAUACAAGUUAGGCGACAUAUAUUGUAUAUUUGUAUAUGGAUAACUUGGUUACGAAGAAUUUCGGACCAUGGGUGUCGUGAGAUUAGAUGAACAACUUAGGGGUAAAUUAAAUCAGUUUGGUCAACUUGGGGUUGACUUUGUUCAACUUAUAGAUGUGGCUACAUUUGGUCGCAUCAAAGGCUACAUAUAAUGUAUAGGAUAGUUCUAUUACAAGUGUAAUUUGGUAUUAUAUUUACGUUUUACACACAUUAAUUUCUUUCUGUAAUUUUUUAAGUAGCCAUAUAUAGUUUUAGAGAUAGAUCUAAUAAUGCUCAAAGUCUAUAUAUCGAUAUAUAUUUUAUAAUUGAUGACAUUAAAUCAUUAUAGUUUAAAAUAAAUAUUUAUCUUUUACAAUAUUAAUUUGAUUUUUUUACUAAUAGACUAGGCACCGAUAGACACCAACUAAAAUUUACGAAAUCAACCAAAAAUGAUGGUUCUUGGAAUAUAGGAAUCACACGUAGUUCUUUGGAUUUUAGAACCGGUGAUAAAAUAGAUGAGAAACAACUACAAUAAAUUUACAUGUUUUAAAUCAUUUGAAUUAAUUAUUAGUUAAACAAUGGGAANNNNNNNNNNNNNNNNNNNNNNNNNNNNNNNNNNNNNNNNNNNNNNNNNNNNNNUAUAUAUAUAUAUAUAACAAAUAGAAAUAGAGGACAAACUUUAAAAACUUAAGGUUAGAAGUGUCUUUUAAUUUUAAAAGCUUUUUUUUAUAUAUUGUGCAAAAAGCAGACAAAAUAUAUGUUUUUAUUCCGAAAAACAAACAAGUUUUGAUAAGAGAAAUAAAUUAUGCUUCCAUUUUUUUUAUCCAUCAUCUUAUCAUUUUUAAAUGUUGACAAAUAUAAUAAAAUGUUAUUAAUUUGAUUAAAUAUUACUGAUGUCAUAAUCGUAAAUGCAUAGGAAGAUAAUAGAAAAAAUAGGCCCAAAAAAUAUAUAUAACAAUAUUUGAUUUCCUUUUAAUAUAAAUGUUUCCGCCCACAGAAAAAGAUUUUUUUUAAGAAAAUAAACACCGCCUAAGUGGACAACCUGGAAGAUCUUUAGACGGAACUUCCCCUUGCCCACCGGUGAGUGAAUGUGAGUCGGUGUAUCAUAUGCACAAAGCGGAAAGACUGUAGCCUUUCUUACCAUAUUAAUUAAUAACAUAACGAGAAAAUAAGCGGAUGGGUUUAUAACAACUUGUCUCUCUCAUAUAAACAAAGCAAAAUAUAUAAAUAAGUAGAGGACAACUUGGUUUUAAUUUAUUCCAAAUAUUAUUUAGCCAAAUCUGUAAUUUUGGACUUGAGAUCGUACUAAAAUAAUAUCAGAACAAUAGUGCCUUAAGAUGCGACGUUAGCUUAAGCAUUUUGAUUUUUGUGUAUAUAAAUAAAUAAAUAGAGGACUUAUUGCAUAUUACACUUUUAAAUUUUCUGAAUAUAAAAAUGUGGAUAAAGAUUGUAUAGUUAUAAAAAAUAACCUAUAAUAUCUGACAUGUGAAUCUCAUGCCCAAAUGUUGUAUAAUAAAGUAUUAAAAACAUGUGAAUAUAGCAUAAUUUUAUCGUCUCAAAAAAGCAAAAGGUUAAAUUGACGAUUACUCCUUUGGAUUCGAAUUUUCUGAGUUUAAAACACGUCAUUGAAAAUUAAUUACUACUAUAUAUAUCAUAAUAAUAGGUGGAUUCGGUUUUAUAUAUAGCAUAUUAAAUAUACUUCAAAUGAUUGAUUACAUAUAUAGCUAUCUUUUAAAUAUGUAGAAAACUUCAAAGUUACCCCAUUACAGCUUCGUUUUUUUAAAAACAAGUAUCCCCACCACCUUUCCUUAACAAGAGAAAGACUUAAACGAAUCGUAUAAAAACAGAGAACCCACUUUGCUUUCUUUAUGUUUUGACUUUCAAUUUUAAAGUAACAAUUCCUAAAAUUUAACGGAAAUAUCGCAUACGAAGAUCCUUACACUGAAUGCAUACCCAUGGAAAUUGUGGAGGAUCCAAGCAAUAAGAAUGAACACAACGUAUCUGACAACUAUCACAUCUCACUAGAAGCUCCUCAGGUUCAACACAACCACACUGGUAGCAAACUGGUGUUGAUGGUAUUGAUCCCUGUUCAACAAAAAUUAAAAACAAAAAACCAAAUUCAAUAAUGAACAAGACUUUAUAAACAAUAUGACCUGAAUUUUAUGAUGAAGAUUUACCAAGGUAUGAAAUGUGGAUGCUUCUGCAUGCGGAAGAAUGUAUACAUCCAUGGAGGCAUUCUCAUUAGGAACUGUUUGAGAGUAUAUUUUCUGAUCAGAAGAUAAAGCAUCUUCCAUCUUCUUUAUGCUGUAAAAACUGGCCUUACACAAAGGACAUGUGGAAACCUUUUUCAUAGAAGCCUGUAAGCAAUAAGUUUGGAGUGAGUGAAUAACUGAAUAUAAACAUAAUUUAUGUAAAAUAUGGUAAAAAGGAUAAAAUUAUAGAUACCAUAUGAUCUGCCCAAUUCUGAAUGCAUGAAAAACAGAAGCGAUGUCCACAUGGAAGAACUCCUCUAGUUGAACUAAAAUCUGUCCAGCAUAUAACACAUGAUAACUGAUGUGGUGUUGUAGAUAAUUUCCUUCCAUUACAUUUAUCAUCAUCAACUUCUGAAGAGUUAUUUACAGGAUUCCUUGUGUUAGAGUCUGGAUCUUGAAGAUUACAACAAGUCCCUAAAUCUUCAAUCUUUUCAAGAUCCUCCAAGAUUAAAGGUCUUUUCUCAUGAUCUUGAAAGCUUUUUCUGAAAAGUCUUCUGCUUUUUUGCCUCCCAGAAGAAUUAGAAGGCUCGCCAAUGUCAACAACAUUGUGGUGAAUUUCUGUGUGUUGGGAAUUUUCCUCUGAAUCUGAACAAGACUUGAGCUCGUUACAUAUAUUCUUAAGAAUCAGCCUAUGACCUCCUUUGGAGGAUUCAGAACAGUCCUUAUUUUGUCUGUUAGUACAUUUUCUCUUUAAUCUAUUGGAACGGAUCUUAUUUUGUCUCACAUCAGGAAGCAGAUUCUACAUAGAAAACAACAUGCAGAAAUUGUUAGCCACAUGAUGGCAGAAAGUAGGAAAGACAAGAUAAGAUGCAUAUCCUAGUAAAAAGUUUCAUGACUUAAAACACCAUAUGAGGUAAUUAAGCUUUGGCAAUAGAUUCAUAGUGAGUAUAAGAGAUCACAUCUAACCUCUUUCAACAACCAAGAAUCUUUCCAAUCAUCAUCGCCACUUUCACCAUCUUCAAUGUUAAUCACAGGAUUUUCCGAGAAGUUGCUGGUGGUAGGUACCUCUCCAAAUACACUUCUUACUUCAUUAGCAACAACUGGGGCCUCCAACAGCAAGGGCCCCACCUCAAACCCACUGCAAAAUUAUGAAAUCAGAUGAAGGACAAGUGGGAUUACACAUUUCAUUUUCAUUGAGGGUAUAACUUAUGAGUUGCACAUUAGUAAAGUGGAUGAUGAGCUUGUUCUACCCAAGGUUACACUGGUGAAACUAGAAUUAGGAACACACUCUAUUAGUGCAAUCAAACAAUUAAACUUCUUUUACAAGCUUCACAACAGAAAAAAAAAAAAAAAAAAGGCUUUGGUAAAUGGCAAUCAUACCAGUGUUUCAUAUAGGGACGCUCAGAAACUCGCCUGCCUUGGUUUAUACAGUCCUCAAUCCAUCGAUGAUUCACCACGAUUAUCUUAAAUUUCCUGGCAAGUUCAUAUUUCUUCCCCUCAAAUUUGCGACACACCUAAACAAGCAACCGGAAAUAUACAAUCUUUUAGGUUUAGUAUCACUAUGAUUACAUGAAUUACUAAAAAUGAUCUAAAAAUAUGCAAAGCUUCGAAAAGGAAAAACAUACCAAAUGCGUGGUAGAGGGAUUCAUUGCUCCAACAUAACUUGCACCAGAUUGAGAUACUAAUUUGAUAAGUUUAAAUCGCUCAGAUCCGUGGUAUCCACUAACCGUAGCGACAACUGAAUCCAUAAUUCGAACAAAGACCUAGACGCAGCCCUAAAAUUAGAGGUUUAGGGCUAGAAAAGUGCACAGCCUAAUACAAUGCAUUGUUUAUAAAUCAAAAGGACAUUCCAAAGUCUAAGUCACACUUAGUUAAUAGAGAGAUAGAGAGACCUUUUAGGAUUACCGCCGAGCAAAGAUCGUCUGUGUAGCUGCCGAUGACGGUGGCGCAGAGGCUUAGCGGGAAGGUUGAAAAUUUGAAUCUUGUAAUGUCCCCUGAACGUUUCCGAUAAAAGAUUUCUUUAUAAAUUUACCUUAACGUGUGCACAAAAAUAUUGUUGGAAAAAUAACAUAAAAAUCUUUUACAUAAUUUUAUUGGUUUUAGUAAGGUUUUUUUUUAUCUCGUAAUUUCGGUUCUACUUUCUAGUUUUAUCAUUUUUUUUUUUUAUUUCUUUAUCCGUUUUUAGGUUUACUCCAAAAAAUUCCUCCCAUUUUUAUUAGUUUUUUUCUUUUUUUAACAGGACUAUAAAGAGAAAUUAAAAGAAUGCUAACAAGCGGGUUCGAACUCAUGACCUAUCAUAUGUAAUAGAUAUUAGGUCAUCCGUUAUAUCCACCACUAACCACUAUAGUGGUGGGUGCCACCUCAUCACCACAUUCAACCACUAAACCUAUGGGAUACCCACCACUAUAUGCUUCUUAUUUUUUUAUUUUUAAAUUAAAAAUAUAUUUUUUUUAAUUAAUUAAAAUGUAGAGAGAGGUAGAGAGAGAUAGAGAGACAUGGAGAGAGAAAAAAAUUGAUUGGAUGUUGUUGUCCGUUCUCCCCACCACAUUUGACCACGAAUUUUUCCACCACUAGCCACCACUAAGAGUAUGGGAUGGUGUUCACAUUUUUUGUUCGUGGCCACAUAGACCACGAACAUGCUCGUUAUAAGUAUACCAUAAGGCCUUAGGGAUGAGAAUUUGACUCGGAAACCUGAACCGAAACGAAACCCAACCCGAACCGAAUUAGGCUCGAAUAAGCAAUUCGAUUCGGGUUUUAUGUAUCUAUAUUAUGCUUAUUAUAUUCGGGUUACCCAAAUAAGAGCUUAUUCGGUUGUAAAUACCUGACCCGAAUAAGCAUUUCUCGUCCCCUUUCUCUUAUCGACAGAAAUCAAUAUCACGAUUCACACUUUAGUCGUCGUCGUUCAUAAACAGAAAAAAAAACCCUACGCUCGUUCUCGUCAUUUCAAAAUCGACCAAUAUUCUCAACUAUUUUGAAACUCGAAAAACUUCUGUCGUUCCUAAUUCUUGUUUUGGACUUUCAAAAUUCGACCAUUCCUAUUGUCUCUAAGGAUUCAUGAAUUCCUACUUUGUCUAGUCAUUGAAAAUUAGGCUCCAUCUCAAGAAACUCAAGUAAGAAAUUAAGUAUCAUCUUAAUCUACUAUGUAAAUGUCAUUAUUUCAAUGUGUUAUUGUGUUAUGAUAGUCUUUGAAUGUUUUACCUAAUUACCUUGAUGUAUAAAAGUACAUUGUUAUUCUAUUAUUCGGGUUAUAGAAUCCUAAUACGGUUUAUUCGUUUUUUUUUUCGCUUAUAUUAGGUCCUUGAUCAUCUUGUACAUGUUAUUCGGCUUAUUUGGGUGAUAACCGAACCGAUUAAUACUCGAACCGACCCGAACCCGUAUUGGUUAAUCAGUUCGGUUUUCGGUUCAUACAAUUACCCUUAUUCGUUUUUCGGAUUACUCGGGUUCGGGUCAGUUCGGUUCGGUUCCGACCCGAAUAACAUCUCUACAUAUGCCUUGCUAGAGAACCAAAUAACCUUUUUGUAGUUAGAGAUACUAUAAUUACAAUAAUGAGGUUUUUCUAUAAUUUUAUAAGUUUUUUUUUUUUGGAAUAGCAAUCCAAAAACAUUAUUGAUAUUGAAUUCAACUUGAACAAGUUAAUAUCUAUUAUGAUGCCUAAUACAUGAAUAAACAUAAGAGUAAGCAUCCAUAUAAUUUCAUACAUAUCUUUUAAGUGUUUCAAUGUGAUUAUCAUAGUCAUCUUUAAAAGAAUUAGUAAGGUGAUGUUUUUUUCUAAAAACAAAAACAUUUUCAGACCAUUUUUUGUUGCGUGACGUAGCAUUUGCCCUUUCGCAGCAAUUUAUUUUUCUAGAAGACUUCAGAGUACAAAACUUUUGCGUGUGUUCUGCACGGCGCAACACUUGACUUGUCAAUUCAAACAUCUUCAACUUUCAUUUUUUUUCAAGUGAAUUUUUUCAGAGUUUUGGUAUAACCUUUUUUUACUUUGAUAUUUUUUUUUAACUUUGAUUUAUGGAUUUGAUACAUUUUCUUUUUAUAGUUUCCACACUUUUUUUAUAACUUGAUUUUUUUUAUCGUUUAUGUUAAUAAUAUUUUCAGUUCUGGUUGUAUCUUUUUUAACAUGUGUAUUUUUUUAUGAACUUUGUUGACAUCGUUUGCAAUAUGUUCUUAAUUUUUUUAUUAUUUUCUUCUUUUAUGUUUUUUUAUAAAUUAUUUUUUUUAAAUAAAACUGAUAGCUUCUUUUACAUUUUUUAUAUUUUUUUUCGAAAUUUUAUAUUUUUGUUUUUUUACAUGUUCUUUUUAGUAUUCUUUCAAUGUUUUAAGACUAAGAUUAUUAACAUUUCAAUGUUGAGAACUAUUUUCAGUUUAUAAAAUUAGUUUAGUUCAAUACUGCAGAUGUUAAAAAACAAACAUGUUUUUAUUACAGGCUGCAGCCGUUUGAUCCACCUAUUCUGCUUCAGAGGGUUGCAGAGGUGAUCCGCAUGCUUCAUAAAUUUUCACUUUGAAAAAAAAAACAACACCAAGUGAAUCCCAAUAGAUAUACUAGUAACAACAACUAUAUUUUGUUAAAAAAUAUCCAAUCAACAUGAAUAAAAAAAAAAAUCAAUAAAAUCAACAAGUUGUAUAAAAAUUAUGGAAUAAAAGAAAAAAAACAUCAAGUGAGUUUCGUAGAUCACUUUGUGAUUAAAUAAUCACACGUGCAUUAUUAAUAUUAUUUUUAUUUUUAUUUUAAAUGAUCUACUCUAAUAAAUGAAGGUGUGUUUGCCAUAUAUCAUACUUUCAUUCAAUUUCUCAAAUGUCAUUUUAUGGUUAUUUUGAAUUAAUUUUUCUUUCACAUGUCAUUUUAUAGGUUUCCUAUUUUAAUGAAUUUCGUAUAACAUUUUAAUGUAAUAAUUACAAUAAAUAUAGUAAUAAAUAAAUAUCAAUUUCAUUAAUUGACUUACCUUUUUAUUUCGAAAUUUUCAAAUUAAAGCACAUUAGUUUAUUUUGUUUAUUUAUUUAAAUUUAAAAGAUAAAAAAAUCAAUUUUAAUAAUUUAUUAUUUUUUUUAUUUUCUUAUAAAUUCAAAGUUUUUAAAUAUUUAGACGACAAAAUUGCAAAAGUGGUCCAUGUGGUAUGUAUUUUGUUGGGGUUUUAGUCCAAACCCCGACUUUUUUGGAUUGGUGAUCAUUUUGAGCUAUUUUGCUCGCAGUUUUGGUCUCUGUCCAAACUAAAAAGACAAUUAUAUCCUUAAUGAAUUUAUUUUUCAUUUUUCUUUCACUUUUUAAUAAUAUUAUUAUUAAAUAUAAAAGUGGGCCCACUUAUCCACCCAUCCUUCUCUCUCCCUCCUCUCUCUCUCUCUCUCUCUCUCUCUCUCUCUCUCUCUUUGAGUGUGUAUUCUACUGUAUGAAAAAUAUUUUCCCAUAUCUUCAUCUUCUUGAUUCCAAUCAUCCACCAACACUGAUGGCAUGGCUACCCAAGCUUCCCUCUUUGCAUUCGUAAUCCCCAAUCAAACCUCCCCAUGGAAAUAAUCGCAACUCACCUCCUUCAACAACGUCAAACCAUCCAAACCCACCACCCCUUUCACCACCAUCAAGGUUGCGGUGACAGGGGAGGUCCCCACCAAAGAAGCUCCGAUGGGAUUUAUCCCACCUGAACUCGACCCCAACACCUCAUCUCCAAUCUUCGCUGGAAUACCCCACCGGAACAGCUCCCUCCGGCACUCCCUGUUGCCAUGGUAAAAACCCACCACUACUGGGUUUAUUUUGCUUAGUACAGGAGCCCCAAACAUCCCCGACCCUUACUCCUUCCUCCCCUCGUAUCUCACAUGUCAAUUUCUCCCCCCUUAUCGGCCACCGGAGCAGUUCCCUACAACAACCCCUCUAGAUUUCUUCCCCCUUUAUCGUCUCACCCCUUUCUCACCGAACUAGAAUAAGCUUUAGGGAUUUCAAAAGAUGAGGCGAUUCAUAACAUCUUAUUCACAGUUUUGUUUCAAUACUUUUGGGGGAUCAAGAUUUUGUUUCCCAAUAUACUGAAAUGGCUCGGCCGUGCCGGAACUAAUUUACAUACCCAGUUAGCGAAGGAGAUCAUAGGUGCGAUCAAAACCCACGAUGGUGGGAAGGUGACGAUGGCGGCAAUGGAGCAGAUGCCCUUGAUGAAAUCUGUGGUCUACGAGUCUCUUCGAAUCGAAUCACCUAUAGUCUUACAAUCGAAUCACAUGACGCCAUUUUCAAAGUGAAAGAAGGGAAUAUGUUAUUCGGAUACCAGCCAUUUGCGACCAAGGAUCCCAAAGUGUGUGACCGUGCGGAAGAACUUGUUCUGAAUCAGUUUGUGGGUGACGGCGAGAAGCUUUUGAAUUAUGUGUCGUGGUCAAACGCCUUGAACGAGCUUGAAGAAUGAUUGAGCUAUGUCUAAACCUUCUUGAUCCAAGGUUGAAGAUGAUGCGGUUUUCUGCAUUUUAUACCACUUUGACAGAGACGGUGGUUUGGGUUUUUUGGAGAGAGAGAGAGAGAGAUGUGGGCCAAAUUAGUUAAUUAAUUUAUUUUUCAUUUAAAUUAAAUAGAAAACGCAUAAAAAAAAUAUAUCAGAAGGGCAUAAUAGUCUUUUCAGUUUAGCGGGGGACCAAAAACGCAACGAAACUAGGUCAAAAGGACCACCAAUCCAAAAAAGUCGUGGUUUAGACUAAAACCCCAAAAAAAUAUAUACCACAGGGACCAUUUUUGCAAUUUUGUCUAUUUAGACCUUCAUAUUUAAUUUUUUUAAUCAACCUAUGUAAUAUAUAGGUCUUACACCUUGUAAUUCUAAUAUACUCUUACCAACGUCAUCUAUGUUACAAAUGAAACUUUAAUCAUCAAUCUUAUAAAGAAAUAAAAUGAAGGAAAUACAUACAUUAUUUAAGGCAAUUUAGUAAUUUUAAUUUAUAAAUUAAAUAAGGCAAUUUAGUAAAUUUAAUUUCGGAAGGGACAAAAUACAUAAAGAAAUAUGCUGAAAAAGACUAAUUUUACAAAUGUCAUAAGGUUUGGACUGAAUACUGGAAAAAAUACAAACCAUAGGGACCAUUUUUGCAGUUUUGUCAAAAAUACAUUAUAACCAUUAUAUAUCUUUAUUUAUUUCCAUUAGUAUUUUCGUCCCCCAUAUAACUGCUCGAAAAAAUAAAGUUAUGUAGUAUUUGCCAAAUAACUUCCAAGAAAGCAACCUCAUCACUGUAACUUUCAAAUCAACCCAGAAUAUCACAUCAAAUAAAAAAAACAAAAUCAAGAUUAGUUCAUUUUCCAAACACAAGCUACUCUAUCUCCGGGCAGGGUGGUUACCAUCCACCACUGGCGGCGGUGGCGGCUGUAUUCCCUGAAACCCACUUCCACCAUGACCAGUCACCGCCACUGAACCAUACGAAACAUUAGCCGCAUCUUGUGCAUCAGAAUUAGAUCCUCUCCGUGCAUCAUAACCGGACCCACGUUGCAUAUCAUAACCAGGUCCUCUGUACAAAUCAUAACCAGGUCCUACUCUAUGCGGAUCAUAUCUCUGUGGCUCAUACCCUGGUCCUCUUUGUGGUUCAUAAGGUGGUGCACCAGGACCCGGUCCUUUAUGAAGACCAUAACCUGGAACCACUGGUCCAGGUCCAUAACCUGGAGCAGCACCCGCAACACCAUAGGCUGAUUCAAAAGUGUGUUGUCCUACAGGAUUAUGUCCAGAAGCUUCUUUCUCAUUGUAACCAGCAUAGGGCCCACCUGCAAUGUAAUUUGGAAGAAAAAAAAAAUCAACAAAUUUAAAAGCAGAAAUAUCAUAUCACAAAUGACGUACCCGCCCUCCUGUCGUUUUCAGCGUGUUUCUUUAAUUCAGCUCGAAGCUUUUCCACUUCGCUUGCCAUUGUCAUAUAGUUCUUUUCCAUCACCUGAAGAGACUCUAAAUGAUCGUUGUAAACUUUCUUCUCAUACUCAUAAGUUGCCCUACAAUGCUGAUACUCUUGUCUAAGCAUAUCAAGUUCUGACAUCAAAGCAGGAACCUGUUGCAAAUCCAUGUGAACUCUCUGAUGAUCUUCUGUUAGUUUCUGUACUCUUGUAACGAGUUCUUCCCUAGCUGAAACCAAGCUCUGUGCCUCUGUUCGUGCCUGAUGCAGUUCUAGUUUAAGUGGCUCUGCACCUUGGAGAUCUGCUUCCAUUUUCCCGAUUUUGUCUAAGAUCCCCAUUAUUUGAUGUUCUCUUUCUGAUUUUACACCUCCUAUGUGGUUAUGUAACAUUUGUAGCUCAUGUUGUAUGGCUGCAACAUCAUGCCUCAAGGUUCCAUGAGUAGCAGCUAACCUUUGGUUUUCUGUUGCAAGUUUCUGCAUUUCCAUGUGCUGUGCAGCAAGCUUUUGUUCCAUGAUUUCUGGAUGUGGUAACAUAUCAUAUGGAGGAAAACGACCAUGUUGAGGAUGGAUUUCAGGAGGAAUGGAAUCAUGAUGUCCGAUUCCAGGGCCAGGUAGUGGACGCCUUAAAUGAUGAGGAGGAGGAAGUCUACCUUUGCUUCCCAUGGUGAUAAAUGGUAAAAUAGAUGAAACUGAGAGGAGACCAAAAUGAAUAAUCAGUAUCAGUGCAGUAAUUAUCUACACUUCCAUACAGAAGAUCUUCCAGGAAUCACAUGUGCUUGCAAACAGGCUGAUGAUUAAGUCUCUUAACCAUGUUUUAAUUCAUCAACAUAUAUAACCUGAUGGUUAAUUAACUCCAUUUUCGCGGUCUUCCUAAAACACAAUCAACAACUCGUUUUCCUCCGAACUCAACAAUUUACAGACUUUAACAGAUGCAACUUUAGGGCAAUAAUGAUAUUGGAGAUGAGAAAUAAGUUUACACUGCUUCACUCGGUAACAAGAUGGCUUAAAUGCAAAAUGGGGGAAAUCGAAUUUCUCAGAGAAGUCAAAUUAUGUUGGAAAACCACAGUUGGAUUGAAACCCUAGAAGGAAGUGGAAAUUACCUUUAGGUUAAUUUAAUCAAGACGAUCCGUGAAGGAGCUACGAGGCCGAUUUGAUGGUGAUGACCGACGAUGCAUAAAUUUCAUGCCCUAAUCUUCAAACGUAGUUUUCAUUUCCAUGUACAGAAAAAUCUGAUUUUGCAAAAAUGAAAUUUGGGCCGUAGUUAUCGAAGUUUCACGUCUGUACAGGAAGGUAGGAACCAGUGGGGCGUUUCAUUUCAUUCUUUUCUAAUUCUAACAACUUUGAUAAGUUCUAAUGUUUUAUAUUGUAUUUAAAUAUUAACUAGGAUUUUAAAACACCAUUUAAGAAUAAAAGUGAUAUUUAAAUAUAUAUAUANNNNNNNNNNNNNNNNNNNNNNNNNNNNNNNNNNNNNNNNNNNNNNNAUAGAGGUAGAAUAAGCCAUAUUUUGAAAGCUCGAAAUUAAACAGAUAAAAAUAACAUUUUACAAAGUAUAUAGGUGAAAAAAUAUUAUUUUUAGACUAAUAGGAGUGGGGGUCGCCACCGGGUUUGCUACACUCGCCAGCAAUCAAGGAACACCGCUCCUUAGCUCUCGCUAGGAGCGUCGCCACCGGAAUGGCUCAGAAUGGACUUGGGAGCCGGUGGAUGAGAUGAUGGAGCAUUACCCAUAGCUUUUCCAGGAACGAGCAGCAGACUUCGAGGAUGAAGUCUAAAAUAAGUAGGGAAGAUUUGCAGCAUCUGGUUCCUGGUAUGUAUUCUAUUUAAGUAUUUUGAAUUUUUGGCAUAGGACUCGGCGAGUUGAAGGCCCAACUCUUCGAGUUGAAGCGGAUUUGAUACGGGAUUAAAUGACGGACUCGUCGAGUCGGCUCCCAGACUCGACGAGUAGACUCUGACUGGACAAAACCUAACCUAAGGGUUUGCACCCUAUUUAAGCAUCUCAUCCAGCCACCCCUUCGUCCCUAUUGCUUCCAGAAACCCCCCAUAGCAAACCCUAACCGUUUGUGUAAAAAGCUAAGGCAUUUGUGGUGCUUUUUGGUGGUUUUGAACUCAAAGAAGAAGGAAAAGCCUAGAGGAAUCAAGAGAAGACCAAGGGAGUUCAAGCUUGUGCGCCAUUUGCAGUUCCCAUAAGGUAUAAAGUCGACACUUUGCUUCUUCAUUUGCUAGAUCCCUUUUUGGGGAGAUUUAUGGCUUUUAUUAGCCAUUCUUGGUAACCAACCAUGAUUGCACGCAUGGUUGGGGGUUGAGGCUUCGGAUCUAGGUCCAUGAAGGAGUUACAAGGCAGAAAAGGGAUGCUUUUGCACCCAUGGAAGCCCCCAUGCAACUUAAGAGUCUCUUUUAGAGCCUUUUAGGCUCUAAGUCCCAUGCAUGCACGUAAAGUUCGUAACUUUCUGUGCUAGAUCGAGUUUAGGGACCUAGAUCUAUCAUUUGGACAAGAGUUGUACACCAAAAAUCGAAGAAAUAGACUUGGACAGUAUCGACUCGGCGAGUCGUUCUUGGGACUCGGCGAGUCCGAGGUUAGACUUCCCUUUUCUGUUAUGGGUCAAAGAGACCCAGUGGAGUGCUGGAAAGGUUUUAGAGGGUCCCGAGGAGUGACCCAACGUAUUGGGAUAAGCCAUAGUCCUAGAGUUCGUUGGACCCGGCGAGUGCAUGAGCAGACUCGGCGAGUCCAAGGCAAUCUCCCAACUCUUGAAGAUGAACUAAACGAGUUGUUCAUAUAACUCGGUGAGUCGAGGGCAGGACUUGUUCAUAGGAUGGAGAUGAACUCGACGAGUUGUUCAUAAAACUCGGCAAGUCGGAUGAAGGUUCAUUCGAGGUUGUUUUAGAAGGAGAACUCGUCGAGUCGUUGCCAAACUCGACGAGUAGAGGCGUGAAGAAGGACAGAUGAAAGGAUAGGGACUCGACGAGUUAGCGGCCCAACUCAACGAGUCGGGUCAACUGGAAGUUGACUUUGACUUUGACUUUGACUUGGUCAGGGGUAAAAUAGUCAUUUUACCCUAAGAGUAGAUAUCAGGUUCUGACUGAGUGUUUUGUGGGGAUUAUAGCCGGAUGAUUUCCGGAGCAGCCGCAGACAAAGAUUUCUCGCGCAGGUUAUCAGCAGCUACUCGUUCGAGGUGAGUUACCUUCUAGUAGCAGUGGGUCUACGGCCACAAUGCCGGCCCAUUAGUAUGAGUUGUAUGUUAGAUGAUUGUCUUUUUGAUAUUCAUCUAGGUUUGCUACUACCUGAUACGUUAUGUGUCAGUAUGAGAUGAUGUUAUAUGCCAGUAGCAGUAGGGGAGAUAGUCCCCAAGAUUUCCGGUCGAUAGGGCCAAAGAGGGGUAGUCAUACCUAGUCAUACUAGAUAAAAUAUGAUUAUGUGAUUCAUGUUAUGUGGUAGUAGUAGAGGGGUGAAAUAGUCCCCAGUAUCUGGUCGAUAGGACCGAAGGGGUAGGCCAACACCCAUAUAUGCUAGGCAGUAUCCGGUUGACAGGACCGAAGGGGAGGCCAGCACCCAGAUAUGUUAGGCAGUAUCCAGUCGACAGGACCGAAGGGGUAGGUCGGGCACCCAGAUAUGCCUGACAGUAUAUGUAUGUUAUGUGAUUGUAUGUUAUGUGGUACGAUGGGGGAACUCACUAAGCUUCGUGCUUACAGUUUACAGUUUUGGUUUUAGGUACCUCUUCAGCGAAGGGGAAGGAGCUGGCGCGGUAGCAGCACAUCAUACACACACGCACUGAUUUUCCGCACUUGUGAUAUUCUGGGAUUGUACUCUGACAUAUUGCUAUCUUAUGAUUUGGGAUUUCAGGCAUGAUAUGUUGAUUUAUGAAAUGAUAUAUUUCUACGUAGUUUUCUUAUGAAUGUUUUUAUACUCAGUUAAUUAAAAUGAAAUUUUUGGACUCGAAAUUUGGGAUGUUACAAGUUGGUAUCAGAGCCCUGGUUUGAGGGAUUCAGACAUGCCCUCGGGGGUGUCUGGACUCAAAUCGAGGGAUCAAAAGAUUUGUUUUGAAGGAAAUGGUUUUCAAAAAGAUAAGUUAAAAGAGUUUUGGAAAAAGAACAAAGUGUGUGAUGUGCGCGACCGGCCGAGAUCAAGUACGUAUUCCCCAAAGUACCCAUACAAGUUUAUGUUAUGUUUAUCAGCUUCAGUAGAACAACAUGCUAGAAUAGGACUAAGGAUGCCUUAUGUGCAUGUUUUAUGUGUUUCAGCUUAUGAGAAUUACAUGCUAGUAUUGAGUAGACAAUAGUAGGAUAGCCUGUUUAGGUUAUGCCUGAUAGUAUGAGCUUAGUAUUGGAUACUAGUACUGUAACGACCCAAUUUUCAAGACCAAAAUUUUCUUUUUAAUUAACUGACUCAUAAAAACAUUCAUAAGAAUGUGAAAUCANNNNNNNNNNNNNNNNNNNNNNNNNNNNNNNNNNNNNNNNNNNNNNNNNNNNNNNNNNNNNNNNNNNNNNNNNNNNNNNNNNNNNNNNNNNNNNNNNNNNNNNNNNNNNNNNNNNNNNNNNNNNNNNNNNNNNNNNNNNNNNNNNNNNNNNNNNNNNNNNNNNNNNNNNNNNNNNNNNNNNNNNNNNNNNNNNNNNNNNNNNNNCCCACAUCCCACACAAUCACAUAGCAUACAUACUGUUGGGAAAUUAUGGGGUGCCCGACCUACCCGGUACGGCCAUUCUGGGGUGCCGACCUACCCAUGCGGCCAUCCUAGGGUGCCGUCCUACCCAUGUCAAACCAUUUCGGGGUGCUGACCUACCCAUGUCAAGCCAUUCUGGGGUGCUGACCUACCCUUCGGUCCGAACAAACGAACUUGGGGACUAUUCCCCUCCUACUACCACUAUCACAUAUAACAUAUCAUGUCAGCAUAUAAACAUAUCAGCACAUAUUAUCAGACAUAUCUGGGGUGUCUGACCUACCCUUUGGUCCUAACAACCGAACUCUACUACUAUCGCAUAUCAUGCCGACAUAUAACAUAUCAGGUAGUAGCAAACCUAGAUGAUAUCACAAAGACAAUCAUCUAACAUACAACUCCUACUGGUGGGCCGGAAUUAUGGCCGUAGACCCACCUCUACUGGAAGGUAACUCACCUCAAGCAAGUAGCUGCUGAUAAUUCGUGUGGGAAGUCUCUGUCUGCUGCUGCUCCGGAAAUCCUCCGGCUACAAUCCCCACAAAACACUUAGUCAGAAACUGACAUCUACUCUUAGGGUAAAAUGACUAUUUUACCUCCAAUCCAGGCCAAGUCAAAGUCAACUUCAAGUUGACCCGACUCGCCGAGUUGAUCCGUCAACUCGUCGAGUCCCUAAUCCUUAUCCAUGAAUCGACUUGUCGAGUUUGGCGAUGACUCGACGAGUUCCUCUUCUAUAAGAACAUCGAAUGUUCCUUCAUCCGAUCGCCGAGUUAUAUGAACAACUCGUCGAGUUCACCUUCAUCCGAUGAACAAGUCUUACCUUGACUCGUCGAGUUGUAUGAACAACUCGCCGAGUUCAUCUUCAAUCUUAAGGAGAUUGCCUUGGACUCGCCGAGUCUGUUCUAGCAGUCGUCGAGUCCCAUGAAUUCCAGGUCUAAAACUAAGUUCAAUGCGUUGGGUCACUCUUUUUUUCCUGCUACAACCCUUCUAACACCCAACUGGGUUCUUUUGACCCUCAACAGAUAUGGGACUCAAAGCCUUGGACUCGUCGAGUCCUAGGAACGGACUCGCCGAGUCGGUCAUGUCCACACUCUAAAUCCUCGAUUUUUAAUGUACAACCUUUGAUCAAAAGGCAGAUCCAAGCCCCUAGACUCGAUCUAGCACGUAAAGUUACAAACUUUACGUGCAUGCAUGGAAGAAUGAGCCCAAAUGACUCAAAAAGGAACUCCCAACAUGCAUGAGGCUUUCCAUGGGUUCUAAAACAGUUGCUUUCUGCCUUAGGGUCCCUCAAGAACCUUGGAUCCAAAACCCUAGCCCUCAACCAUGCUUGAAAUCAUGGUUGGUAGCUAAAAUGACUCUUAGAAGCCCUAACUUCCUUCAAGAAUAGAUCUAUAAUAAUAAUGAGCAAGGUAUAAGCUUUAUACCUCAAACGCACCGAGGAAGAUGCUCAAUCUCGGAUCCCUCUAACCUCUUCUUGUUUCUUCAAGCUUUUCCUUCCUUUCUUAGAUCACAAAAGCACCAAAAUCACUUAAAAGGCCUUAGAUCUUCACUCACACGAUUGGGUUUCGCUAUGGGGGUCUUGUGGGAGCAAAUGGGGGGAUGGGUGACUGAAUGAGAUGUUUAAAUAGGGUGCAAACCCUCAUAUUAGGGUUUUUGUCCAGCUAGGGCCUACUCGUCGAAUCCGGGACCCGACUCGCCAAGUCCAUCACUUAAGUCCCGCGUUCCGUCCCGCUUCUACUCGACGAGUUGGUCCUUCAACUCGCCGAGUCCAAGGCCAAAAAUGCAAAACACUUAGACAAAAAUAAAAAGAAAGGCGUACCAACAACCAGGUGCUACAAAUCUCCCCCACUUAUUUUAGACUUCGUCCUCGAAGUCUGCUACUUGUUCCUGAAACAGCUCUGGGUAAUGCUCCAUCAUCUCGUCCACCGGCUCCCAAGUCUAUUCCGAGCCCUUCCGGUGCUGCCAUUGCACCUUCACGAGCUCCACCCUCUUGUUCCUCAGAUCCUUCGUCUUCCGGUCGAGGAUCGCCACAGGUCUCUGGAUGUAAUUCAGGCUUUCAUCAACCUAAAUGUCCUCCAAGGGCACCACUGCUGAGUCGUCCACCAGACACUUUUGCAACUGGGAAACGUGGAAAGUGUUGUGGAUCUGACUGAGUUCGGAUGGCAAAUCCAGCCUAUACGCCACCUUGCCCACCCGGGCUAUAACCCUGAACGGUCUAAUGUACCUGGGGCCCAAUUUGCCCCGUUUCGUGUAUCGGAUAACGCCCUUCCAUGGCGACACCUUCAGGAGAACCAUAUCCCCGACCUGGAACUCCAGGUCUGAUCGACGGGUAUCGGCAUAACUUUUCUGCCGACUCUGAGCAAUCUGAAGCCUACUCCGGACCUGCUGAAUCCUCUCUGUCGUCUUAAGCACUACUUCAGUGCUCCCAAUUACCCUCUGUCCAACCUCGCCCCAACAUAUCGGGGUCCUGCACCUCCUCCCAUACAACAUCUCGAAAAGAGGGCAAUCAAUGCUUGCAUGAUAACUAUUGUUAUAGGAGAACUCUGCCAAUGGAAGGUAGGUAUCCUAACUACCUCCGAAGUCUAACACGCAUGCUUGCAGCAUAUCCUAAAGAGUCUGGAUGGUCUGCUCACUCUGACCAUCCGUCUGCAGGUGAAAGGCGGUGCUAAAGUGCAGACGAGUACCUAGCUCAUCAUGAAACUUCUUCCAAAACCUGGAAGUAAACCGCACACCCAUGUCUAAAAUCACCGAAACCGGCACCCCGUGUCGCGCCACCACCACCCUGAUAUAGAUGUUGGCCAACUUUUCGGCCGAAAUGCUCUCCUGAAUCGGGAUAAAAUGGUCACUCUUGGUCAAUCGAUCGACGAUGACCCAAAUCGAAUCCACUCCCCGCGCGGUCCUGGGAAGAUUUGUGAUAAAAUCCAUUGUAAUGUCUUCCCAUUUCCACAUCAUAAUAUCCAACGGAUGCAUCUUGUCAUGAGGUCUCUGAUGCUUGGCCUUGACCUUCCUGCAGAUCAAGCACCGCUCCACGUACCAUGCAACAUCCCGCUUCAUGCAGGGCCACCAAUAGUUGAGACGAAGGUCCCUAUACAUCUUUGUCUCCCUGGGAUGAAUGGAAAAUCGGGAUUUGUGCGCCUCCUCCAUCAGAACCUGGCGCACACCCCCGUGGUACGGUACCCACACCUUACGGUGUAGUGUCAGUAAUCCUCGACUGUCAUAGUCGAAGGAGGAGACCUGCCCCACUAUCCGCUUGCUCUUCCGAUGUUCUUCCUUCAUAGCCUCCUGCUGGGCCUCCUAAAUCCGCUCCAACAACGGAGUCACCACUGUCAUCCUCUGACAAAUAUCCCCAAUCGUCGCUGCCUUGCGGCUAAGCGCGUCGGCCACCAUAUUGGCCUUCCCUGGAUGGUAAAGGAUUUCGCAAUCGUAAUCCUUCACCACGUCCAACCACCGACACUGCCUUAUGUUUAGAUCCGGCUGAUCCAUGAGGUACCUUAAACUCUUGUGGUCUGUGUAGAUGGUACACCGAACCCCAUAGAGGUAAUGACGCCAAAUCUUGAGGGCGAAUACAACAGCCCCCAGCUCAAAAUCAUGCGUCGGGUAAUUCGCCUCGUGAGGCUUCAACUGCCCCGAUUCGUAGGCGAUGACAUGCCCUCUCUGCAUCAGUACUGCGCCCAAACCUGAGAUGGACACAUCGCAGUACACCACAAAAUCCUCCAUGCGCUCCGGCAGGGCUAAGAUUAGUGCCUCACACAAUCUCUGUCUCAGUGUCUUGAAUGCGGUCUGCUGCUCAGGCCCCCAACGAAAGACCACGACCUUCCUUGUUAGCCUGGUCAGGGGUACAACUAUCUUGCAGAAAUCCUGGAUGAAUCUCCGAUAGUAGCCGGCUAAUCCUAGGAAAAUCCGAAUCUCAGAUGGAGACUUCGGAACCUCCCAUCUCAUCUAGGGAUGGCAAAAAAACCCGAACCCGACGGGGAAACCCGAAACCCGAUCAUUUCGGGUCGGGUAACGGGUCGUUAUCGGGUUUUUUAUCGGGUUUGGGGCAGGGAGUGGGUUAUCCUUGCCCCGACCCGCCCCGAUUAUAUAUAUAUAUAUAUAUNNNNNNNNNNNNNNNNNNNNNNNNNNNNNNNNNNNNNNNNNNNNNNNNNNNNNNNNNNUAUAUAUAUAUAUAAUAUGUUCAAAAAAUUUUGUUGUUAAUUGUACGCGUUCGAAUAUAAAAUACUUAUCGUGGACAAUUUUUUUUGUUAUUAACAAUCUGGUGUUAAUGAUCAUUUUUACGUGUUUGGACGUAUUAAAAAAAACUUAAAUCAAAUAAUUUUUAAUAUAACGUCCAAUUUAUUUUAUUAAAGUGAUGCACCAUGUUUUUAAUUUAAAAGAGUUGCUAGAACAUGUAUAUUUUAUAAGACAUUGGGGUACCCUAAAAGAGAAUAAAGAUUUCGUUAUCAAUUGUUGUAAACCCGAUAAGAUACCCGAAACCCGACGGGGAAACCCGAAACCCAAUGGGGCGCCCCGAUAAGAUACCCGAAAGUUAUCGGGGCGGGUUUGGGAAUCCAUGCCCCGCCCCGAACCCGCCCCGUUGCCAUUCCUAAAUUCUCAUCACGACCUUCACUUUGUCCGGGUCCACCGAAAUCUCGUUCUGGUUGACGAGGUGUCCAAGGAAUUGCACCUCGCGCAACCAGAACUCACACUUGGAGAACUUAGCAUACAAGUUCUCCCUCCUCAAAGUCUCCAUCACCUCUCGCAGAUGUUCCUCACGUUCCACAUGCGUCUUGGAAUAAACCAAGAUAUCAUCAAUAAACACUAUCACAGACCGGUCUAACAUCGGUCUACACACGCAAUUCGUGAGGUCCAUGAACGCGACAUGAGCAUUGGUGGGCCCGAAGGGCAUCACCACAAACUCAUAAUGGUCAUAGCGUGUCCGGAACGCUGUCUUCUGUACAUCCCCCUCUCUGACCCUCAUGUGAUGAUACCCUGAACGCAGAUCAAUCUUGGAGAACCAAGAUGCUCCCUGUAGCUGGUCAAAGAGGUCAUCAAUCCUCGGGAGUGGGUAACGGUUCUUCACCGUUACCUUAUUCAGUUCCCGGUAAUCUAUACACAUCCGAUGCGACUUGUCCUUCUUCUUCACAAACAAAAUCGGGGCUCCCCAGGGUGAACUACUCGGUCUAAUGAAUCCCUUGUCUAACAGCUCUUGCAGCUGUGUAGACAACUGCAUCUCAGGAGGAGCCAACCGAUACGGUGCCUUGGCUAUUGGAGCCGCACCAGGGACUAGGUCGAUCCUGAACUCCACCUAUUGCUACCGAGGUAUUCCAGGAAACUCCUCGGGGAAUACGUCCGCAAAAUCUCGUUUGUCACACCCCCGACCGAGGCGGCAGAAUACGUUGGGCUGUGCGACUUAGUCAUGGAUCACAAGCAAAUUAAAUAUACAUCAUAAGUUACAACAAUAACAAUGUUGGGAUGAAAACCCUAAUUGAGAUUUGAUGAACAAGAUACGAAAAAUAUGAACAAACACAAAUAUGAAGAUUAGGUCGAAUGAUCACUCGAUUUAUUCAAACAAGAGGAAUAAAUUACACUUUCAACAUAGACUAAAGAAUCUAACACUACAUAAGAAACCUCACGUGGCGGCUACAUUUUGCCUUACUCUUAACCCUAAUAAUGAAUAAUACAUUACUAUUUAUAGGGAAAAGACAAGUCUUGGGCUUUUAACCUACAGUUUAUCAAAGGGGCCCAUUGCGAUCAUCCAUGGAGUGCUUUGAAACCUUACAAUCUCCCCCUCAAAGUAUGGAAUGGAUGACAAUGCUUUAACUUCCAAAGUAUGGAAUGGAUGACAAUGGAGUGCUUUGAAACCUUACAAUCUCCCCCUCAAAGUAUGGAAUGGAUGACAAUGCUUUAACUUCCAAAACAAGCAUCUAGCAAAUAAAAAGAUCAUGCAACAAGGAAUAGAUGAAACAAUCCACGAAUCUUGAUUCUUCAAUAGUCUUCAAACACGGGCGCUAGGAUAUAUAAAUCAAGCACUGAAGUAAUGUCUUUAAACUUCAUUUUCGAAUGUAAUCCCAAAUAAAAUCUUCAUGAAAACCAAGCCCACCAUAAAAACCCAUUUUAGAACAAAGAAACCGAAUCACUUCUUGUCUUUGAAGAGCUUCCCCUCCAAGUCACAAUGAUCUUCAAAUAAGCUAAUGAUAUAAUCCAUCAAAAAAUAUCAUGUAACAACCCAAACUUUAAGAUUCGUAAUGCCACUUGAUCGAGAAAAUACUAGAAGUCGGAGAUAUAACAAGUCCUUAGCAGAGCUCGAUAAAGAACUUCCGCUGUAAAGGAUACUUCUCUGUAAAAGCUUUAGCAGAGCUCGAUAAAGAACUUCCACUGUAAAAGCUACCUUCAUAAUUCUACCACAAGCUUUAUAAUAAAAACUUCAACUUUGAAAGGUCACAAAUCCAAUUUCGAAUGGCCAUACCAAAUUCUCCCCUGAUUUAUAAUCGAAAACCUAAUUAUAAAGUCUUCUUAUGGUCAUGAGAAUGAUCUUGAAUGGAUAAAAAUUACUGUGCUCCCCCGCGACAAAAUGAUAUAUACAAUGAAGUAUAAAACCCGAAAAAGUCAUGAAAAUUUGUCGUUAUCACGAAAAACGACUUUUCGAACCGCCAAGACUUGAUGGAAUCCAUAAUUUUCUAUUCACAAAAAAAUAUGAGCGUUGAAAAAUCCAAAACUGUUCACCAGCCUUCAAAUUUGCAAAUUUUUUGAAAAAUGGGCUGAAACUGUCAUACUGCUGAAAGUCGGGGACUGAAAAUAUAACUCUACAUCAAUUCCCCCUUUAAUUAUAUCAAUUUCUGGAAUGGACCAAAAUAGCCAAGUUGUGAAAACAACAGGGACCAAAGGUAUGAAAUCAUUGAAGUUGCAGGGACCAAAAAUGUAACAUUGUGUCUUCUUCCCCAUAUAUCAACUGAUUAACACCCUGCUCCUAAGUAUCACUUAAUGAAAGAAGAGAAUGGAAUUGAGAGGAUUUGGAAGGAAAGAAGAGAAGUUUGGGUGCUCCCUAGUAUUUUUUUUUUUGAAGAGAAGAGAUGAAGAGAGCAGAUUUGGGAGGAUUUGUAUCGUUCCAAACUUUCCUCCCAAAAUGGGCGGAAUUGGAGAGAAAGAAAACGGCUGGAAGAUAAAAAGGUAGAUUAUGACGAAAAUACCCUUUAGCCUAACAAUAAAAAGAUAUGCUCACUGAUUCUACUAAUCGAUUAGCUUCUGCCUCGUCUUCUUCUCUGUUACAAACACCAGGUACCCAAUUUCUUCUUCAACUGUUUUUUUUUAUAUCCUUUUGUAUUCUACCUGAUUAGGCUUCUGCCUUAUGUUUGUUGCCCAAUUUCUUCUUAUUUGUGUUACGGAUUCUGCUUCUGUUAUGACUUCUGCCAUUUUUUUUGGUUAGACUAUGUAUAUGUGUUGUAUUAUAGCACUAAUUAAUCCCAUCAAACUGCUUACAAAUUUUUUUUAUCAAUGGGACAAAAAAUUGUAAUAUUUUGUCCCUCCUAAAAAUUAUAAUAUUUUGUCCAUCUUUUGUUUAUAAUAGCAGAGAAUUUUACCUGUAACAGGUAAUACCCUUAACUUGAAAUGUUCAAACUGCUUAAAGAUAAUAUAGAGUUAAUAGGUUAUAAACUAACCCAUCUGUAGGGACAUUUGCAAUACUCAGUUUCACAGGACAUAAAGGAUGUCCCAUGGUUACCCAGAAUCUGCAUAUAAAGUUUUUAAAAAAUUAAACAAAGUUUUAAACAGAAGAUGAAUUAUAUAGUUUGUAUAUAUUACAUGGAUUUUAAGAAAAAAAAAUAUAUAAUUUUAUGGAGUAAACUUAUGGAUCUGCAUGUCCAAGUCUACAAAUUUCACAAGCAAUAUGCUGCCACAGGUUGCAUUUUUUUAUCUUCACACAAAGAUGAAAAAGUGAAAUUUUCAAGAUUAUUAGCAUAUAGAGAUUCUCGUUUUAGAAAAAAAAGAAAAAAUUGUUUUUUGAAGCUAAUUACAUGUUAUUUUUUAAAGCUAAUUACAUGUUAUUUUUAUCAAAAUGAGUGUUUUGCCCCAAGAUUACAUUUAACUUUUAUAACAAAAAAAGUUUAUUAAUUAUAAUUAAUAAAUCAACUCUUUAUAAUUACAUGUUAUUUUUAUCAAAAUGACUGUUUUGCCCCUAGAUUACAUUUAACUUUUAUAACAAAAAAAGUUUAUUAAUUAUAAUUAAUAAAUCAACUCUUUAUAAUUACAUGUUAUUUUUAUCAAUGUUGUUUAAAUUUAACUCAAACUAUUUGAUCAUGUAUAAGAAAAAGGGAUUAGUUCAUAUUUAGUCCUUAUGGAUACUCCGGUACUCAACCCUGCUCAUGCUUUAAGAGCCCGACAAUUGCAAGUCGUUAACUUGAUUUGCUUGUUGUUGACUUUUAUUACACAACGUAAUAUGGCCAACAAAAAGCGGGUUAGGUUACCCACUAGAAAAGUUAUUUUAGAAAGACAAGCUGUACGGGAAGAGUUGCUACACAAUCUUUUAGAAGGUGGUCAAUGUCGUGACCUUAUUCGUAUGAGUGAAAACGCUUUUAGGAGAUUGUGUGAAAUCUUACAAACUGUAGGUGGUCUACGACGUACGCAACGCAUGUCCGUUGAGGAACAUGUUGCUAGAUUUUUGCAUAUUGUAAGUAAUGAUUUGCGAACUCGGUUUACCUCGUGGAUGUAUCGUCGCUCUAGAUCAACAACGAGUAGGUGCUUCCAUAGAGUAUUACGAUCGAUUAUAGCAAUAGAAGGUCUUUAUAUUCAGCAACCUACAGGUGAUGUUGUCCCGAGAGAAAUUCAAGAAAGUAGGAGAUUUUAUCCUUUUUUCAAGGAUUGUAUAGGGGCAAUAGAUGGAACACAUGUUCGUGUCCAUGUGCCUAAUAGAGAUGCCCCUAGAUACCGUGGUCGUAAGGGAUACCCGACAAUAAAUGUAUUAGCUGCUUGUACAUUUGAUUUGAAGUUUACGUAUGUGUUAACGGGUUGGGAGGGUACUGCAUCAGACUCGAGAAUAAUAAAGAACACAUUUACUAGAGAUGAUAAACUACUAAUUCCAUCAGGUAAUUUAUUAAACCAAUGUAAUUUCAAUAUCUAAUAUUUUUCAAUAAUAUUGAUUAAGCUCUUUAUAGGUAGAUAUUGUUUAGUAGAUGGGGGUUUGCCUCAUACGAAUAAACUAAUGGCGCCAUAUAGAGGUGUUAGAUAUCAUUUAAAAGAGUACUCCAUGCGUGGUCCACAAAAUUCUAAAGAGUUGUUUAAUCUUCGUCAUGCUUCCUUACGUAACGCCAUUGAGCGAGCUUUUGGUGUCCUUAAAAGAAGGUUUCCUAUCAUUCGAAGUACAACGGAACCAUUUUACUCUUGUGAAACACAAUCUGCCAUAUUUUUGGCAUGUUGUAUUCUACACAACUUUUUACUAGAUGAAGACCGCGGCACAAAUCUUGAAGAUGAGGUGAUGCAGGAGAUCUUAAACGAACCACAAGAGCAAGAUCGUCGUAAUUCAACAGAAACAGAUGAGGAUAAUAGUAGGGCAGAUCAACUAAGGAAUUCAAUUGCAAAUGAAAUGUGGGCAAAUUAUUUGGCACAUUCAAACAAUUAAAUUAAUAUGUAAAACUAGUUUCAUAUUGAUGCAUUUUGUUUUCAAUUUCACAUUUUAUUGAGGAUUGGUUUUUGAGAUUAAUUAUGUGUUUUACCCUUCAUAUUUUUCAUUAGUAUUAUGCUUCGUAUUGUGGUCUAACAAUGUAUGAUUCUUUAAUUUUUAUUCCUAUGUGCAAAGUCAUCAUGAGCAAACAGGAAGCUAGUGGUAGUGAAAAGGAACAAGUUAAAUGGUCAGAUAAGAUGGAUUAUGCGUACAUCAAAGCGAUGAUUAAACAACAAGAGAUAGGAAAUAGGGUGAAUGGUAGUUUCACACCAACUGCAUAUGCUCAAAUGGUUGAGGAGUUGAACACAGAGCAUCAAAUGGAUAUUACCAAAAGUCAUUUGAAGAAUCGCUACAAAACCUUAAAAAAAACAUUUUUCGCAAUGGUACGAUUUGUUUAGGGGAAUUUCAUUGAGCGGGUUCGCUUGGAAUUCAACUACUCAACUAAUAGAAGCAGAGGAAGAAGUAUGGGAUAAUUUAAUAAAUGUAAGUGUUUCUUUUAUGUAUAUGUUAUUUUUUUAAAUAUUUUAUGUUAUCGUUUGCAAUAUUAAUUAUUUUUGUGUUGUUAAAUAGUCAAAACCUGAGGCUGCGUUGUUAAGGACAAAAAAGAUCGCAAACUUUGAUGAUAUGUUGAUAUUAUGUGCAAGGGAUAGGGCAUCUGGUGCACAUGCUGAAACGGCGAAAGAAAGAAAUGACCGAUUAAAUAAAAAUGUAAAAAUUCAAGUUGAAACAAUUAAAGAAGUUGACGACUUGUUAGCUAACAAUGAAAUUCAUUUGGAGAACGAAUAUGUUGAUCUUGAUGAUGACAUUCAGGGUGUUAUUCCAACUCCGUUUUCACAAGGGCAGUCUUCAGGUGCAAAGAAGUGUAAGAGUAAAAAGAGGAAAUUUGAAGAAGAAGACGAAGAAGAAGAAGAUUUUAACUCAAAGAUAAUGAAAUCAGUUGAUAAUGUGGCUGGUGCUAUCAGGGAGGGUAAUGUAAUAUUUGAUAAAGCUUAUCCUCGGGAGUAUACAGGGGACGAAAUUUAUAGAGAAUUGGAGUUGGUGGGUUUGGAACCCCAUGAAUUACCGAGGGCUCUAAAUUUUUUGGCAGCAAAUCAAGCAAAAGCUAGGACAUUGUUCAGUUGUCCCCUUCAGAUACGGAUGGGUGUCCUCAAAGAUAUGAUGGGUGCACGUGAUUAAAUAACCUUGGGUGAUUGUUACUGGAUUGAUCUUAUGCGUUUAUGAUUUUGGUUUUUUUUAUUUUUUUUGAGUUGUUUGUGGUUUUCGUUUUGCAUCUUGAAAACAAUUGAAUAACAUGCGGUUUCCCUUUUUACAAUUUACUUUAUGUUAAAAUAAAAUUGUUUUGUUAAUGUUUUAAGUAGAGGGGAGGAAGGGAGAGUUGGUUUUUUUGGGGUAGGGGGUACGGUAGAAUGAAUGUGGGGAUGUAAAGACUUAAUAUUUACUCAAAAACAUAAAAGGGUAUAAUUGUCUUUUUUUNAAAAUGGAUGUGGGGUUGUAAACACUUAAAAUAUUUACUUAAUAACAUGAAGGGUAUAAUUGUCUUUUAUUUAUUUUUUUUUCUUUUCCUUUCAACUCGGGAGCACCUAAAAUGUAUACUUUCUUUUCCUUUCUUUUGAACUCGGGAGCAUGGAAUACUUUAUCCUUUCUGUUCCCUUUCUUUUCUUUUCCCUCCUUGUUCUUCCUUUUUUUCUUUUCUUUUCUUUUCUUUCCUUUAAUGAACUCAGGAGCAGGGUGUAAAAGAAUCAACACCCAAAGCGACUGGCAUGGCGACUUCAAACAGAUGGAACCACAAAUCCUAUUCCGAUCAAACCUUUCGUUCACAUUUCUUAUGUUUGUGGGAGUUAGGAAUCCAGGCCAAUUCCAAUUCCAAACCUAUUUGAAGCUAGAUGCGAAUCAUUGUCAACCGGAAGCGGACCUUAGGUUCGCUUCAAAUGUUCGCGUCUGUGACCUUUGCUUCUAUGAGUUUCGCUUGUGAUUGUAAGGUUCGUUUCAUGUUGAUUACACACCCAAAAAGCAAACCCAACUGAACGUUUGGUUCCAUUCGGUUCCAAGCAUAAUCAUGCGAACCCAAGUUCAUUCCAGGUUCGUUCCAAGUCCAUCGAUUAUAAACCUGAUGCAAAUCCACGUCGACGAACGUUAUGAGUGCGAGCCUAGAAAAAACGAGCUUCGAUCGUUUGCAGGUUAGAUGUUCCUUCAUAGUUCACCCCAAAUCAGAGUCAAUUUUGACUUUUUAAUUGACUACCACGUUCGAACAGAUACACACCUAUUUCAACCGAGUUCCAAUCAAGAAUGCGAGCCAUACUCCCAAUUACCUUCGCAGGUGAGACCAUUCUUUACGAUUUUGACCAUUAAAGUCGAAACACAAUUGACCAUAACCCAAACAAUCGCAGGUAACAAGCAUGCAAGCCCAGAUUUCCAAUCACUGAAACUAAGAUCAUUCGCAGGUAAAGUCUUUCAAAGAAAUUUUGACAUUCAGGUGUGACUCUUCAUUCAUCGUAUCACACUUCCGAUUACAAAGAUUGAUUCAGUGUAGGAUCCGACUAAUUCUUUCUAUUUCAAUCAAUACCAAACAGGAUUCAAGAUCUGAUUUUGACCCCGAUUUCUGUUCAACAAAGUGAUUUUGUAGUUCCGUUUUAAACCUUUCGAUCUGAUUUUGACUUCCAGGGUUGACCAUCCAAAUUGAUUAUCGACAAAUACCAAUAUCAACAUUUCUCAUAUUGAUUUCAGGAUCAAAUGAUUUUUCUAAUUAAAUUCAUCACUAUCUUCAUCUGUUCUUGGCUUCACAGAACGAUAUAAAAUCGAUAUUCGAUAUAGAAACAUGAAUGAACAAAUUGAUUUAGUUUAAACACAAAAUCAAUUAAUAAGAUUGGAAUCGUUUUUGAUGACAGAUGAUUCGAUUAGCGAUGAACGAUUUCAUGGAAUGAUAAGAUCAAUGAACAGAAAUCGAUAUUGGUUGGUCCAAAAACGCACGAACAGCAAUCGAAACAAUGGGUUUAGGGAAUGGAUCAUGAAUAGCAACAGACCAAUUAUUUGGGCCAGAUUAAAACCGUAGAAUCGUUGUUGAUAUUUGACGAAUUAACAAACGGAUACGAAUAGUAAAACGAAUAGAUUAAAAAAAAAUACCAGAUGAAUAGUGAACACUGUAAAUCUCCAUGAACAGUGGAAAAAAAAAACUUUGAUUCCAAACCGUCAAAACACCAAUAUCUUCAAUAACUUGUGCAGAAAAUCACCAAAUUAAGAACCGAUACUUCAAAAAUCAAUAGAUCUUCAAAGACCCGCUCUGAUACCACUUGUUGGGAUGAAAACCCUAAUUAAGAUUUGAUGAACAAGAUGCGGAAAAUAAGAACAAACACAAAUAUGAAGAUUAGGUCAAAUGAUCACUCGAUUUAUUCAAACAAGAGGAAUAAAUUACACUUUCAACAUAGACUAAAGAAUCUAACAAUACAUAAGAAACCUCACGUGGCGACUACAUUUUGCCUUACUCUUAACCCUAAUAAUGAAUAUUACAUGACCAUUUAUAGGGAAAAGACAAGUGUUGAGCUUUUAACCUACAAUUCAUCAAAGGGGCCCAUUGCGAUCAUCCAUGGAGUGCUUUGAAACCCUACAAACAAAAUAGCAAUUACAUUACUCUUUAAGGUUUGAAUACAAAGUUCAUAAUAAGAAAUUCAUAAAGUUCCCUUAACGGAUAGGCCGAUUUAUCAAAAGCUAGAUAAAUCUAGGUCGCCUGAAAUCCAUGACUGAUCUUCUGACUGAAAGCUCGUUUAGUGAUACUCUAAGAAUACAUGAAAUUUUGAGGGUCAACACAAGGUUGGUGAAAGUUUACAGGUUUUCUGCUAACCGCAGUAAUGAUACUUUAAAAUAUUAAAAAGUAUUCCAUUUAUAGUUUAAGCCAUGUUUGAAAAUGUUUGAUAAAAUAGAAAUUUAUAAUUAAAUCCAUGGCCAAAAUGUUUAGUAAUCAGAAAAAUCGUGAGUUAAUCCAUACUCAAAAUGUUUGGUACUCAAAGAAUCGUGAAUAAAUCCAUACUCAAAAUGUUUAGUAAUCAGAGAAACCGUGAGUAAUUCCAUACUCAAAAUGUUUGGUGCUUAAAGAAAACCGUGAGUAAAUCCAUACUCAAAAUGUUUGAUAACCAGAGAAACCAGAUAUGUGGUUUCUAGAUUAUGAGAUCUAGUUAAUGCUUAUAGUGAGUCCUAUAACCGAGCUACGUGACUGUACCUACCCCUACGACGCUUCAUUGGACGUCGUAAAACUGUUUUAGAUAUUUAUCACCCGCUUCGAUUGAUCGGUCGAGGUUGUAGCUAGCAACCACGAGUGGGGAUGUCUACUCGUAUAGAUCUAUACAUACGUAUCUCAGCUCCGAAGAUUAACGGUUAUAGUGGUGUGGGUCUUCUAAGUGUUUGUUUGUACUUAGGGUAAUGAAUAAUGUCUCACUCAUAAGGCCCUUAACUAGAGUUUGUCAUGAAAAACCUGUUAUACUUGAUAAGAAAAUCCAUAAAAAUGUGUAAUGCUCGUUCAAACAAGUGGUAAAUCUCAUGGUAGUGUACACAGUACAUAAAUGAUUUCAAGAUAAUAGUUUGAUAACUCGUAUAUGUAUGUUUGGUAUGCGUAAUGCUCGUUCAAACAAGUGGUAAAUAUCAGGAUUGACCUAGUCCCUGGUGUAGCUCUGAUAGCCAAGGCAUCGUAUCGGUUGGCUCCUCCCGAGAUGCAGGAGUUGUCUACACAGCUGUAGGAGCUGCUAGACAAGAGAUUUAUCAGGCCGAGUAGCUCGCCUUGGGGAGCCCUUGAUUCUGUUUGUCAAGAAGAAGGACGGGUCGCAUCGCAUGUGCAUAGACUACUGGGAGCUGAACAAGGUAACAGUGAAUAACCAUUACCCACUCCCGAGGAUUGACGACCUCUUCGACCAGCUACAGAGAGCAUCUUGGUUCUCCAAGAUCGAUUUGCGUUCAGGUUAUCAUCAGAUGAGGGUCCAAGAGGAGGAUGUGCAGAAGACUGCGUUUCAGAAUCACUAUGGCCACUACGAGUUCGUGGUGAUGCCCUUCGGACUCACCAAUGCUCCUGCCGCGUUCAUGGAUCUCAUGAACCGCGUAUGUAGAUCGAUGCUGGAUCGGUCCGUGAUAGUUUUCAUCAAUGAUAUCUUGGUUUACUUCAAGACGCAGGAGGAGCAUGAGGAGCACCCGCGAGUGGUUCUAGAGACUUUGAGGAGGGAGAACUUGUAUGCUAAGUUCUUCAAGUGUGAGUUCUAGUUACGCGAGGUGCAGUUUCUUGGGCACCUUGUCAACCAAAACGUGAUAUCGGUUGAUCCGGCCAAAGUGGAGGCCGUGAUGAGAUGGGAGGUUCCGAGGUCUCUAUCUGAGAUUCAGAGUUUCCUAGGAUUAGCCGGCUAUUGUCGGAGAUUCAGCUAGGAUUUCUCUAAGAUAGCCGUACCCCUGACCAGGCUGACGAGGUAAGUCGUGGUCUUUAGCUAGGGGCUUGAGCAGCAAGCUGCUUUUAAGGAUUUGAGACAAAGAUUAUGCAAGGCGCCAAUUUUAGCUAUGCCAGAGGGCAUGGAGGAUUUUACCGUAUAUUGCGAUGCGUCCAUCUCGGGUUUGGGCGCAGUUUUGAUACAGAUAGGACAUGUUAUUGCUUACGCUUCGAGGCAGCUGAAACCUCACAAGGCGAACUACCCGACACAUGAUUUGGAGCUGGGGGCGGUGGUUUUCGCCCUCAUGAUUUGACGUCAUUACCUCUAUGGGGUUCGUUGUACCAUUUACAAGGACCACAAGAGCCUGAGGUAUCUCAUGGACUAGCCAAAUCUGAACAUGAGGCAGCGUCGGUGGUUGGACGUGGUGAAGGAUUAUGAUUGUGAGAUUCUUUACCACCCGGGGAAGGCCAAUGUAGUGGCCGACGCGUUUAGCCGCAAGGCAGCGCCGAUCAGGGAUAUCUGCAUGCGGAUGACCGUGGUGACUCCGCUGUUGGAGCAGAUCCGAGAGGCCCAGCAGGAAGCUAUGAAGGAGGAACAUCAGAAGAAUGAGUGUAUUGUAGGUCAGGUUUCCUCUUUCGACUAUGAUAGCCGAGGAUUGUUGACCCUUCACCAUAGGGUGUGGGUCCCCUUUCAUAGAGGCGUGCAUCAGACAUUGAUGGAGGUGGCACACAAGUCCAGGUUUUCUAUCCAUCCCGGGGCGACGAAGAUGUAUAGGGAUCUUCGUCUCAACUAUUGGUGGCCCUGCAUGAAGCGGAAUGUGGCAUGGUACUUGGAGUGGUGCUUGACCUGCAGGAAGGUCAAGGCCGAGCAUCAGAGACCACACGGCAAGAUGCAAUCGUUAGAUAUUCCCAUGUGGAAGUGGAUUCUAUAUGGGUCAUCGUAGAUUUCAUCACCAAACUUCCCACGACCGCGCGGGGAGUCGUGGAUCGAUUGACCAAGAGUGCUCAUUUCAUACCGAUCCAAGAGAGUAUAUCGGCCGAGAAGCUGGCCGACAUCUACAUUCGGGAGGAGGUGGCUAGGCAUGUAGUGCCAGUCUCCAUGAUUUUCUGACAGAGAUGUGCGGUUUAUUUCCAGAUUUUGGAAGAUAUUCCACGACGAGUUGGGAACUCGUCUACACUUUAGCACCGCUUUUCACCCGCAGACGGAUGGGCAGAGCGAGCGGACCAUCUAUCACUUGAGGAUAUGUUGCGGACGUGCGUGUUGGACUUUGGUGGUAGUUGGGAUACUUACCUCCCAUUGGCUGAGUUCUCGUACAACAACAACUACUACGCGAGUAUUGACCGUCCUCCCUUCGAGAUGUUAUACGGGAGGAAGUGUAGGACCCCGAUAUGUUGGGGUGAGGUUGGAAAGAGGGUCAUGGGGAGCACCAAAGUGGUGCUCAAGAUGACAUAGAGGAUUCAGCAGGUCUGGAGCAGGCUUCAAACUGCUCAGAUUCGGCAGACAAGUUAUGCUGACAAGCGCCGAUCAGACCUGGAGUUCCAGGUCGGAGAUAUGGUUCUCCUGACGGUGUCGCCAUGGAAGGGCGUCAUCCGAUUUAGGAAACGGGCUAAGUUGGGUCCCAGGUAUAUCAGACCCUUCAAGGUUAUAUCCCCGAUGGGCAAAGUGGCGUAUAAGCUGGACUUGCCAGCCGAACUCAGUCAGAUUCAUAGCACUUUUCACGUCUCCCAGCUCUGGAAAUGUUUGGUGGACGAUUCGGCAGUGGUACCUUUAGAGGAUAUUCAGGUCGAUGACAACCUGAAUUACAUUGAGCGGCCUGUGGCGAUCCUUGACCAAAAAUCGAAGGAUCUGAGGAACAAGAGGGUCGAGAUGGUGAAGGUGCAAUGGCAGCACCAGAAGAGCUCAAAAUGGACUUGGGAGCCGGUGGAUGAGAUGAUGGAGCAUUACCCAUAGCUUUUUUCAGGAACGAGCAGCAGACUUCGAGGAUGAAGUCUAAAAUAAGUGGGGGAGAUUUGUAGCACCUGGUUCGUGGUAUGUAUUCUAUUUAAGUAUUUUGAAUUUUUGGCAUGGGACUCGGCGAGUUGAAGGCCCAACUCUUCGAGUUGAAGCGGAUUUGAUACGAGAUUUAAAUGACGGACUCGUCGAGUCGGCUCCCAGACUCGACGAGUAGACUCUGACUGGACAAAACCUAACCUAAGGGUUUGCACCCUAUUUAAGCAUCUCAUCCAGCCACCCCUUCGUCCCUAUUGCUUCCAGAAACCCCCCAUAGCAAACCCUAACCGUUUGUGUAAAAAGCUAAGGCAUUUGUGGUGCUUUUUGGUGGUUUUGAACUCAAAGAAGAAGGAAAAGCCUAGAGGAAUCAAGAGAAGACCAAGGGAGUUCAAGUUUGUUCGCCAUUUGCCGUUCCCAUAAGGUAUAAAGUCGACACCUUGCUUCUUCAUUUGCUAGAUCCCUUUUUGAGGAGAUUUAUGGCUUUUAUAAGCCAUUCUUGGUAACCAACCAUGAUUGCACGCAUGGUUGGGGGUUGAGGCUUCGGAUCUAGGUCCAUGAAGGAGUUACAAGGCAGAAAAGGGAUGCUUUUGCACCCAUGGAAGCCCCCAUGCAACUUAAGAGUCUCUUUUAGAGCAUUUUAGGCUCUAAGUCCCAUGCAUGCACGUAAAGUUUGUAACUUUCUGUGCUAGAUCGAGUUUAGGGACCUAGAUCUAUCAUUUGGACAAGAGUUGUACACCAAAAAUCGAAGAAAUAGACUUGGACAGUGUCGACUCGGCGAGUCGUUCUUGGGACUUGACGAGUCCGAGGUUAGACUUCCCUUUUCUGUUAUGGGUCAAAGAGACCCAGUGGAGUGCUGGAAAGGUUUUAGAGGGUCCCGGGGAGUGACCCAAUGUAUUAGGAUAAGCCAUAGUCCUAGAGUUCGUUGGACCCGGUGAGUGCAUGAGCAGACUCGGCGAGUACAAGGCAAUCUCCCAACUCUUGAAGAUGAACUAGACGAGUUGUUCAUACAACUCGACGAGUCGAGGGCAGGACUUGUUCAUAGGAUGGAGAUGAACUCGACGAGUUGUUCAUACAACUCGGCGAUUCGGAUGAAGUUUCAUUCGGGGUUGUUUUAGAAGGAGAACUCGUCGAGUCGUUGCCAAACUCGAAGAGUAGAGGCGUGAAGAAGGACAGAUGAAAGGAUAGGGACUCGACGAGUUAGCGGCCCAACUCAACGAGUCGGGUCAACUGGAAGUUGACUUUGACUUGGUCAGGGGUAAAAUAGUCAUUUUACCCUAAGAGUAUAUAUUAGGUUCUGACUGAGUGUUUUGUGGGGAUUAUAGCUGGAGGAUUUUCGGAGCAGCCGCAGACAGAGAUUUCCCGCGCAGGUUAUCAGCAGCUACUCGUUCGAGGUGAGUUACCGUCUAGUAGCAGUGGGUCUACGGCCACAAUGUCGGCCCACUAGUAUGAGUUGUAUGUUAGAUGAUUGUCUUUGUGAUAUUCAUCUAGGUUUGCUACUACCUGAUACGUUAUGUGUCAGUAUCAGAUGAUGUUAUAUGCCAGUAGCAGUAGGGGAGAUAGUCCCCAAGAUUUUCGGCCGAUAGGACCAAAGAGGGGUAGUCAUACCCAGUCAUACUAGAUAAAAUAUGAUUAUGUGAUUCAUGUUAUGUGGUAGUAGUAAAGGGGUGAAAUAGUCCCUAGUAUCCGGUCGACAGGAUUGAAGGGGUAGGCCAGCACCCAUAUGUGCUAGGCAGUAUCCUGGUUGACAGGACCGAAGGGGAGGCCAACACCCAGAUAUGCUAGGCAGUAUCCGGUCGACAUGACCGAAGGGGUAGGUCGGGCACCCAGAUAUGCCUAAAAGUAUAUGUAUGUUAUGUGAUUGUAUGUUAUGUGGUAUGAUAGGGGAACCCACUAAGCUUAGUGCUUACAGUUUACAAUUUUGGUUUCAGGUACCUCUUCAGCGAAGGGGAAGGAGCUGGUGCGGUAGCAGCACAUCAUACACACACGCACUGAUUUUCCGCACUUGUGAUAUUCUGGGAUUAUACUCUAACAUAUUUCUAUCUUAUGAUUUGGGUUUUCAGACAUGAUAUGUUGAUUUACGAAAGGAUAUAUUUCUACGUAGUUUUCUUAUGAAUGUUUUUAUACUCAGUUAAUUAAAAUGAAAUUUUGGACUCGAAAUUUGGGAUGUUACAGUUAGGGUCUGUUAAUUGUUCGUUGGUGUGAAUUAUUAAAUCGUGUUUGUCGGUGUUCAGUAUUUUAAGUUUUAAUUUAUAGUUACUUUUUUAAUUUAAUAUGAAAUAUUUUUUUUAGAAAAUAUAAUUGAUAUUAUAUUAAUUGUUUGUGGUUUCAAAAAAAAAUGUUUAAUAUUUAUGCACAAAAAGUUUCUAUAUUAAAACAAAGUAAUUAAAUUAAAUUAGAAAAAAAUAAAAAAAAAUGGAGUGCUAGAAGUGUUACCACUCCUUACCAAAUGCUAAUGUUAGGCGCUAAAUGGUCAAAAAUGAGGUGGCAUUCCAAAAUCUGACGUGGCAAGGUGUUAAGAGUGUUACCACUCCCCUUUGCCAUAGGGAAAUUGAGUAAACUAAUCAAUUUUUUUGUGUGUUUUUAAAAAUAUAACUCAUUUUUUUUUUGCAAAAUAACCACAUUCUGCCGAAUGGGCUGUUUCGGAACCUAUUUCGGAUGUGUCGGCCCAUUUCGUUGCCUUCGGAAUGCUCAUUCCGGAGUUUUCGUAUGUGUUCCGGAUCAGAAAUUUGAAUUUCAAAAUUCAAAAUAUAUUUUGAAAAAAUCUAGACCCUUGACUUCAUUUUGGAUCUUGCUCCGACUUUCCAACGCCAUUUCGAUCUCCAACGUAGAAGACGAACACUACGACCCAGUAAUUUUACAGGUACGUUCUUCACUCAAAAAACUUAGUUUACUUUUUUGUAUAACGAAAGAUGCAUUCCUAAGAACCAUUGGAUUUUCCCCAAAUCCAAAAGAAUCUCGGUCUUUAAACCAACUGCAGAAGAGUUUCAAGAGUUCUUGAACCAAAUCGGGUUCAAAGGGGCUUACAAAUCCAAGGGAGUUCAAGAAAUCUGCAGUUCUUGAGAUAUGGACAAUUUUGAUGCACUUCGUCAUGAAGGGUUUAUUAGGAAAACAUGGAGGCUCAGAUUGUUGGAUUAGGUGUAUAAGCCCUUAACUAUGAUUGGUAUGUACUUGACCCGAUAUAAGCAUGGUCUAUUUGGGUUGCAACUCUAUGGAGCAAUUUAAUAGGAUGGAUAUUUGAGAAAGUGGUUAUCUAUGAUUUAUUAAUAUAUUAUAAGUAUAAUAUAUUAAUUGAGAAAUCAUACUAUUUAAUUAUUAUUGAUCAAGAAUUAACUGGAAUUAAUUUAGUGAUCAAAAGAGACUAAUUAAAUUAACGGAGACUGAUUAUAUAUGUAAAUCAGUGAUACAUAUGGUUUGGGCUAUUGAUCCAUGAUGGACAAAGCUUAUGUGAAAUUCCAUGAAAUAUUAGUCCAUAUGAAUUAUGGAACAUAAGCCAAAGUGUAAGAAUUAGGUUUUGCUUAUGACUCUUGGAAUUCUACACUAUAUAUGUAUUCCUCUAAAGUAAAAAAUCGUGCACUAUGUGUUCCUAGAAGCCCUAAAUGAUUUUUGUGUCUCCGAACCUCUCUCUCAAGUUCCUCCUCUUGUUCUUGGUUUGUUGUAAGACAUUUGAGGCAUCACACUUGAGGUGCUAGGAUCUUGAAAAACUAAUAUCUACAAGCUAUAAUCAAGAGGUAUUCUUCUAACUUACUUUUAUGAUUCAUAUGUCAAAUUGUAUCCUAGUUGUAGGCUUCAUGCUUUGGAAUUUUUUUUUUGCAUGUAUAACUAGAGAAAACUUAGAUCAAAAAGUUAUUAGGGUUGUAUGUGCACCAUAGGAGUGUUAUGGUACAUAAAUCCUAACAGUAGUAUCAAAGCCAUGGGUGUCUUCUAUUAUAUUGAUGCAUUGGUUAAUUAUUCAAAGCAAGAAAAAUCGUACAAGUGCGUGCCACGCCUGACCAAGUGCGCGUCGUACAUAGGCUUGGUCGGCACUCCUCCCCUCAGAGCGUGACACAUGUUGAUCAUUGGCUGGGUCGGCAUGGUGCUUCUAGAAGGUGUGCGCGCCGCCCUUUUACGUGCACAUACGAAUUUCCAAAUCUUUAAAAAUUCAUAUCUUCUUCAUACGAACUUUGUUUUUGACGUUCUUUAUAUCCCUAGAAAGCUCUCGACGAGAUCUACAACUUUCCUUUAGACUUCGUCGGCUAAUUCCAACUUUGUUUUUUAAUUUAUAUUUUUAACGGGCUUAGAUGGUUAAUAUCCGUUAAGAAUUCAUAACUAUCUCAUCUGAUGACCAUUCUCGGCUGUCUUUAUAUCAGUGGAAUCCUAACAACGAUAUCUUCAACUUUUGUUUAGAUCACUAGGGGCUAAUAAGUAACCUAUCUCCAACUCACUAUUUACGACAUAUAUUAUAACUCGGUUAAGAUUAUUUAUCCUAAACAAUCUAUUGUUUAAAAGUCAUUAUUAUGGCUUAUAAUAACUUUAUUGCCUAGCCUGAAUUUAUGGGUGUUACAAUAUCAUUUGGUCCUAUUAGCCUAAUGAAGUCAUCAAGAAAGUAUUAGGGUUGGCAACAAGAUCAAAUCAACAAGGCUAUUGAAGAAGGUCUACGAAUUCAAGCUCAAAAUGGUUCUUUAAAUCCUUUUCCUGGAAUCUCACCACUUUAUCCAAAAUGAAUCUUACAUGAACAUCACAUGGUUUCAUGUAUCGUUAUGAUCUUCCUGUUUUGGACUCUGAUCAAAUCGACUUGCCAACAUAUCCUUAUGCAAGGUUUUAUGUUAAGUGUACUCAACUGAAUCUGAACGAUGAUCAAGAGAUUGUCAUCAGAAUAGAAAGAGAACAUUUAAGUACCUUCUACACCACCAAUGCUCUUCCUAAAAACCAAGUGUGGUCAAAACAAAGAAUCACACAAAUCUGUGGUGAAAAGCCUCUAGAUCAAUCAAUUUAUCAAACAAUAACAGUAAAUAAGAAUAAGAAGAAUUCACGAAGAAAACCUUUCACUAAGAAAGAUAAUCUCACAAAGAGAUUAUCGUGUGCACAAAGCAGCGAUUAGGGUUUGUGAAAGGCGUAACCUUUCAUAAACCGAUACAAAAGAUUAUAUACUGCUAUUCUAGACAAUCCCUACAAAUCAGGGAUAUGCCAGCUAACUAUGGAAACAAGAUAAAUACAAAAUCUGUUACAAUGCACUGACUAAACUACACAAGCUAAGUUGCUGAAACGCUGAUGCUGAUACUGAGAUAUGCGCUGAUGCUGAGAUUUAUUUCAAACAUCAUCAUAUUUCAAGGUUUGACCUUACAAUCUCCCCCAAUAUGAUGAUGUUCAAAACCAACUAAAUUAGAACACCUAUGGACAAGAACUCUUCAUACUCAGCUUCAGCUUCUAUUUUUACUGGCCAGUAAGGACUAUUCAGCAACUCCUGUCUUCUAUUCAGCAGCUCCGUAGCAAUAAGGAUGUGAAAAUCUCCAGAGAGAUCUUGAUGACUCAUGCACAUUUGCCUUAAGCCAACGAGAUGAGUGGUUGGAGCCUUUGGGAUCUCAGCAGUUCGCUGAAAACACAUCUUUCUGUUUUUAUCGAGAUAGAACAUCCCGUGUUCAGGAACUGAGAUAAAUUUAUGCUGAACUGGGUCAACACUGAUAGGAAGAGAAUUGUUUAUCCCACCAGCACCAAAGUCCAGAACCAACACGUCUUCACAAUCAACUUGAAAUUUGGUUCUUCGAGUUCUAGGAACAGAUGACCUUUGGCCUUGAUGCUGUGGUCGUUCUUUAGGAACAAGGUCCAAACGCUGAACUUUCUUGAUCAGCAGAUGAAGAGCACAUGUCAGUUCAGAGGAGUGAGCUGAGGUUUGCUUGGACGCUAAUUCGAGUAAUUCCAUCCAUUCAGAAUAUCCAUAUUUGAUCAGCUCAUCCCUCUUGACAACUUCAGUGUAUGAAUGCUGUGGACCUUGACGAGUGAUCAGCAACGUAAGAAUUUUCUCAUUGCGUGGUUUGGAAGCUUUAACUUUGAUGAUCUUAUCACCACACACUCAUCGUUUAAGAACAUCUUCAAACCUCUUUCAAUCAAUCCUGUCUAGAACACUAUCAGUCUUCGGCUUACUGCUGCUAGGAGGAGGCUGAGAAGAUUGAGAUUUGGACUGAAAUUCCAAGAAUUUCUGCAUCUGAGCUUCAAAAGAUCCUUUGGCCUGAAGUUUAUGCUGAAUGAGAGAUUCAUCAGCUUGAGCAAUGUUCUUUAGAAGCUGAGCUUGAUUAGCUUCAUCAAGAAUUUGCUUAACUUGAUCAGAAGACAUAUUCCAUUCAGCCGCCAAAUUUGAUAUACUGACUAUGGACUUGGGCUUCUUGCAAGACAAAGAAGUAUCAGUGUGUGAAUGAGCCAAGUCAGUAUCUGCUACCUUUCGCUUGUGAGAUAACGGAUGAGAAUCUUCACUAGCAACGUCUGAAUCUUCUCCUUGGACCGGAAUAAUGGGAUCAACGACUUUCAUGUCUGGCCUUUGCGAUUCAUUAUCAAGAUCAUCUGAAUCUUCUUCUUGAACUGGAAUAAAGGGAUCAAUGAAGUUCAUAUCCAGUAUUUGACAUUCAUCAUCUUGUUCAUCAUCAUGCUCACUGUCUUCAACAAGCUUUUCAGUAUUUGCUGGACUAUUAGGCUUCACAAAGUCAGACUCGGGCAUCUGCUUUGGUGGCUCAGUCUGAACUAAGGAGUUGUCAACAUGUUCGGUGUCUUUCUCUUUUGGAUUUUCAUCAUCAUUAUCAUGAUCAACAUUAUCAUCAUCAGCAUCAUCAUCAUCAUCAUCAGUAUCAGUAUCUCCCCUUUUUUUAGCAUCAUCAGAUUGAGGGCUGGAGGAAGGAGUAUGCAAGAGAACUUCCUUAAGCUGAUGAACAUCAGCCUCAAUGCGUAGAAGACGCUGACUCAUGUCCCGAGUCAGUGUCAGAAGUUCAUUAAAUGCUGAGGCCGAAAUUUGAACGAAUGAAGUACCUGGAGCUGCUUGUGAGCGUGGUGGCAUCCCCGGAGAAGAUUGGUCUCCCUGGGGUGGAUUCUCCCCCUGUGAGGGAUGCUCCCCCUGAGAUGGGUGCUCCCCCUGAGAUUGUUGCUCCCCCUGAAUCAGUGAAUCCUUUUGAGCUGAGGGCACUUUCUCAGUAACAGAGACGGUAUGAUGAGAAAGUUGAGGAGAGAAAUGACCACCAUCAUGUGGUUCAUCCUCUUGACCGGCAGGAUCUUCAUGGUUACCAUCAGCNNNNNNNNNNNNNNNNNNNNNNNNNNNNNNNNNNNNNNUUGAGAAGAAGUGAGCAGACGACUUGUUGCUCAUAAGUGCUCAGUUGAUCACCACUUCGAGACUUGUGACCCACACAUUUGCACAGAGCACCGGUGAAGAACUUCCAUCCUGGGGUCAUACAUUGGCGCAGAACAAGAGCUGAUCGAGCACCAGCCUUUGAGUGAUCAUAUCCCAGUUGAUCGAAUAGACGUCGACAACGUUCAAUAGAAGGAAGUUCAGAGAAUGGUUCAAAGAUAGGUAACCUGAGUGCAGCACUGAGAAGUUCUGCGGUAAUAAAGACAGAGUGUCUUCCACGGCCAAUGGUCCCGGUGAUGACAUUGUUUUCAUCAUUGACUGUUGCGGUGUAGUAGAACUCACAGACUUGUUCAGGGAAGAACUCUGAUGGAAUGUCACUGAUGGCGUAUCGUAGGCGGCAGGAGGCUAAGAAAUUAACAAAAUCAUCGAGUCCAAGACCUCGAUGAACAUCUGGAAUAUCAGGGUUGAAAACAACGUUGGUGGCUUUGAUGUAUAUUGGAAGAGGAGGAGAGUUUGGGGCAGGGACUACCCUUCGUGAAGUAGAGGAGAAAGUGAACAGAGAUGUCGCCAUUAGAGAGUUUUUAGGGUUCUAGGGUUUUGAAUAUAAGUGAAGGAAGUAUAAAUUGUGGAAGGAAAGUUUGAAAUAAGGGUGGAAAGAGGUUUAAAUAUGGAAUGAAAUGGGCCUUUAAAAAGGUAAUGAUUAUCUUCUUCAAAAAUAACGGCGUAUCGUAACAACCUGUCAGAUCAGAAAAAUAGCCGUUGGGUAAAAGAGCCGUUGACUGAAGAUGAAACGUCAAUCAGUAUUUGCGGAAGCGCUGAGAUCAGUGUCACAAAAGUUACAUGUUGAGGAUGAUCCUCCUUCAAUUCAAGGUACAACUUGCUUGAUUGGGGCUAGCAAGGAGAUUGGUGNUAGUUGCAUUAUCUAACCAUCGGCACAGAGUGUUGUGACUUUAUCAGUGAGUGGUUUAUCUUACUGAAUCAUUAGACACUGAAUGAGAAGAAGGUAAAGAAAGGAUUGUUGCGUGUGAUAAACCUUGGUGUUUUGGUCUAACCAUCGGCAAAGAUUUUUAGAUUCUCAUCAGCGUGUGUUUUGUCACACUGAAUCACGGAAUCAGUGUAAGAUUGGUAAGAAGAGAUAGUUGCGUGUGAUAGAUCUUGGUGUUUUGAUCUAACCAUCGGCAAAGAUUUUUUGAUUCUCAUCAGCGUGUGUUUUGUCACACUGAAUCAUGAAAUCAGUGUGAGAUUGGUAAGAAGGGAUAGUUGCGUGUGAUAGAUCUUGGUGUUUUGAUCUAACCAUCGGCAAAGAGUUUCAAGUUGUUAUCAGUGUAUGGUUUUUAGUACAGUGAAUCAUUCAACUUUAGUUUAGAAGACUUGAAGAAGAGAGAAAGAUAGGAGAUCAAACCAAGUACUCAGUAUGCAAAUAUCACCAGCAUGUCAUCAUCAGCACAAUGUACAUCAGCUUAUAAGACAAUACCAAACAUUAGCACAAUUAAACAGCAAAAUUAAUUACAAGGUAAUCAUUCCAAGUUCUCCAAUAAUGUAAGCAGUUGUUUGAGAAUCCAGUGCCUUAGUGAAGAUAUCAGCAAGUUGCUCUGAAGUCUUGACAUGUUCAAGAACAACCUUUCCCUUCUCAACAUUAUCUCUGAUGAAAUGAUGUCUGAUUUCGAUAUGCUUCGUCUUUGAGUGCUGAACAGGGUUUUGUGUGAUUUGAAUGGCACUGGUGUUAUCACAAUAUAUGGGAGUCUUUGAGAACUUGAUCCCAUAGUCGAGAAGCUGAUUUUGAAUCCAUAAGAGCUGAGCACAACAUCUCCCAGCUGCAACAUACUCAGCUUCUGCAGUCGAGAUGGCUACUGAUGUUUGCUUCUUGCUAGACCAGCUGAUGAGACGAUUUCCAAGGAAGUGACAUCCACCAGACGUACUCUUUUUGUCUAAAUUGCAUCCUGCAUAGUCUGAAUCAGUGUAUCCAAAAAGUUCAAAUGCUGAGUCGCGAGGAUACCACAGUGCUAGGUUUUGAGUCCCUUUCAAGUAUCGAAAGAUACGUUUGACGGCCAUGAGAUGGGAUUCCUUGGGAUUAGCUUGGAAUCGAGCACAGAGAAUGGUUCCAAACAUGAUAUCAGGACGACUUGCCGUGAGAUAUAAAAGAGAUCCAAUCAUUCCUCGAUACAGAGAGUGAUUUACAUCAGUUCCAGUUGGAUCAGCGUGUAUCUUAUCAGUCUUGGACACUGGAGUAGAGGCUGGUUUGCAGUCACUGAGAGAAUACUUAACAAGCAAGUCAGAAAUAUAUUUACUUUGGCAAAUAGAAAUACCUGACUUUUGUUGCUGAACUUCAAGACCUAAGAAAAAGGUCAUCUUCCCCAUCAUGCUCAUUUCGAACCUUUGAGACAUGAUCUCUGCAAAUUCCUUGCUCAGUUUCUCAUUUGGAGAGCCAAAAAUGAUGUCAUCGACAUAAAUUUGAACAAGAACCAUAUCUGAGCCUUUGUUUUUGAUGAAGAGAGUAUUGUCGAUUGCUCCUCGUCUGUAUCCAUUUUCAAGAAGAUACGAUGUCAGCGUCUCAUACCAAGCCCUGGGUGCUUGCUUCAGUCCAUAAACAACUUUGUCUAAUCGGUACACAUAAUCAGGGUGAUCUUUGUCAACAAAGCCUGGGGGCUGAUUGAGGAAAACUUCUUCUUCUAACACACCAUGAAGAAAGGCUGUUUUCACAUCCAUCUGAUAGACAAUGAAAUUCAUGUAGGAUGCGUAUGCGAGAAACAGUCUGAUUGCUUCAAUGCGAGCAACUGGAGCAAAGGUUUCCCCGUAGUCGAUGGAUUCAAUUUGAGUAAACCCUUGAGCGACAAGCCUUGCCUUGUUGCGAAUAAUGAUUCCAUCUUUAUCAACCUUGUUGCGAUAGACCCAGCGAGUUCCGGUGAUGGUCUUUCCUAAUGGUCUUGGGACAAGAGUCCAAACUUUGUGCCUUUCAAACUCAUUCAGUUCUUCGUGCAUGGCUUUAAUCCAGUCAGCAUCUUGAAGAGCUAUGUGUAUCUUGUCAGGUAAGAUCAGUGAAACGAAAUUAACAUACAUGCAAAAGUUAUUAGAUACACGAGAUCUGGUUCGGACACCAUCAUGAAUAUUCCCAAUAAUUUGAUCAACAGGAUGAUAUCGAUGUUCAGUGACUGAUGCUGAUUCCGGAGAGUUUGACACUGACAAGUUAUCAGUUUCAGGAGAGUCUUCAGCUUCAAGGAUUUCAUCAGCACCUAAUGAAUUAUCUGCUGAUCUGGCUGCAGUAUCUUGAUUCAAGGAACAUGGAACUGGAACGAUAGAAUCAGAAGAAUCAGCUUCAUCUCCAGCAGGAGGGACUUCGUCAAAUGGACAAGAGAGAAGCUCUUGAAAAAUAGAAGAAGAAUGAGUGACUUUUUCAUCAGUGUAUGAUUCCUCAUCAAACUUCACAUGAAUGGAUUCUUCAAUGCAUUGCCUGUUCACAUGAAAAACACGAAAAGCCUUUGAAAUGGAUGAGUACCCAACGAAAAUACCUUUAUCAGCCUUAGGUUCAAACUUGGAUCUUGGGUCACGCUGAUUUAGAAUAUAACAAAUACAUCCGAAUACAUGAAAAAAGGAUACAUCUGGCUUUCGAUCUUUCAGCAUUUCAUAUGGUGUCUUCUUAUGAAUCCUGUGAAUUAGAGAUCGAUUCUGAGUAAAGCACGUUGUAUUGACAGCUUCAGCCCAAAACGACAUAGGAAGACCAGCAUGGAUCAUCAAGGUCCUUCCUGCCUCAAUCAGUGUUCUAUUUCUUCGUUCAGCAACUCCAUUUUGUUGAGGAGUACGAGGAGCUGAGAAGUUUUGCCCAAUGCCUUUAUGAUCACAAAAUUCUUCAAGAGUUGAAUUUCGGAACUCAGUACCAUGAUCACUUCUUAGUUGCUUAACUUUGAGACCUGUCAGUGUCUCAUUUUUACGAAUCAGUGAAAUAAUUUCCUGUGCAGCAUGACUUUUCUUCUUCAGGAAAACCACCCAUGUAAAUCGAGUGAACUCAUCCACAACCACUAGAGUAUACUUAUUUCCACCUAGAGAACGGACAGGAAUAGGUCCAAACAAGUCCAUGUGGAGUAAAUGAAGAGGGACUGAUAUACUGGAACAUGACUUGGGUUUGAAAGAGGACUUGGUUUGUUUUCCUUGUUCACAAGCUGAGCACAUCUUGUCUUUCACAACGCUGAAUUUUGGAAGCCCUCUAACUAGAUCUUGAUUGGAUAUUUUGGAUAGGUUCUUGAAGUUCAGAUGAGAGAACCUUUUGUGCCAAAUCCAGCUAAGAUUGGUCUGAGACUUUGUAAAGAAGCAUUGCAUCAGCGCCUUGUCACUUGAGAACAUAUCAAGAACAUAUAUAUCAUCUUUUCUACUUGCUAAAAGUACGAUGUUCUUGUCAGUGUUGACAACUCUACCUUCCUUCUUUGUAAAGUGAACUUCAUAGUCAGCAUCACACAAUUGGCUGAUGGAGAUAAGGUUGUGUUUGAGACCCUUUACAUAUGAAACAUUUUGAAAAACCACGUUAUUGCAUUUGAUAUUUCCAUAUCCUUUAGUGAACCCCUUUCCAUUGUCUCCAUAAGUUACUGCAGGACCAGUUUUCUUGACAUAAUCUUCCAGGAGAGACUUUGAUCCUGUCAUAUGUCUUGAGCAACCACUAUCUAAGUACCAAAGAUGCUCCUGACCCUGCAGUGCUGAGAAACUAGUUAGAACACACUGACCCAUUCGAGGAUGGGUCAUUCACAAAGUUAUUUGAUAAUAGAUUAUAACACUCCUUAGGAAGACAGUUUAAAGAAUUUGACUUAAGAGUCCAUUUUUCAUUUCUAACUUUAAUAUUAUUAGAUCUUAAAGAUGAUUUAUCAAAUGAACAUUCACUAAUCUUAUGAGAAGUAUCACCACAUCUGUAACAAACUCUAGUACCAAAGUUCCUCUUGGUGAGCAAUUUUUUGGACUUAACACAUUUAGACUUGUAAGAUUCACCAAGAGAGCUUUGUGUCCUUUUGUUAAUUAUUGAAUCACAACUGAAUUCAGUGUCAGACAAAUUAUGAUCAGUGAUAGACGAUGAGCUAUCAUCAAUGUCUGAUUUGGACUUAUUCACAAUUACAUUGCAAUCAGGAAAAUGCUUAAGUUGUUCAUGAACAGCAUGAAACACUCCAUUUGAGAUAGGAAAGGCAAUAAUAUUCUUAGAGAGAGGAGUUGGUCUUACAAGAUGUGUUGGGUAAGAGGUUGGAUCAAUUCCGAUAAUUUCAACAUUACACUCAGUAACACCAUUAGAGUUAGUAACACAGUAUUCAUCAAUUAAACUCUGAUUAAUAAAAGAGUUACUGACAAACUUAUUUUUGAAAUUGUUUUUCAUCUCAUUCAUGGAAUAAAAUUCAGAUUCUUUUUCUUGUGAUUUAAAAACUUUUUCAGCUUCUGCAAAAUUACCCCCAAGAAUUUUCUCACAUGAAUGUGGAAUUUGAGCAGAAAUAAUAUAAUUAGCAUUUUUGUGAGAUUUUGCCCAAGUAUGAAGCACAGUUUGUUCUUUGAUCAAAAGAUCUUUAACAUUAUCAAUUUCAGCAGACAAAGAUGAGUUUGACAAACUAGUGAUUCUAAGAUUUUCCUGAGUGGAAUCAAUAAGGUUAUUUUUCAUGGAUGUUUCAGUUUUAAGAAGAUCAAGUUGACUUUGCAAAUCCCUUAUUGUUUGAUUCUUCUUAGAAUUAAUAACACCCAAAUACUCAAACAUUUUGAUUUUUUCAUUCAUUGAAUAGGAAACAAAGUUUUUGACCUAAUACAUUGAAGGAGAGUCAGUGUUGUGCUUCUUGGAUGUUUCAACUGCAUCAGACAUAUCAGCAUCAAAUGUACUUGUGCCUUUUUCAAGGACAUCCGUGUCUUCUAUCUUUACCAUUAGACACUUGACUUCAUCAUCAGAUGACUCCUCAUCAGUCUUCCAAUUUUCUUCUUCAGCAACAAGAACUUUAUGUUCCAAGUUUUAUGCUUUCAGUUUCUCAAUCAGCUUGUUGUACUUCUGCUUCCAGUAUUCAUCCGAGCCUUGUUUUUUUUGUUUACAUUCCUUUGCAAAAUGAUCAGUGCUCCCACAGCUAAAGCACUAAGCCUUCCUUUUCUUAUCAGCACCAUGCUUUUUAUCAGCAUCUGAUCUUUUUGAAAACUUUCCUCCCAUCUUCUUCUGAAACUUUGAGAAGCUUCGGCCUGAUUUCUCAAAAGUCUUUACAAUCAAAGCUGCACUAGCUACAACCUUUUCAAGAUCAUCAGUGUCAGUUUUAGAGGAAUCAGUAUCUGAAUGGCUUUCAGUGUCUGAAUCUGACACUAGCUUUUUGUUUGAGAACAAAGCUACAGAUGAUUCACGCUGAGAAUCUUUCAUCAGCUCCUUUCUUUGAAGCUUGGAUUCCUCAUAGUAUCGAAGAUUUCCAUAGAGACUUUGUAAGUCCAUAGUGUUGAUCUUCUCACUAUUUUUCAGCACAUCAACAUGGUUCUCCCAACCUGCACCUAGAGAAUCCAAAAACUUCUGCACUAGAACAGUUCUAUGCUUCAACUGAUCUAAUCUUCGUAAAUCAUUAACAAGAGUAUUGAAUCUGUUAAAGGUUUGAGUCAAAGUUUCACCUUUCUUUGCAAAAAAAUGUUCAUACCUUCUGUUAAGAUCAUUUAUUUGAGUAGCCUUGACUUCUUCAGUGCCUUCAAAAGAUACAGUCAAAGUAUCUAUCAUCUCUUUUGCUGAGAUGCAAUUUUGAACCAACCCAAAGAUAUUAUAUGACAGAGUGUAGCUGAUUGCAGCACGAGCACGAACAUCUAGACCAUGUUUUCUUUUGUCAUCUGCCGUCCAGUUUUCUUUAGGUGUUUUCUUCAUAGCACCAUCAGGAACGUUAUUUUUCAGAGGUUGAUACAUUGGGACGUAUGGACCAUUUUCGACGAUGUCCAACAUGUCUUCAUCUACUGACUUUAAAGCAUAUAGAGCCUUUAUUUUCGACAUGGCAAAAUUUGUUUCAUCAAAAGAAGGAAUUUUAGCGGAAGGAUGAUUUGAUGAGUUCGAUGAAGAAGAAGAUGAAGCCAUUUGUUUGAUAAAAGAAACCUUCUCUAAUACCAAUUGAAAAGCCUUUAGAUCAAUCAAUUUAUCAAACAAUAACAUUAAAUAAGAAUAAGAAGAAUUCACGAAGAAAAACUUUCAGUAAGAAAGAUAAUCUCACAAAGAGAUUAUCGUGUGCACAAUGCAGCGAUUAGGGUUUGUGAAAGGUGUAACCUUUCACAAACCGAUACAAAAGAUUAUAUACUGCUAUUCUAGACAAUCCCUACAAAUCAGGGAUAUGCCAGCUAACUAAUUUAUGCUAACUAUGGAAGCAAGAUAAAUACAAAAUCUGUUACAAUGCGCUGACUAAACUAAACAAGCUAAGCUGUUGAAAUGCUGAUGCUGAUACUGAGAUAUGCGCUGAUGCUGAGAUUUAUUUCAAACAUCAUCAUAUUUCAAGGUUUGACCUUACAUGUGGUUGUGGAAUGAAAGUACUAAGUAAGUUUGGACAAGAUUCCCUUCUCUACAACUACUACAUCAUUCAGAACUCCCAAAAGAAGUUUACAAUCUUGGAUGAUAACUUCCCAACAAUCAACCCAAAUGAUGUACUUAUGAUUAUGGCUCAUCUCAAAGACAAACAAGACAGUGAAACAAGCAUUGGAGCUUAUAUUGUAGCACUAAAAUUCCUAAAGGAUUAUAUUGCUAAAUUUGGUCGCUCGGAUGUUGAAUUUGCUCCCUUGUUUAAGACCGAGAAUCUCCUUGCUCUAGUUGACACAAAGAUGGAAAAGAUUGAUCUGCUAAACAAAUGUCUUUUUCCAGAACCUGAGCUCGGAUACAUCUACAAGAGGAAGAACUCAGAAAAGAAAAAAUUAUUCAGGGAUAGACAAAAGCACUUGGUUCACACUAGUGUGUUUCAGAAAAUCUUUCCCAAAACUGCCAAGUCUCAUGCUUUCGAACAAAUCAAGGAAUGGUUAAUCAAACAACUCAGUUGGUGGACUGAGGUUAGACAUUGGCUGCAAAUUGCUUACCUGUUUGUCUUUGGAGAUCAAGUGUAAAAGCUCAAUGAUUACCAAGAUCACUUGGGGGGAUAUUUUUAAUUCAAAAACAAGUGCUCCCUUGUCAAUCCAAAAUUCUAUAAUCCGAGCUAUCAAUUGUUUCCGAUGAGAUGUAGAGUGAAGAAAUCUAAGAUUGAUAUUUUUCUGAAGCUGUUUGUAUUCCGAUGUUUGUAGAUUGAGUGAUUUUGUUUUUGUACUAUUUUAUCUUCACGUAAAUUUUAUUUUGUUCGGUAGAGCAUGUAUGAUACAACAACCAACCGCACCGAUGUUUCAGGUGGUUGAUCUGUUAUAAGAUUUGUAACAUCCCGAAAUCAGGUAUAUCUCCUUGGCCCUUUGAAACGACCCAAAAAUACGACCCAAAAAUUUUCAUUUUUCAAUAUAAUCAAAACCAUAAUAUGAGUAUCAUAACAUAAAAACAUACGCGAUGUAUCCCAAUCAUAAUAAAAUACUGUGCGGAAAACUGUAUCAUACUACAUCAAAUCCAAAACAACUAAAACCAUCCCCAGGAUAAAAGCUAAGCUGUGGUGUGUGCGAUGCUGUCACCCCGAGCUCUUCCCUUUGCUUGCGGAAGUACCUGAAACCAAAACUGAAACUGUAAGCACGAAGCUUAGUGAGCUCCCCCAAAAUACCACAUACCAUACAAUAACAUAUAACACAUAUUGGGCCUUGCCCACUGCAUCGGGCCGAAGCUCGGAAACUGCAUCGGACCGAAGUCCGGAACUGACUGGGACCUUGUCCCCUGCAUCGGACCAAAGUCCGGAACUAACUGCAUCGGACCGAAGUCCGGAACUAACUGGGACCUUGUCCCCUGCAUCGGACCGAAGUCCGGAACUAACUGCAUCGGACCGAAGUCCGGAACUAACUGGGACCUUGUCCCCUGCAUCGGACCGGAGUCCGGAACUAACUGACUGAACAUAUCAUAGCAUAUCAACUAGCAUGAACACAUAUACUGCAUACUACAUCGAGCCGUAGCCCGGAACACAUAACACGUAACACAUAAAACAUAGCACAUAAAUCCUGUCUGAGCCACGAAGGCAUCAAACAUACUAGCUGCUACAUCGGACCGAAGUCCGGAAACUACUGCUAACUGGACGGGCCGGCAUUGUGGCCUUAGACCCGUCCCUACUUGAAGGAAACUCACCUCGUAAACUGGCGGCUGAGUGUGUGUCUCUGAAAGCUACCGGCUGCUGCUCCUGAAUCUCCUCGGCUACAAGUCCAUAAGCACACUCAAUCAAAUACUAAACACUGCACUUGGGGUAAAAUGACUCUUUUACCCUUGGUCAAAGUCAACUCUCUUUGGGCUGACUCGCCGAGUUGGGCCACCCAACUCGCCGAGUCCUACUCUCACUUCUCAGUUCUACACGCUGCUACUCGUCGAGUGUGGCAUCGACUCGACGAGUACCCUCUUGAUCCAAGAACUCAGACAAUCUUCAUCCGACUCGCCGAGCCGUAUGAACAAACUCGACGAGUUGUUCAUGAUCCUAAGAAGAUUGCCUUGGACUCGCCGAGUUGUAUGAACAACUCGCCGAGUCCCUCCAUCACUGAGUCUACCCUCAACUCGCUGAGUCCACUCUCUAACUCACUGGAUUCACUCGACACUGAUCAAAAUGAAGGACUCGGGAACUCGCGACCCAACUCGCCGAGUCGUUCUUCCCGACUCGCCGAGUUGCCGCCAUGCAACUGAUUUUUACUCGAUUUUGUUUGAAUCCAACACAUACAAUUGAUAGAUCUGAGUCCAAUAAGCUGAUUUACCACGUAAAGUUUCCAACUUUACGUGCACAACCUCAUGAAUAAGGGAAAUAAGGCUAAAAGAUGCAUAAAAUGGGUAGAUCUAUGAUUAAUAUGCAAAGUAACUCCAAAAAGACAGUAGAUCUGGGCUCUACAACACCCCAUCAUUCAGAUCUAAAGAUAUCUCGACUUAUUAAGGCAUUCAUGCAAACAUAAGGCUUGGAACAAGCAUCAACUAGCUCUUAGGAGAGCCCUAAUGGAAGUUUAAAGCAUAUAACAAGAGGGGAACUCCGAAAAUACCUCAAAUAACUCAGAUUUGCCCUUGGAUCUUUGCACUACAACUCUUCUCCUUGCUUCUUUCUUCUUCUCCUUCUUCACACCUUCACAAAAUGGCACCAAAAACACUUAUAAGCUCUCAAGGGAGGAUUAGGGUUUUCUCACUGUGUUCUCAGGGUGAGGGAGGCGAGAAUGGGGCUAUAAGGUGGUUUAAAUAGUGGGCAACCCGGGGAUUUAGGGUUUCACCCAGACGGAUGGACUCGCCGAGUCCAGGAUAUGGACUCGCCGAGUCCCCGGCUCACGCGUGCUCGCAGUCGCGACCCUACUCGGCGAGUCAGGCUAUGAACUCGUCGAGUCCCUCUUGCAAAACUUACAACAAUUACCAAUGAAUUAACAUACCGGGAACGGGUCGUUACACCCUUCUUCUUUCCUUAAGUUGUCAGUUUUUGCCCGAGUGUAGUUAGUGUGAUAAUCGAGUAUGUUGGGCGUAAUAGGGAGUACGUCACACGUUCUCGUUAGCGUAUUCAUGACGCGGAGGUUGCCUGGUACGUGGGGCGUACCAGGUCCAGAAUGAAACCUUAAUUCUAAAUGAGCCCCCUUGUUAGGGGUGUCAGACCCAACAAAUAAUAGGGGUACGAGAUACUCCUGAGUAACACUACUUUAUUGCACUAAAAAGUAGUACAAGGCAAGUAGGGUCGAUCCACAGAGACAUGGGACAAUNCAAGUAGGGUCGAUCCACAGAGACACGGGACAAUCAGUCCAUACCCUUUUUGCGUAAGGUACUUGUUCACAAAAAAUGAAAGAAAAAGGGGGGUUUGAUUGCAAUGAUUAGACAAAUAAAGUAAAAUCACAAGUAAUUGGCUGAAUGAGUAAAUUAAAUUCAGAUAUUAUAAAGACUCCAACUUCAUGUAUGACAGUUCAACAAUGUGAAUCCAAGAUGACAAGACUUUUGUUUCAUUCUAUCUAAAUUGGUACUUGAAAGUGUUAACAAGCUCUAACACUUUCCAUUCACCACAAUAAUUAACCAAAACAAGCUCUUUGAUUAAUCCUAACCUUACUGACCUAAUCUAAAAAAGCUGUUAGAAUUAGAUUGAAAGAUUGCAAAAAGCUUUAUGUGAAUGUUCCUAACAACACCCAAUACUUCUCAUAAGCUCGGAAGUGUAAAAGUGUAUGAAUAAGAUUUACACUAAAUUCAUUCAAUAGAGAUCAAUUUAAUGUUUGUUACUUGUUCAAUUUCACAAAACAAUUACGGAUUUUGUAAAAGAGAUAACUGGAGUGACCUAACCCUAAUUCAAAUGGCCAAUAAGAAUCACAAUUAGAAUCAAACAUUCGACUGAAGCAAAAUCAAAUUCAUUAGAUAGAAAUUAAGAACAAACAUCAAGUCAUAUGAUUAGAUUCGCAACUAGAAAUUCAAAACAUGAGUUGGAGAAAUUAGGGUUCUAGCCACACAUGACUAGAACAAAACUGGAAUUCUAGAAGAUGAAAUCAAGAACUAAAGUGCUUACAAAUAUGAAAUCAAAAUGUUUCCAAAUGUUUAACGGACAAUCCUUGCUAAAACCUUCAAUUCCUUCUCUCCAAAAAUGCUUUUCUCCGCUCUGCCUCCCCCCAAGAAUGACCUAAUUCCCGUAAUAAGAAAAGAGGAAAAACUGCCAAAAAGACAGUUUUUAAGUUGAACACGCCCCGUGUCGAAAAAGAGCAAAUCAACACGGGUCGUGUUGAGUGUAAACCAACCCUUCAAUUCUCGAUUCCAAAUUUGAAGUACGAUGCUCAAAAAUGCCCAGCUAGCCCAACACGCCCCGUGUCUAUAUAGGCUGAAUGAACACGGGUCGUGUUCAGUGAAGUCAAAAUUGCUUGAACCGUCAAACACGCCCCAUGUUGGAUUCUAAGCCAAACCCAACACACCCCGUGUUGCCCUUUGGAUGCUCAUCCAAACUUGAUUUUUCUAAUUCUUCCGAUUCUCGCCCAAUCGUCCCACAAUCUUCACCAACGCUCCCUAGCACCUCCAAAAGCACGCUCCAACCUCCGGUUCACUUGAAAAGGACACGAAGGAGUGCAAAUAAAUCUGCUCAAGAAAUUAACCUAGAUAAGCUAAAAUGCAAUAAAAACAAUGAAAUUAUGCUAAGGACAUACAUAAAAAAGGGCUAAAAGUUGUGCAAAAAGGUGCACAAAAUGCACCUAACAGAUCUCCCCAAGCUUAGACCUUUCUUGUCCUCAAGAAAGAACAAGAAACAGACAAAACAUGAUGAUUUCUAGAUGACAAAAAGAAACUUAGAACGAAAAGGGGAUGAAGGAUCCUAAAGGUUAAGAAUGAAUGCAUGCAAUGUAAUGCCAUGAAAAUUUAAGAUAUGUACAAAAUGCACUUGAGAAACAAAAUGAAGCAAAAGAAAAGAAAAUUAAGAACAAACACAAAAUAUAUACUUUUGUAACUAAAUAAAGGUACGAUCAGACUUUACAUCAAUAGGGCUCCAAUCAUUGAUACGUUGGCAACCAUCCUGUUUCCUUCCACAUAUCACAGACUCUCAAUGUGAGGAAGACCCGAAACGGUGUAACCCAAUAAUCCAACCAAAAUUUUAUUUAAUCUUUAUACCUUACUAAGCUUUAUGGGCGAAAAUAACAUAGUCCGGAUUUCAUGUCCUUAAGACUAGGCCAAGAAUCAGAAUCGACGCAUCCUUAAGAGCCCGUCACGGCGAAUCAACUUUCGCUGAAACAGUGAGCCCACCCGAAGGGGCCCAGCUCCUAUGCUUUCACUUUUUCGAGAGCCACAAGUAUCAUAUCACACAGUUCUUCAUUCGCCAUAUUCGACUUGAAUUGGCUUUUGAUUUGAUUGAACUUUGAUUUGUACUGCGUUUUGAAUUUGGAUUCUUCAAUCUUCAUUUUUGGAAUUUCUUUAGAUUUCUUCGUUUUUGCAUUUGAAAAUCUGAUUAGGGUACUAGAUAUGACAGUUGUACCCUUCCUUCUUUCUUGACUAUGUGGAUCUGAUACUUAAGUUCUCUGUUACAAUGGGGGUAACGCGUGUCAACAAAUAGGUCCGUGUUUUGUGGGUUCAGAGUUGCCGAUAAAGAUUCUUUUUAAACAUUCAAAAGCAAAUCAUCCUAAAGCUGUUAUUACCGCCCAAAAAAACGUUUCAAUAUAAAUUCUUUUUAUUAUCUAAGGCUAGGGUCUCGAAUUACGGUGUUUGGGUCCCCUAGUUAUGACAGCUGAUUCUACGCUUCUGGUAACUAUCCGGUCGCCUCGGAAUUCUUCCCACUUCAUGGAGCAAUUGUAUGUAAAGAGUGUCAUCAUCUUGUACAUUUUUUUUUGAAAAACAAAUAUAGAAUGCAAGGAAAAUGAAAAUAAGAAAAUAAAAUAGAAAAGAGAAAAUAAGAGAGAAUAAAAUAAAAAUUUUGAAAAUAAGAAAAUGCAUGCUUGAGUAUGAAUGAACCUAAUAUACAAGUCUACCCCUCCCCAAUCUUAAAGAUAAGCAUCGUCCUGGAUGCUUGGAGAGGGUGGAACAACCUAAAACGGAGGUGGAGGAGGAGGAUAGUAGCUGGGGUUUUGGGUCCAAGCCCAGAAGUCCUCCUCAUGUUUAUGUUGACGCUCUUGGUCCCGAGCGUACUGAGUGGUGAAGGUGGAAAAUUUUUGGGUCAGGCUUGCAAUAUCUUGCUGGUAGGUAUCGAGGCGGGUAUGGAUUGAUUGGAAUUCAUCCAUAUACUGCUGAUGAUAAGACGGGGGUGCAGCAAAAUGGGAUGAGCUGGCACCACCGGUGGCAGAAGAAUGGUGGGGCUCUUCCUCCUCUUCAUCAUCAUCAUCACCAUCUUCCUCGUUUCUUCACUUUGCUCAUUUACCUCGGUGGAGUAUGAGUGGGGGAAGAUGUAUGGAAUGAUUUGUCAAUCGGUCAUGUGAAUGGGAUUUUGGAAAUCAAGAAUGCCUUUAUUUUCUGGUGUGAUAAGGAGCUUUGGAUCAUGAUUUUGACCCACGGUCCAAUGGUGUGUGCCAUCGCCUGCCAAACGGAAGAGUGGCAUGGACUCAAGGACAGUAGUGGUGAGAUAAGGCUCACUCAGCAGUGGAUGAUAGGGACCGGGGUAUGGGGCUCGGAUUUGGGCGCUCUUGGCGAGCAUGCUGACAAUACCCCCGCAAAUAAUCUUUCCCGAUCGGGAUGUGCUCAGGCGGAUGAGCUUGUGGCACAAAAACCGACCAUAAUGAGGAAUGAGGUUAUUCUUGGGAUGGGUCAUUGCAUAGAGGAUUUUGAGUUCUAGCGCGUUGAUGGUGCUUCGCUCCUCUCUAGGGGUGACGAGCGAAGCAAUGAUUCUAUGGGCUACCUUCAUCACGAGAUGGAUAAGUGAUGAGGCUUUAGUAGCACUAGAGACAUAUGGGUGUAAUUGGGUGAGUUGGGUCCACCAUGUCAAGUCAAAGUAUCCUUGAAUUGGGUCAGUGGGGCCAAAUGUGUUUUCCGUCGAGACCCCCACAAUGGCAUUGAUUUGAUCCAAAGAGAUCUCGUAGUAUUGAUUCAUUAGAUGGAAGGAGAGGAUCCCAUGGUCCAAAUAAACUGAGGAUAGAAACUCAGCUGUUGGGACUUUAUAGCUCAAUUCAUGGACCCUCAACAAGUCGUGCCACCCUAUGUUGCGAAACAAGGUUUUCACUUGAUUGUAAACAUGCAACUCUUUUAGGGAUGGAACAUGCGUGAAUUUUUGGAUGGCAUGACCCCCUUUAAGGAAUGACUCAAGUUUGCCCUGUUGAAUUGGGCCAAGACAUACGACACCACAAUGAGACGGGUUGGCUAGGGGUGUUGGGGACCUAGGUGGAGGUGAUGGGUAUCUAGAUGGAGGUGAUGGGGUCCUAGGCUUCCGAUGGCGGGCGGAUGAUUUGGUUUGUCUUGGUCUUUUGGAAGAUGCAACUUCCAUAGUCAAGUUUUGGGACAAAUUAAAAGUCAAUAGGUCAAUAUGUCAAAAAGUCAUCUUCGAAUUUGGCCACCAAAAUUUCACGGGAAAUUUGGUUUUCAAAGAUUUCCUACUAAGAAUCAAGUCCAAAUAGACCGCAAUUUUCAAGUAAUUUGACUCAAGAACACAAAAUCCAAAAGUUAAGAGUUGGGAGCAACUUACCGAAUCGUGUGUGGGAUUGUGUUGGUAUUGAUGGAAAAGAUCUUCCUUAACCUCCCCAAGCUUGACCUUUUGAAGAUUAAGACACUAAAACACCAAAAUCACGUGAGAUUUUCGGAUCUAGGGUUUGUCAAAACCCCCAAAUCCACCAUUAAAAUGCAAGAAAAUGGUGUUUAAGAUGGAGAAGAUGAAGUGUAGACGAUGAAAAUCAAACCUUUUCGUAGAUGGAAUCCAAAAUCUUGAAGAAAUUGAAAGGUUUUGAUGAAAAUCGGACCUAAGGUUUUUGUUGGGAGAGAGAGGCUGUUAGGAAGUGAAAGUGGGGAUAAAUGAGGUCAAGUCCCGAUUUUUUUUCUUUAAAAAGCACCAGAAUUGCUGCGCGGACACAACCCGUGUCGCUGCAGGCUUAAUAGACACGCCCCGUGUUAGGGGGUUUUAUGCUGAGUUAAGGACGAACACGACCCGUGUUGGGUCUAAGCCAAAACUAAACACGACCCGUGUUAUGAUAUGGAGGAAUUGGGGGUACUUUUUGCAUGGACACGACCCGUGUUGAUUAUAGGCCAAAACCAACACGACCCAUGUUGGUCUCUGGAAGAAUUUGGGUCCUUUUUUACAUGAACACGACCCAUGUUCCAUUAAGGCUAAGCGGGACAUGACCCGCGUUGGUCUCUAGAUGCUAAUCCCCACUUUUUGAACUUGAAAAUUUCCCUCUCUUUGAAAUGAAAUACUUUUGCAUUCCUAGGUCCAUUUGGUGAUUUUAAAUCAUAUUUAAAUGUAUUUGGAACAUUGAAAACCAAAAACUCAAAGAAAUGGAAAUUGUUUUUAAAUAAAAGACAUAAAUACCCCCGGGUUGCCUCCCGGUUAGCCGCCCUUGUUUUAAGUCGUUGGCUCGACUUUUCCCCCAAGUGUGCUCCAGUCUUGGUAUGCGGGGUUCUCCAACUCGUCAACCUCUUCAUUCUUCACCUCAAAUCCUUCAUAAAACGGCUUCAGCCUGUGACCAUUGACUUUGAAUGUUUUACCCGUUUGCUUGCUCGUGAUUUCCACCGCACCAUGGUCAAACACCCUUGUGACCACGAAAGGACCAACCCAUCUCGAUCUCAACUUUCCUGAAAUUAGCUUGAAUCUUGAGUGGUAAAGCAACACCUUUUGUCCUUGUAUAAAAGUCUUUCGGGAGAUCGCCCUGUCAUGGUAUGCUUUUGUUUUCUCCUUAUAGAUCAUGUUGCUUUCGUAUGCAUCAUUCCGAAUCUCCUCUAGCUCUUGGAUAUCAAAUUUCCUUUUAUUUCCCACCUCAUCUUCACUCAUGUUGAAUUUCUUUACCGCCCAAAAAGCUUUAUGCUCAAGCUCAACUGGAAGAUGGCAUGCUUUACCAAACACAAGCCUAUAUGGGGACAUACCAAUGGGAGUUUUAAAGGCGGUACGGUAUGCCCAUAAGGCAUCAUCUAGCCUUAAGCUCCAAUCUUUGUGGUUUGGGUUGACCGUUUUCUCCAAGAUGCUUUUGAUUUGCUUGUUUGAGACUUCUGGUUGUCCAUUGGUUUGGGGAUGAUAAGUUGUUGCAACUUUGUAUGUCACUCCAUAUCUCUUCAAAACAACUUCUAGCAUCCGAUUGCAGAAAUGGGUCCCGCGGUCGCUUAUGAGCGCCUUUGGUGUGCCAAACCGUGAGAAAAUCUGUACCUUAAGGAAAUCGACCACAACUUUGGAAUCAUUAGUACGGGUGGCCUUAGCCUCCACCCAUUUGGACACAUAGUCCACCGCUAACAAAAUACAAGAACAACCAAAAGAGGGCGGAAAUGGUCCCAUAAAGUCAAUACCCCAUAUAUAAAAAAUCUCACAUACUAGAAUAGGGGUAAGGGGCAUUUUAUUCCUAGAGCUUAAAGAUCCGGAUUUUUGGCACUUUUCACAAUGUGCACAAAGCACAUAGGAAUCAUGAAAAAUAGAAGGCCAAAAGAAUCCGCUAUCUAAAACUUUCCUAGCUGUCCUUUGGGGUCCAAAGUGACCACCACAAGCAUAAGAAUGACAAAAAUUAAGGAUAUAUUGUACCUCUUUUUUCUCAACACACCUGCGAAUUACUUGGUCCGUACAGUACUUCCAAAGGUAAGGCUCGUCCUAUAUGUAUCAUUUGGCUUCCUUCUUGAUUUUGUCUCUUUGCCAACGGGAUGAAUCUGGGGGAAAUUGACUUGUGACCAAGUAAUUGACGAUAUCUGUAUACCAUGGUGCUUCUUUGGCUGCAAAUAGAUGCUCAUCUGGAAAUGUGUCACAGAUUGGUAUACCAUCUUCGGGCGAUACAAUGCAACUUAGAUGAUCCGCAACCAGAUUUUCCUUUCCACUCUUGUCUUUGAUCUCAAUAUCGAACUCUUGCAAAAGCAGCAUCCACCGUAUUAACCUCGACUUUGAAUCUUUCUUUGUAAGCAAGUGCUUUAUGGAUGCAUGGUCCGAAUAUAUGAUCACUUUAGUUCCAAGGAGGUAUUGUCGGAACUUCUCUAGAGCAAAGACAAUAGCAAGCAACUCUUUCUCCUUUGUGGUGUAGUUGCCUUGUGCACUAUCAAGGGUCUUUGAUGCAUAGUAGAUGACAUGAUGUGCUCGGUCAACCUUUUGUCCCAAAACCGCCCCACCCGCGGUAUUGCUAGCAUCGCAUAUGAUCUCGAAUGGAAGAUCUCAAUUUGGCAGUUGAAUUGUCACACCCCCAAACCAAGGAUGGCGGAAACGUCCGAGGGUGGAGGACUUCAUGUAGAGUAUCACAACAACGAGUAUAAUAGUGCUCAAAGUAAAUACAACCAUCAUAAAUAUAAUUGAAAAAGUUACACCAAAGUAUAUGUUUACAUGAUUCAAAUCAAUUACAUUAUGAUACAAAAUGAACUGUUCGACGAUUUAUCGUCCCAUCCUCAAAACGUGGUUGAUUUCCUGUUUCACUGAAUUCCUGAGAAUACAAGUAGUUUUGAAAAGUGUCAACACAAAGGUUGGUGAGUUCAUAAGCUUUUGACAGUAAGAGUUUGAAAAUCGAUCUUUGUAAAGAGAUGUAUGUUACCAAGAAAAAUCCAAUAUUUUCCUUACAAAAGUUAUGUAGUCCUAAAUACCAGGACCGAAAAUGAACAACUAUUUGUCAUACUUAAAGAUAUAAAAGUGGUUUUAAAUCGGCAUAAAACCCUUUCUGAUGUGAGAAAAAUCCCGUAAUGAAUGAUGUGUAGUCUUAAAUACCAAGACCGAAAGUAUACAAUAAAGUAUGUAAUUGUUGAUGUAAAAAGUGAUUUUAAAUCGACAUAAAACCCUUUUUGAUAUGAAGGCGUAUAAGUAUUUUUCCAUACUUAAAGUAAUUUCAGUGAGCUAAAUAGACAUAACUCGCUAAUUUAAAGUUAGAACCCGUAAAUCUUAUGAUUNNNNNNNNNNNNNNNNNNNNNNNNNNNNNNNNNNNNNNNNNNNNNNNNNNNNNNNNNNNNNNNNNNNNNNNNNNNNNNNNNNNNNNNNNNNNNNNNNNNNNNNNNNNNNNNNNNNNNNNNNNNNNNNNNNNNNNNNNNNNNNNNNNNNNNNNNNNNNNNNNNNNNNNNNNNNNNNNNNNNNNNNNNNNNNNNNNNNNNNNNNNNNNNNNNNNNNNNNNNNNNNNNNNNNNNNNNNNNNNNNNNNNNNNNNNNNNNNNNNNNNNNNNNNNNNNNNNNNNNNNNNNNNNNNNNNNNNNNNNNNNNNNNNNNNNNNNNNNNNNNNNNNNNNNNNNNNNNNNNNNNNNNNNNNNNNNNNNNNNNNNNNNNNNNNNNNNNNNNNNNNNNNNNNNNNNNNNNNNNNNNNNNNNNNNNNNNNNNNNNNNNNNNNNNNNNNNNNNNNNNNNNNNNNNNNNNNNNNNNNNNNNNNNNNNNNNNNNNNNNNNNNNNNNNNNNNNNNNNNNNNNNNNNNNNNNNNNNNNNNNNNNNNNNNNNNNNNNNNNNNNNNNNNNNNNNNNNNNNNNNNNNNNNNNNNNNNNNNNNNNNNNNNNNNNNNNNNNNNNNNNNNNNNNNNNNNNNNNNNNNNNNNNNNNNNNNNNNNNNNNNNNNNNNNNNNNNNNNNNNNNNNNNNNNNNNNNNNNNNNNNNNNNNNNNNNNNNNNNNNNNNNNNNNNNNNNNNNNNNNNNNNNNNNNNNNNNNNNNNNNNNNNNNNNNNNNNNNNNNNNNNNNNNNNNNNNNNNNNNNNNNNNNNNNNNNNNNNNNNNNNNNNNNNNNNNNNNNNNNNNNNNNNNNNNNNNNNNNNNNNNNNNNNNNNNNNNNNNNNNNNNNNNNNNNNNNNNNNNNNNNNNNNNNNNNNNNNNNNNNNNNNNNNNNNNNNNNNNNNNNNNNNNNNNNNNNNNNNNNNNNNNNNNNNNNNNNNNNNNNNNNNNNNNNNNNNNNNNNNNNNNNNNNNNNNNNNNNNNNNNNNNNNNNNNNNNNNNNNNNNNNNNNNNNNNNNNNNNNNNNNNNNNNNNNNNNNNNNNNNNNNNNNNNNNNNNNNNNNNNNNNNNNNNNNNNNNNNNNNNNNNNNNNNNNNNNNNNNNNNNNNNNNNNNNNNNNNNNNNNNNNNNNNNNNNNNNNNNNNNNNNNNNNNNNNNNNNNNNNNNNNNNNNNNNNNNNNNNNNNNNNNNNNNNNNNNNNNNNNNNNNNNNNNNNNNNNNNNNNNNNNNNNNNNNNNNNNNNNNNNNNNNNNNNNNNNNNNNNNNNNNNNNNNNNNNNNNNNNNNNNNNNNNNNNNNNNNNNNNNNNNNNNNNNNNNNNNNNNNNNNNNNNNNNNNNNNNNNNNNNNNNNNNNNNNNNNNNNNNNNNNNNNNNNNNNNNNNNNNNNNNNNNNNNNNNNNNNNNNNNNNNNNNNNNNNNNNNNNNNNNNNNNNNNNNNNNNNNNNNNNNNNNNNNNNNNNNNNNNNNNNNNNNNNNNNNNNNNNNNNNNNNNNNNNNNNNNNNNNNNNNNNNNNNNNNNNNNNNNNNNNNNNNNNNNNNNNNNNNNNNNNNNNNNNNNNNNNNNNNNNNNNNNNNNNNNNNNNNNNNNNNNNNNNNNNNNNNNNNNNNNNNNNNNNNNNNNNNNNNNNNNNNNNNNNNNNNNNNNNNNNNNNNNNNNNNNNNNNNNNNNNNNNNNNNNNNNNNNNNNNNNNNNNNNNNNNNNNNNNNNNNNNNNNNNNNNNNNNNNNNNNNNNNNNNNNNNNNNNNNNNNNNNNNNNNNNNNNNNNNNNNNNNNNNNNNNNNNNNNNNNNNNNNNNNNNNNNNNNNNNNNNNNNNNNNNNNNNNNNNNNNNNNNNNNNNNNNNNNNNNNNNNNNNNNNNNNNNNNNNNNNNNNNNNNNNNNNNNNNNNNNNNNNNNNNNNNNNNNNNNNNNNNNNNNNNNNNNNNNNNNNNNNNNNNNNNNNNNNNNNNNNNNNNNNNNNNNNNNNNNNNNNNNNNNNNNNNNNNNNNNNNNNNNNNNNNNNNNNNNNNNNNNNNNNNNNNNNNNNNNNNNNNNNNNNNNNNNNNNNNNNNNNNNNNNNNNNNNNNNNNNNNNNNNNNNNNNNNNNNNNNNNNNNNNNNNNNNNNNNNNNNNNNNNNNNNNNNNNNNNNNNNNNNNNNNNNNNNNNNNNNNNNNNNNNNNNNNNNNNNNNNNNNNNNNNNNNNNNNNNNNNNNNNNNNNNNNNNNNNNNNNNNNNNNNNNNNNNNNNNNNNNNNNNNNNNNNNNNNNNNNNNNNNNNNNNNNNNNNNNNNNNNNNNNNNNNNNNNNNNNNNNNNNNNNNNNNNNNNNNNNNNNNNNNNNNNNNNNNNNNNNNNNNNNNNNNNNNNNNNNNNNNNNNNNNNNNNNNNNNNNNNNNNNNNNNNNNNNNNNNNNNNNNNNNNNNNNNNNNNNNNNNNNNNNNNNNNNNNNNNNNNNNNNNNNNNNNNNNNNNNNNNNNNNNNNNNNNNNNNNNNNNNNNNNNNNNNNNNNNNNNNNNNNNNNNNNNNNNNNNNNNNNNNNNNNNNNNNNNNNNNNNNNNNNNNNNNNNNNNNNNNNNNNNNNNNNNNNNNNNNNNNNNNNNNNNNNNNNNNNNNNNNNNNNNNNNNNNNNNNNNNNNNNNNNNNNNNNNNNNNNNNNNNNNNNNNNNNNNNNNNNNNNNNNNNNNNNNNNNNNNNNNNNNNNNNNNNNNNNNNNNNNNNNNNNNNNNNNNNNNNNNNNNNNNNNNNNNNNNNNNNNNNNNNNNNNNNNNNNNNNNNNNNNNNNNNNNNNNNNNNNNNNNNNNNNNNNNNNNNNNNNNNNNNNNNNNNNNNNNNNNNNNNNNNNNNNNNNNNNNNNNNNNNNNNNNNNNNNNNNNNNNNNNNNNNNNNNNNNNNNNNNNNNNNNNNNNNNNNNNNNNNNNNNNNNNNNNNNNNNNNNNNNNNNNNNNNNNNNNNNNNNNNNNNNNNNNNNNNNNNNNNNNNNNNNNNNNNNNNNNNNNNNNNNNNNNNNNNNNNNNNNNNNNNNNNNNNNNNNNNNNNNNNNNNNNNNNNNNNNNNNNNNNNNNNNNNNNNNNNNNNNNNNNNNNNNNNNNNNNNNNNNNNNNNNNNNNNNNNNNNNNNNNNNNNNNNNNNNNNNNNNNNNNNNNNNNNNNNNNNNNNNNNNNNNNNNNNNNNNNNNNNNNNNNNNNNNNNNNNNNNNNNNNNNNNNNNNNNNNNNNNNNNNNNNNNNNNNNNNNNNNNNNNNNNNNNNNNNNNNNNNNNNNNNNNNNNNNNNNNNNNNNNNNNNNNNNNNNNNNNNNNNNNNNNNNNNNNNNNNNNNNNNNNNNNNNNNNNNNNNNNNNNNNNNNNNNNNNNNNNNNNNNNNNNNNNNNNNNNNNNNNNNNNNNNNNNNNNNNNNNNNNNNNNNNNNNNNNNNNNNNNNNNNNNNNNNNNNNNNNNNNNNNNNNNNNNNNNNNNNNNNNNNNNNNNNNNNNNNNNNNNNNNNNNNNNNNNNNNNNNNNNNNNNNNNNNNNNNNNNNNNNNNNNNNNNNNNNNNNNNNNNNNNNNNNNNNNNNNNNNNNNNNNNNNNNNNNNNNNNNNNNNNNNNNNNNNNNNNNNNNNNNNNNNNNNNNNNNNNNNNNNNNNNNNNNNNNNNNNNNNNNNNNNNNNNNNNNNNNNNNNNNNNNNNNNNNNNNNNNNNNNNNNNNNNNNNNNNNNNNNNNNNNNNNNNNNNNNNNNNNNNNNNNNNNNNNNNNNNNNNNNNNNNNNNNNNNNNNNNNNNNNNNNNNNNNNNNNNNNNNNNNNNNNNNNNNNNNNNNNNNNNNNNNNNNNNNNNNNNNNNNNNNNNNNNNNNNNNNNNNNNNNNNNNNNNNNNNNNNNNNNNNNNNNNNNNNNNNNNNNNNNNNNNNNNNNNNNNNNNNNNNNNNNNNNNNNNNNNNNNNNNNNNNNNNNNNNNNNNNNNNNNNNNNNNNNNNNNNNNNNNNNNNNNNNNNNNNNNNNNNNNNNNNNNNNNNNNNNNNNNNNNNNNNNNNNNNNNNNNNNNNNNNNNNNNNNNNNNNNNNNNNNNNNNNNNNNNNNNNNNNNNNNNNNNNNNNNNNNNNNNNNNNNNNNNNNNNNNNNNNNNNNNNNNNNNNNNNNNNNNNNNNNNNNNNNNNNNNNNNNNNNNNNNNNNNNNNNNNNNNNNNNNNNNNNNNNNNNNNNNNNNNNNNNNNNNNNNNNNNNNNNNNNNNNNNNNNNNNNNNNNNNNNNNNNNNNNNNNNNNNNNNNNNNNNNNNNNNNNNNNNNNNNNNNNNNNNNNNNNNNNNNNNNNNNNNNNNNNNNNNNNNNNNNNNNNNNNNNNNNNNNNNNNNNNNNNNNNNNNNNNNNNNNNNNNNNNNNNNNNNNNNNNNNNNNNNNNNNNNNNNNNNNNNNNNNNNNNNNNNNNNNNNNNNNNNNNNNNNNNNNNNNNNNNNNNNNNNNNNNNNNNNNNNNNNNNNNNNNNNNNNNNNNNNNNNNNNNNNNNNNNNNNNNNNNNNNNNNNNNNNNNNNNNNNNNNNNNNNNNNNNNNNNNNNNNNNNNNNNNNNNNNNNNNNNNNNNNNNNNNNNNNNNNNNNNNNNNNNNNNNNNNNNNNNNNNNNNNNNNNNNNNNNNNNNNNNNNNNNNNNNNNNNNNNNNNNNNNNNNNNNNNNNNNNNNNNNNNNNNNNNNNNNNNNNNNNNNNNNNNNNNNNNNNNNNNNNNNNNNNNNNNNNNNNNNNNNNNNNNNNNNNNNNNNNNNNNNNNNNNNNNNNNNNNNNNNNNNNNNNNNNNNNNNNNNNNNNNNNNNNNNNNNNNNNNNNNNNNNNNNNNNNNNNNNNNNNNNNNNNNNNNNNNNNNNNNNNNNNNNNNNNNNNNNNNNNNNNNNNNNNNNNNNNNNNNNNNNNNNNNNNNNNNNNNNNNNNNNNNNNNNNNNNNNNNNNNNNNNNNNNNNNNNNNNNNNNNNNNNNNNNNNNNNNNNNNNNNNNNNNNNNNNNNNNNNNNNNNNNNNNNNNNNNNNNNNNNNNNNNNNNNNNNNNNNNNNNNNNNNNNNNNNNNNNNNNNNNNNNNNNNNNNNNNNNNNNNNNNNNNNNNNNNNNNNNNNNNNNNNNNNNNNNNNNNNNNNNNNNNNNNNNNNNNNNNNNNNNNNNNNNNNNNNNNNNNNNNNNNNNNNNNNNNNNNNNNNNNNNNNNNNNNNNNNNNNNNNNNNNNNNNNNNNNNNNNNNNNNNNNNNNNNNNNNNNNNNNNNNNNNNNNNNNNNNNNNNNNNNNNNNNNNNNNNNNNNNNNNNNNNNNNNNNNNNNNNNNNNNNNNNNNNNNNNNNNNNNNNNNNNNNNNNNNNNNNNNNNNNNNNNNNNNNNNNNNNNNNNNNNNNNNNNNNNNNNNNNNNNNNNNNNNNNNNNNNNNNNNNNNNNNNNNNNNNNNNNNNNNNNNNNNNNNNNNNNNNNNNNNNNNNNNNNNNNNNNNNNNNNNNNNNNNNNNNNNNNNNNNNNNNNNNNNNNNNNNNNNNNNNNNNNNNNNNNNNNNNNNNNNNNNNNNNNNNNNNNNNNNNNNNNNNNNNNNNNNNNNNNNNNNNNNNNNNNNNNNNNNNNNNNNNNNNNNNNNNNNNNNNNNNNNNNNNNNNNNNNNNNNNNNNNNNNNNNNNNNNNNNNNNNNNNNNNNNNNNNNNNNNNNNNNNNNNNNNNNNNNNNNNNNNNNNNNNNNNNNNNNNNNNNNNNNNNNNNNNNNNNNNNNNNNNNNNNNNNNNNNNNNNNNNNNNNNNNNNNNNNNNNNNNNNNNNNNNNNNNNNNNNNNNNNNNNNNNNNNNNNNNNNNNNNNNNNNNNNNNNNNNNNNNNNNNNNNNNNNNNNNNNNNNNNNNNNNNNNNNNNNNNNNNNNNNNNNNNNNNNNNNNNNNNNNNNNNNNNNNNNNNNNNNNNNNNNNNNNNNNNNNNNNNNNNNNNNNNNNNNNNNNNNNNNNNNNNNNNNNNNNNNNNNNNNNNNNNNNNNNNNNNNNNNNNNNNNNNNNNNNNNNNNNNNNNNNNNNNNNNNNNNNNNNNNNNNNNNNNNNNNNNNNNNNNNNNNNNNNNNNNNNNNNNNNNNNNNNNNNNNNNNNNNNNNNNNNNNNNNNNNNNNNNNNNNNNNNNNNNNNNNNNNNNNNNNNNNNNNNNNNNNNNNNNNNNNNNNNNNNNNNNNNNNNNNNNNNNNNNNNNNNNNNNNNNNNNNNNNNNNNNNNNNNNNNNNNNNNNNNNNNNNNNNNNNNNNNNNNNNNNNNNNNNNNNNNNNNNNNNNNNNNNNNNNNNNNNNNNNNNNNNNNNNNNNNNNNNNNNNNNNNNNNNNNNNNNNNNNNNNNNNNNNNNNNNNNNNNNNNNNNNNNNNNNNNNAAUGCGGAAACCGAAGAGUGUGUGUAUGACGUGCCGCUACCGCGCCGGCUCCUUCCCCUUCGAUGCAGAGGUACCUGAAAACAAAACUGUAAACGUAAGCACAAAGCUUAGUGAGUUCCCCCAACGUACCGCAUACCAUACAAACACAUAACAUACAUACUGCCAGGCUAUUCUGGGGUGCCUGACUACCCGGUACGGCCAUUCUGGGGUGCCGUCCUACCCGUGUCAAGCCAUUCUGGGGUGCUGACUACCCAUGUCAAGCCAUUCUGGGGUGCUGACUACCCAUCGGUCCUAACAACCGACCACAGGGACUGGUCCCCUCAUACUACCUCUAUCACCUAUAACAUAACAAGCCAGCAUGCAAACAUAUAAUCCUAUACUGUCAGACGUAUCUGGGGUGUCUGACUACCUUUCGGUCCUAACAACCGAACUCGACUAUUAUCACAUACGGCAUAUCAUGCUAGCAUAUAACAUGUCAGGUACUAGCGAACUUAGAUGAUAUCACAAAGACAAUCAUCUAUCAUACAACUCCUACUGGUGGGUCGGCAUUGUGGCCUUAGACCCACCGCUACUGGAAGGUAACUCACCUCGAAGUAGCUGCUGAUCUGAUCGGGAACUGACUGCCUACUGCUGCUGCUGCUGCUCCGGAAAUCCUCCGGCUGCAAUUCCCACAACAUACUCAAUCAAACACUGCUCACUGACCUUUGGGUAAAAUGACCAUUUUACCCCUGACCAUGCCCUAAGUCAAAGUCAGAGUCAACUUUCAGUUGACCCGACUCGCCGAGUUGGCUUUCCAACUCGCCGAGUCACCACCCAAACGAUUGUCCUGGAUCCCGUUCCUACUCGUCGAGUUAGGCGACGACUCGACGAGUUCUCCUUCUAAACUGAUAUUCAAGUCCUUCAUCCUACUCGCCGAGUUGUAUGAACAACUCGUCGAGUUCAUCUUCAUCCGAUGAACACUUAUGCUAAGACUCGCCGAGUUGUAUGAACAACUCGUCGAGUCUGUUCUUGAUCUAAGGAGAUUGCCUUGAACUCGCCGAGUCAGGGCAUUGACUCGCCGAGUACCUCCAUAGAUGAGUUCAGCUUCCGACUCACUGAGUCACACCCCGUGACUCACUGCUCACUCGACACUACGAAAAGGGGACAAACUCGGAGACUCGCGAACAGACUCGCCGAGUCACAUGAACGACUCGCCGAGUCGUUGCCAUGCACCCACUAAAUACACAGAUUUGCUCGAUUCCAGUCCAUGCCAUUCACAGAUCUGGACUUCUAGGACACGAAUCACACGUAAAGUUUCCAACUUUACGUGUGGAUAUUCACCAAUAUGGAUUUUAGGGCUCAAAAUGUCUCAAAAGGGUAGAUCUAGGGUGAACAAGCAACAUGGGGCCAUAAAGCUAACAGAUCUGAGCUCCUGGAGCUCAAUCUUGCCUAGAUCCAGAGGCCAAACAUCUUAUUACGACAUAUAAUGCACAUACAAGCUUGGGGAUUUGUCCAAGAAAGACCUAAAUGAAGUACUAAGCAUAGAAUCAUGGGGAAAACGGGUUAUACCUCAAAGGAACUGCUGGAAGAACACAAUAAUGCCUGGAUGGCUUCCCUUCUUCUGGAUCUACUUCCUUCCUCCUUCAAAACCUUCAAAAGCACACAACAAAGCUUCAAUUCUUCAAAGAACAAGCAUAAACGAGGGUUGGGAGCUCUGGGGAGAGAAUGGGGGCUGGCCUGGGGCGGAUAAGUCGCUUAAAUAGGGUGCAAACCCCUGAAACUUAGGGUUUCAUCCAACAGCUGUGACUCGCCGAGUCCAGGAUAUGGACUCGCCGAGUCGCCAACUUAAACGUGUCCCGGGUCCCGCAUCCACUCGGCGAGUCGGACCUAUGACUCGCCGAGUCCAAGGCUAAAAGAAAGGAAAUACUCAAAUAACAUUUACGUACCAGGAACCGGGUGCUACAAAUCUCCCCCACUUAUUUUAGACUUCGUCCUCGAAGUCUGCUGCUCGAUCCUGAAACAGCUCGGGAUAAUGCUCCAUCAUCUCGUCCACCGGCUCCCAAGUCCAUUCCGAACCCUUGCGGUGCUGCUAUUGCACCUUCACUAGCUCCACCCUCUUGUUCCUCAAAUCCUUCGACUUCCUGUCGAGGAUUGCGACUGGGCGCUCAAUGUAAUUCAGGCUGUCAUCAACCUGAAUAUCCUCCAAAGGCACUACUGCUGAAUCGUCCACUAAGCACUUCCGCAACUGGGAAACAUGGAAAGUGCUGUGGAUCUGGCUGAGCUCGGCUGGCAGAUCCAACCUAUACGCUACCUUGCCCACCCGGGCUACGACCCUGAACGGUCCGAUGAAUCGCGGGCCCAACUUGCCCCGCUUCCUGAAUCGAAUGACGCCUUUCCAAGGCGACACCUUCAGGAGAACCAUAUCCCCGACUUGGAACUCCAAGUCGGAUCGACGCUUGUCGGCGUAACUUUUCUGCCGACUCUGAGCAGUCUGAAGCCUGCUCCGGACCUGCUGGAUCCUCUCGGUCGUCUUGAGCACCACUUCGGUGCUCCCCAUGACCCUCUGGCCAACUUCACCCCAGCAUAUCGGGGUCCUGCACCUCCGUCCGUACAACAUCUCGAAGGGAGGGCGGUCGAUACUCGCGUGAUAGCUGUUGUUGUAGGAGAACUCGGCCAGGGGAAGAUAGGUAUCCCAGCUACCACCGAAGUCUAGCACGCACGCCCGCAACAUAUCCUCCAGAGUCUGGAUGGUCCGCUCGCUCUGACCAUCCGUCUGCGGGUGAAAGGCAGUGCUAAAAUGCAGACGAGUGCCCAACUCGUCAUGGAAUCUCUUCCAAAAUCUGGAAGUAAAACGCACAUCCCUGUCCGAGAUCACCGAUACUGGCACCCCAUGCCGUGCCACAAUCUCCCUGAUAUAGAUGUCGGCCAAUUUCUCGGCCGAUAUGCUCUCCUGAAUCGGAAUAAAGUGAGCACUCUUGGUCAAUCUAUCCACGAUGACCCAAAUCGAAUCCACUCCACGUGCGGUCCUGGGAAGCUUCGUGAUAAAAUCCAUCGUGAUAUCUUCCCAUUUCCACAGUGGAAUAUCCAACGGCUGCAUCUUGCCAUGCGGUCUCUGAUGUUCGGCCUUGACCUUCCUGCAGGUCAAACACCGCUCGACGUACCAUGCCACAUCCCGCUUCAUGCAGGGCCACCAAUAAUCUAGACGAAGAUCCCUAUACAUCUUCGUCGCCCCGGGAUGAAUAGAGAAUCGGGACUUGUGCGCCUCCUCCAUCAAAAUCUGGCGCACGCCUCCGUGAUACGGCACCCACACCCUACGGUGUAGUGUCAAUAGUCCUCGGCUAUCAUAAUCAAAGGAGGAAACCUGACCCACCACACGCUCGCUCUUCCGAUGCUCCUCCUUGAUAGCCUCCUGUUGAGCCUCCCGAAUCUGCUCCAACAGGGGAGUCACCACGGUCAUCCUCAUGCAAACGUCCCUGAUCGGCGCCGCCUUGCGGCUAAGCGCAUCGGCCACCACAUUGGCCUUCCCCGGGUGGUAAAGGAUCUCACAAUCAUAAUCCUUCACCACGUCCAACCAUCGACGCUGCCUCAUGUUCAGAUUCGGCUGAUCCAUGAGGUACCUCAAACUCUUGUGGUCCGUGUAGAUGGUACAUCGAACCCCGUAGAGGUAAUGCCGCCAAAUCUUGAGGGCAAAAACCACCGCCCCCAACUCCAAAUCAUGCGUCGGGUAGUUCGCCUCGUGAGGCUUGAGCUGCCUCGAAGCGUAGGCAAUGACAUGCCCCCUCUGCAUCAGUACCGCGCCCAACCCAGAAAUGGACGCAUCACAAUAAACCACAAAAUCCUCUACGCCCUCUGGCAGGGCUAAGAUCGGCGCCUCACACAAUCUCUGUCUCAGCGUCUCAAAUGCAGCCUGCUGCUCGGGUCCCCACCGAAAGACCACGGCUUUCUUCGUCAGCCGCGUCAGGGGCACGGCUAUCUUGGAGAAAUCCUGGAUAAAUCUCCGAUAGUAGCCUGCCAAUCCUAGGAAGCUCCGAAUCUCAGAUGGGGACUUCGGAACCUCCCAUCUCAUCACGGCCUCGACCUUGGCCGGAUCGACCAGAAUCCCGUUCUGGUUGACGAGGUGUCCCAGAAAUUGCACCUCGCGCAACCAAAACUCACACUUGGAGAACUUGGCAUACAAGCUCUCCCUCCUCAGGGUCUCUAACACCUCUCUCAGAUGCUCCUCAUGUUCCUCCCGAGUCUUGGAAUAAACCAAGAUAUCAUCGAUAAAGACUAUCACAGACCGGUCCAGCAUCGGUCUGCAUACGCGGUUCAUGAGGUCCAUGAACGCGGCAGGAGCAUUGGUGAGCCCAAACGGCAUCACCACAAACUCAUAAUGGCCAUAGCGCGUCCGAAACGCGGUCUUCUGCAUAUCCUCCUCCCUGACCCUCAUCUGAUGAUAACCCGAACGCAAAUCAAUCUUGGAGAACCAAGAUGCGCCCUGAAGCUGGUCAAAGAGGUCAUCAAUCCUCGGAAGCGGGUAACGGUUCUUCACCGUUACCUUGUUCAGCUCCCGAUAAUCUAUACACAUCCGAUGCGACCCAUCCUUCUUCUUCACAAACAGAAUCGGGGCUCCCCAGGGCGAACUGCUCGGCCGAAUAAAUCCCUUGUCCAGCAGCUCCUGCAGCUGCGUAGACAACUCCUGCAUCUCGGGAGGAGCCAACCGAUACGGUGCUUUGGCUAUCGGAGCCGCACCGGGAACGAGGUCAAUCCUGAACUCCACCUGUCGCUCCGGAGGUAUCCCAGGUAGUUCCUCCGGAAAAACAUCAGCAAAAUCUCGAACCACCGGGACCUCGCUCACGGUCGCCUUACCCGCCUCCCGGGUGUCCAUCACGUACGCGACAUAACCCGCGCAUCCCUGCUGAAGGUAGCGCCUAGCCCUCGCUGCUGAACAUACAGUGGGUCCACACUGCGGCCGCUCUCCAUGAAUCACUAACUCUCCCCCGCUUGGGGUCUUGACUCGCACUAGCUGCUGUGCGCAAUCUAUCACUGCCCCAUUAGGGCUCAACCAAUCCAUACCAAUAAUCACCUUGUUCCCACGCAAUGGAAUGGGAACCAAGUCUACCAGGUAACACUCCUCAAACAGUCGCAGGACACAAUCUCGAAACACCAUCGAUGCUCGCACCGAUCGAUCAUCGGCAAUCUCUACCUCUAACGGGCAAUCUAACUCGCCUGAAGUCUCAUGAAAUCUCUUGCUAAGAGCAAGAGAAACGAACGAUCGGGAUGCACCCGAGUCGAACAAUACCUGAACCGGGAUGCCGUUCACAUGGAACGAUCCUAAUACACAUGUAUACACACGGAGCACAUAUCAAUAUCAUAACAACGUAAAAUAAAAGAUAGAAGGAAGGAAUCAUACCCGUCACCACAUCGGGCGCGGCGCGUGCCUCCUCGGCAGUCAACUGAAAUGCCCGACUCCUCACCACUGGAGCCUCUGCCUUGCCCUGACGGCCAUCCGUGAUCCGCAGGGUCGCUGGAGCUGGCGCCUUCACUGGCGCUGAAGCUGUCAACAUGGGGCAAUUGGCCUUCUUGUGGCCCCUCUGGUUGCAGUGGAAACACAGCAACUCCGAUGUCUGAAUAACGGUCGCAGGAGCAGUGCAAUCCCUGCUGAUAUGCCCAAACUUGCCGCACUUGUAGCAGCCUGACGAUCCCAUCCUGCACGCCCCCUCGUGCGGCCUGCCGCACCUCCUGCAGCGGCUCGGUCCCGACUGGCCUUUCGGCCUCCCAUCUGAUCCCUUGGGCUUCUUCCCCGAAGCCCCCGAUGACUGACCAUCCUCAAGUUUCCGUUUCCGGAUGUGCUCCAAAUCUAUCUCUCUCUCCCUAGCCCUGGCAAUCAUGGAGUCCAGGGUAGGGCAAGCCGAAAAGCUAACAUGCUCCCGAAUGUCAGCUCGUAGCAUGUCGUGGUAACGAGUCCUCCUCAUAUCCUCGUCACCUGCAUACUGGGGCACCAAUAAAGCCCUCUCCCGAAACUUGGCGGUGAUCUCCGCCACGGUCUCUGUCGUCUGCCUCAUGUCUAAGAACUCCCUGGCCAGCUGCUGAAGCUCGACCGCUGGCGCAAACUCUGCCCUGAACCUAGCCACAAAGUCCGACCAGGUCAUUGCCUCGAUAGCCGAGGCUCCCAUCGAGUCACCCACUGACUCCCACCAAUCUCGGGCCCGGUCCCGUAAACACCCUGCUGCGUACCUCACCUUCGACCCCUCGGGGCAGAAGCUGAUCAACUGGGCGGACUCGAUAUCCGCAAUCCACCGCCUGGCGACAAUGGGGUCCUUCACCCCAUGGAAAUCCGGCGCACCACUGCUCCUGAAGUCCUUGAAGGACAGUGUGCGAGAUCCUGACUGGCUAGAGGCCAAGUCGCUCCUGAAUGCCCGUAGGCGAUCCUCCAUCAUCUCCACGAUCCCUUCCUUGAUCGACCCAAAGAUGAUGGGGGUCGACUCAAGGAUGCCCCUAGUGAUCUCCGACGUGAUGAACUCACGUAGCCUCUCCUCAAUCGGCUCGGUGCCAGAUCCCGAACCUGACCCCUCUCCUGACCCGCCAUCUGUCGGUCUCGGUCGAAGUACCACCAUUCUGCAAAACAUCAAUAAUAAUCAUUAGUGGUACUGCUACUUUCUGAGGGAUCUCAACUACUUACAGGUUCCUUGGUCUCGUCUUGGCCUUCCUCGGCUCGGGUACGGAUCCUCUGCUUUCAGUAGUACGGGCCCAUACUACCUUCCACAUCUAUCCGUACCUUCUCCGAGGAAUUCCUCGACUCCACCAACUCCCCUCUACUACUGCUACUCUCCGAUAUUCUCACCCUAGGCUUGCCCUAGGGAGAACUCAAGUUCAACACAACUGGUCCUCAGCUGCUGUAGGUCUCCUCAUAAUGCCAGUUAGCCACCACCUAAACACCAUCACAUGUAAUGAGGAUUAGAUAAUCCUUCAAGUAAAAGAUCCGUCCCUACAACGGUUGGACUCAAACAAGAGCUGCGCAAUAGGGCCAGUUCCAACACUUUGGGAUUAUUCAACCCUGAUUACAUGUGGUGUGACGUGUUUACCUAGUGGCUCACUCCCAUUACUCAGAAUCCCACCAAGCACGAAGCAAGCAGCAUUCGGAUAAGGAAAAACAGACUCAAGCCAAAACUGUUCUUAGAACAAGAAACGACACUUAACAUAGGAUGCUAAGCUCAUACUAUCAGGCAUAACCUAAACAGGCUACCCUACUGCUGUCUACUCAAUUCUAGCAUGCAAUAUUCAAUAAGCUGUAACAAAUAAACAGGCACAUAAGGCAUCACUCCUAGAUCCUUAGCCUAUUCUAGCAUGCAAUAUUCAUAAAGCUGAUAAACAUAACAUAAACUUGUAUGGGUACUAUGGGGAAUACUUACUUGAGCUCGGCCGGUCGCGCACGUCACACACUUUACUCUUUCUCGUGACUCUUUUCCGGGUUUUAAAGAAUAAUUUCUUUUGGAAAAAUCUUUCAAUCCCUCGGUUUGAGUCCAAACACUCCCGAAGGCGUGUCCGAAUCCCUCAAACCAGGGCUCUGAUACCAACUUGUAACGACCCAAAUUUUUUUUUUUUUUUGAUAUUACUUUAGAAAACAUUAAUAAAUAAAAACAUUGUCUAAAUAAAAAGAAACAUUGUUUGUUCACACCAUAACACAUUGCAACCAUGUUCUCAAAAGCCAAACCGUACAUCCCAUCAAAUAUCAGAGUACAAUCCCAGUAAAUCUCAUAAAUGCGGAAACCGAAGAGUGUGUGUAUGACGUGCCGCUACCGCGCCGGCUCCUUCCCCUUCGAUGCAGAGGUACCUGAAAACAAAACUGUAAACGUAAGCACAAAGCUUAGUGAGUUCCCCCAACGUACCGCAUACCAUACAAACACAUAACAUAUAUACUGCCAGGCUAUUCUGGGGUGCCUGACUACCCGGUACGGCCAUUCUGGGGUGCCGACCUACCCAUACGGCCAUUCUGGGGUGCCGUCUUACCCGUGUCAAGCCAUUCUGGGGUGCUGACUACCCAUCGGUCCUAACAACCGAUCCUCGGGGACUAUUUCACCCCUACUACUACGAUCACAUAUAACAUAACAAGCCAGCAUGCAUACAUAUCGUCACAUACUGUCAGACGUAUCUGGGGUGUCUGACUACCCUUCGGUCCGAACAACCAAACUCUACUACUAUCACAUACAGCAUAUCAUGCUAGCAUAUAACAUGUCAGGUACUAGCGAACUUAGAUGAUAUCACAAAGACAAUCAUCUAUCAUACAACUCCUACUGGUGGGUCGGCAUUGUGGCCUUAGACCCACCGCUACUGGAAGGUAACUCACCUCGAAGUAGCUGCUGAACUGAUCGGGAACUAACUGACUGCUGCUGCUCCGGGAGUCCUCCGGCUGCAAUUUCCACGACAUACUCAAUCAAACACUGCUAACUGUCCUUUAGGUAAAAUGACCAUUUUACCCCUGGAUUAACUCUAAGCCAAAGCUGGAGUCAACUUUCAGUUGACCCGACUCGCCGAGUGGAUCACCACUCGCCGAGUCCCUAGCAAACCAAUGUCCUGGGUCCCUGGUUCUACUCGUCGAGUCGGGCUAUGACUCGACGAGUUCACCUUCUAACUGCCAUUCAACACCUUCAUCCUACUCGCCGAGUUGUAUGAACAACUCGUCGAGUUCAUCUUCAUCCGAUGAACACUUUAUGCUAAGACUCGCCGAGUUGUAUGAACAACUCGCCGAGUCUGUUCUUGAGCUAUGAAGAUUGCCUUGGACUCGCCGAGUCAGGGCAUUGACUCGCCGAGUCCUAACAUGGGUGAGUUCAGCUCCCAACUCACCGAGUCACCCCCUGUGACUCAAGGCUCAACUCGACACAUGAAGAAGGGACCAAUUCGGUGACUCGCGACCAGACUCGCCGAGUCACCUAUGCGACUCGCCGAGUCGUCGCCAUGCACUCCUUAAAUAUACCGAUUUGCUCGGUUCCAGACCAUGCCAUUCAUAGAUCUGGACUUCUAGGACACGAAUCACACGUAAAGUUUCCAACUUUACGUGUGGAUAUUCACCAAUAUGGAUUAUAAGGCUCAAAAUGUCUCAAAAUGGUAGAUCUAGGGCUAACAAGUCUUAUGAGGCCAAAAAGCUAACAGAUCUGAGCUCCUGGAGCUCAAUCUUACAUAGAUCCAAAGGCCAAAUGCCUUAUUACAACAUAUAAUGAACAUGCAAACUUGGGGAAAUGACCAAGAAGGACCCAAAUGAAGUUUUAAGCAUAGAAUCAAGGGGAAAACGGGUUAUACCUCAAGGGAAAUGUUGAAAUGACACAAGGAUGGCUGAUCUCCUUCUCCUCUUCUUGAUCUACUCCUCUUACUCUUCAAAACCGGAAACCAGGUGCUACAAAUAGAGGGAUUUCCCGGCCAAUCGUUCUAACAUCUGAUCGGUGAAUGGCAAAGGGAAGUGGUCUUUGCGGGUGGAAGCAUUCAACUUCCUAUAAUUGAUACAAACUCUCCACCCGUUUUGCACACGGGUGGGUACCAAUUCCCCCUCAGAGUUUUUGACAACGGUGACUCUGGCUUUUUUCGAGACAACUUGCACAAGACUUACCCACUUACUAUCAGAAAUGGGGUAGAUUACACAUGCAUCCAAGAGCUUCAUGAUCUCCUUUUUAACCACCUCCAUCAUAGGUGGAUUCAACCCCCUUUGGGCUUCACAGGUUGGCUUGAAGUCCUCUUCCAUCAGUAUUGUGUGCAUGCAUAAUGAUGGGCUCAACCCUUUUAUAUCCGCAAUGGUCCAACCAAUAGCCUCCUUGUAUUUCUUCAUAAUUUCAACCAACUCUAUUUCUUCUUCUCGUGCCAUCUUGGUCGAAAUUAUCACCGGUAAUGUCUCUUCCUCUCCAAGAUAGGCAUACUUGAGAUGGUCGGGAAGAGCCUUCAACUCAAGAGUCGGUGGUUGUACUUUGGAUGGGAGAAGUUUCAGAUUGGAACUUUUUAGCUUCAUGCAGGGUGGUUCAACUCUCAUGGGUUGUGCUUUCUCCAAGGAAUCGAUUACUUCAAUCAAUUCAUCCUCCAAUGUGUACUUGUCAGCCAAAUCCUUAAUCCCUGUCUGAUCAAAGUGUUUGCUCAAGAUGGUGGUUAGCACAUCUUGGCUUGACAUCUCAAAGCAAUCAUUAGUACAUGAAUCAAUAACAUAUAUGAAGUUUAAAGAAUGAAUAUCGCUAGGAUAACGCAUGGCUUUAAAGAUAUUAAAGUUAAUCACCUCACCAUCAAACUCCAUUGACAAAGUACCAUUGGCUACAUCUAUUUUUGUUUUUUCGGUACUCAUAAAAGGUCUCCCCAAAAGGAUGGAUCUCGAUUGUAGGGUGUUUUCAUCACCCAUGUCUAAAAUAAGAAGUCAGCGGGAAAAACAAGUUCAUUAACUUGCACUAACACAUCCUCCAAUACACCUUUCGGGUGUACCAAAGACCGGUCAACAAGUUGAAUGAUAACUCUGGUUUUUGAUAAAGGUCCAAUUCCCAUUGUCUUAUAACUUGAAUAGGGUAAGACAUUAAUUGAUGCUCCAAGAUCAAGCAUGGCACGUGGUACAAAAAGGUUACCCAUUUUGCAAGGAACCGUGAAAACACCCGGGUCCUUGCAUUUUUUUGGUAGCCGCUUUUGUAACACGGCUGAGACAUUUUCACCAACCUUCACAGUUUGAUUUCCUUUAAGCUUUUUCUUAGAUGUGCAAAGUUCCUUAAGGAACUUAGCAUAUCUAGGAAUCUGUGUAAUGACAUCUAAAAGAGGGAUAUUGAUUUCAACCUUUCGAAACAUGGCCAUGAUUUCAUCAUCUUCCAUUUCUCUUUUGGUGCUUGCCAACCUUGAAGGAAAUGGAGCUGGUGUGACUUUCACUUCGGUCUCUAUGGGCUUCUUUGACUUGGAAGUACUUUUCCUUUCCACUUCUUUGAUAGCUUCUUCCACCUCAAUCUCUUUCUCUUCUUUUUCUUCUUCAUGCGACAUCCUUGGGCUUUCAUAGCUUUUCCCACCUCUUAGAGUAAUUGCACACGCAUUGUGUUUUGGGUUCUUCUCCGUUUGAGAGGGUAGCUUGCCUUGCGACUCCAUCUUACUCACGGAUUGAGCGAGUUGUGAUACUUGUUGCUCCAAGCUUUUUAUGCUUGCCUUGGUUUCUUGUUGAAAGCUUUGAGUGCUUGUGGCAAGGCUUUUCACUAUGUCCUCUAAGGACAUACUUGAAGAAAUUGCUUGUGGAGGGGGUUGUUGUGGGUGCCUUGGUUGGUAAUUUUGAGGUUGGAAGGGUGGUUGUUGUUGAUUUUGAGGAAAUAGUGGUCUUGGUUGAUAUUGAUGCGAUUGAUUUUGCUGAUAAUUCCCUUGUUGAUUGCCUCCCCACCCUUGAUUAUUGUUCCAUCGCUGAUCACCUCUUGGUUGCUCAUAACCUCUCUGAUUUGCCCCAUAAUAGCCUCCCAUGACUUUCGCUUCUUCAUAAUCUUCCUCUUGGAGUUGUGGGCACAUAUCGGUUGGAUGCCCCACUUGGGUGCAAAUAUCACAUGGGCGGGGUGUGGGCUGCACACCUUUGUCUUUGGCCAACAUCAUGACUACUUUUGUGAGCUCGAACAAUUGAGCUUCAAUCUGAGGAGUUUGAACUUCUUUUACACCCCGGGGUGCAUCCGUAUACCAUUCUUCGUCAUGGCUUGAAUGUUUGGAAUCUUCAGCCAUGUUCUUGAUUAGAUUUCGGAUCUCAGUUGGGGUAUUAUCGGGCAAAGAUCCGCCACUAGAAGCAUUGAGAAUCCUUUUUUCCAUGGGGGUCAUACCUUUAAUGAAAUAUUGUAGGAGCUGAUACUUGGUGAUCCCGUGCUUUGGACAACGGGAGCAAAGUUUCUUAAAUCUUUCCCAGUAUGUGUGGAAAGCUUCUCUUUUGUGUUGCUUGAUUCCGAUAAUUUCCCUCCGUAGGGCUGAAGCUUUCAUUUCGGGAAAAUACUUGUCCAAUAACAACCUCGCAAGGUCCACCCAAGUAGUCACCGUCCCCGGUGGGAGGUCAUAGAGCCAGUCUUUGGCGGCGUCUUGCAAUGCGAAGGGGAACGCCCUAAGCUUGAUCUGAUCCUCCAUGACAUUGUGUGGUUUCAUACCCACACAUACUACAUGAAACUCUGUAAGAAACUUGUGAGGAUCUUCAUUUUCUAGGCCCCUAAAUGUUGGGAGUAAGUGAAUGAGCCCGGAUUUGAGUUCCAAGUUGGUGGCAGCUGGGUAUGUGAUACAAAGAGGUUGUUGAGUCACCUCUUGUCUUGACCAUUGACGGAGAGUUUGUUCGGGUGGUGGGUUUGGAGGACCUUGAUUCCUCCAGGGUUAUCUGACAUGGCUUGAGAAGUGGGUGAUGUUUCUGUAGGUAAACUAUUUAGGAUAUUAUGAAUAGGUGAAGAGGGUGGAGUGGUAUUUAUGGGUGAGGCUAAUUGUUGUGAGAGUGAUGGGCUUUCUGUUUCUGAUGCAGAUACACUUGAGAGGGGUAUGUCCUCCCAAAUGUUGAUGAUUGGGGGAGUAGAUGAUGAGAAGUACCGGAAACUGGCUGCCUCUUAUGAAGUUUGGCUUGCUUCCUUAACUUCUUUGCAGUCUUCUCUAUCUCUGAAUCAAUUGGCAACGGCGUACCUGUACGAAAAGAUCUAGGCAUAAACAAUUUGUAACACUGUGUCCCCGGCAACGACGAACUUUUGUUAGGGGUGUCAGACCCAACAAAUAAUAGGGGUACAAUAUAAUCCUGAGUAACACUACUCUAUUGCACUAAAAAGUAGUACAAGGCAAGUAGGGUCGAUCCACAGAGACANCUUAUAUGGGAUGUUUUAGGGUUUUUGUCCCAAUAGUCAAUGGCUUUGUGAGUUGAUGAGCUUUAAGAACCUAGAUCUGUCCCUUGCUAGUGUAUUUCGUGUUAUAAGGUCAUAAAAAUGCAAUCUUGGUCAUUAAGAACUAACCAUGCAUGGGAUAUGAGCUUAAGGAAGAAAAUGGAUUGUAACAACCCAAAAAUCAUAACUAAAAAUUUCGUUUAAAUAACAUUACUUAAACCAUGAUUGUCAAACCAUGACAUAAUUCUUAACAUAAAAUCAGAGUAUUAAUUCAAAACAUAAUCUUAUUAUCUGAGUGAAACAUCCCAGGCUGACUAAAUAUGGUGCGUUCCAUGCAAUCAUCCCGAGCUCUUCCCUACGCUAUCGAAAGUACCUGAAACCAAAACUGAAAACUUUAAGCACGAAGCUUAGUGAGCUCCCCCAAACUACCACAUACCAUACAAUAACAUAUAAAGCACAUAUUGGGCCUUGCCCAUUAUAUCAGACCGAAGUUCGGACUAACUGGGGCCUUGCCCCCUGCAUCGGACCGAAAUCUGAAAACUGCAUCGGGCCGAAGCCCGGACUAACUGGGCCUUGCCCCCUGCAUCGGACCGAAGUCCAGCUAACUGCAUCGGGCCGAAGCCCGGACUAACUGGGGCCUUGCCCCCUGCAUUGGACCGAAGUCCGGCUAAUUGCAUUAGACCGAAGCCCAGACUAACUGGGGCCUUGCCCCUUGCAUCAGACCGAAGUCCGGCUAACUGCAUCGGACCGAAACCCGGACUAACUGAACAUAACUUAGCAUAAACAUAUCAAUUAGCAUGAACACAUAUACUGCAUACUGCAUCGGGCCGAAGUCUGGAACACAUAACACAAAAACAUGCUUGAAUCACAAAGAUAUCAAGCACAUUGAACAACUGCAUCAGUCCGGAGUCCGGAAACUACUGCUAACUAGACGGGUCGGCAUUGUGGUCGUAGACCCGUUCCUACUGGAAGGAAAACUCACCUGAACUGCUGAACUCGACCAAUAACCCUCUGGUUGCUAUCUGACGACUCUCCGAAAUAUUGCUCCUCUAGCUCCCUGAGCUACUAAUACCAGUAAUAACACUUAGCCUAAACUGAACUCUAGAAGUCAAACUAAGUCAACUCUGGUCAAAGUCAAAUUCCUGGUCAAAAUCAACCUUCCAGUUGACUCUACUCGCCGAGUCAACCCGUAAACUCGCUGAGUUCUUAAACUCACAAUCCUUCAAAAUACCACUCAACUCACCGAGUCACCCCAAGACUCAUCGAGUUCAACGAUCUCCGAGUCCCAUCCUGACCGAACCCACCGAGUCACCACUCAACUCACUGAUCUGCAUCAUAACAAGAAAAGAUUGGGGUUCUGCGACCAGACUCGCCAAGUCCAAGAACAGACUCGUCGAGUCCAAGGCAACCUUCAACAGACUCGCCGAGUUGUUCUUCGAACUCGGUGAUUUCCUGCCCAUCUUCAUACAACUCGCCGAGUCCACCCAUGUGACUCGUCGAGUCGCUUUAGUUCUUAAUCCAUACAGUGACUUUUCGAGCCAUGCAUGGUUCCAAACAGUAGAUCCACACUUCUAAGGCCCACCCUUUAUGUAAAGUUGCAAACUUUACGUGAAACCAAGGAGUUAUAGGCUUGAAACACUCUAGGGCUAGGGUUUGAGACAAACAUGCUUCACCAAGACACUAAAGACUGAUACUGUAUGGGUUUCUGGGCUAAUACAAACCUAGAUAUGAAGUUCUCUUUGCUCACCAAGGCACAAUACACGAAUUGUCCUUGGAAAUGGCCCCAAAAAUGAUAAAAUCUAACUAGGAAAGAGGAUCUAAANACAUUACUUAAACCAUGAUUGUCAAACCAUGACAUAAUUCUUAACAUAAAAUCAGAGUAUUAAUUCAAAACAUAAUCUUAUUAUCUGAGUGAAACAUCCCAGGCUGACUAAAUAUGGUGCGUUCCAUGCAAUCAUCCCGAGCUCUUCCCUACGCUAUCGAAAGUACCUGAAACCAAAACUGAAAACUUUAAGCACGAAGCUUAGUNUUGAGAGCACUAUAAUGGAGGCUUAGGGUUUCGAGAGUAGGUAAAGGGAGUGAUGGAGGCUAGGGUGGAGGCCUGAAAUGAUGCUUAAAUAGGGUACCAAGUCCAAAAAUUAGAGUUUCCCAACCCAGACCAGACUCACCGAGUCAGUCUCCCUGACUCACCGAGUCGGUCACUUAAUCCGCGACACGGGUCACGCUCCGACUCGUCGAGUUCCUCCUUGGACUCGAUGAGUUGACUCCUUUGACUUAGGGCUUUUCUUUCCUUUCCUGGUCUUCCUGAUUCUGGGUGUUACAUGGAUGAAGGUUUUGAGUGUUUAAAGCCAAACCAGCCAUGAAAGGCGUAAAGUCUUCGACUUUAUGGAUUAGGAGGCUGUAGGGGGUCCAAAUAUGUAUUUUGAGCCAAGGUCUUAACUGAUUAAGACCAUAAGUGAGAAAAUAGUAAAACUUGGACAUACGUUGAGCGUAAAUCCCAGUACGCGGGGCGUAGGGUUUGAUUAGCCCGAUAUCAGUGAAGUAAACGAGUACGCCCAACGUAGGGAUAUGGUACGCGCAGCGUACUCGCAGGCGUUGACUUUUAGGUUUCGGUCAACAAAUGGACUUUUGGACUCACGAAGGGGUAAAAUCGUCUUUUACCCUUCUGAGAGAGCAUAAAGGCGAGGGGGUGGUCUAGCUUAAUGAGUGCUGUUAUUAAAUAAGAAUUUAUGUUUAUGUGUAUUAGACGGAGGCUAGACCGGAGAUUUGAGUUUGAGAUUAUUCCGAGAUAGUUAGAGGUGAGUCUUCUCGUUAUACCUUACCUAGAGUGGUAAUUAUGUGUGACCGGAAGGUCGUAUGUGCUUAUAUGUGACAUGUGAAAUGCUAUGUUAUGAGUUGCCUGGUUUGGACCGGAAGGUCAAAAGGGUUGGGCCGGAAGGUCAAUAGAGCAGGACCAGAAGGUCAUCAAGGUAGGGCCGAAAGGUCUACCAGAGUUGUGUCCACUGAGACAUAUUGACCGGAAGGUCACAGCCUUGAGUGGCUAAUUUAUAUGCAUGUGGUAUUUUGGGGAACUCACUAAGCAUUCGUGCUUACCGUGUUAUGUGUUAUGUGUUUCAGGUACUUUCGAGGAUCGCGGGAAGGCACCGACGUGAUUGUACACACACACUCUGGACAUUGAGCUAUGAUUGUGGAUCCUGGAUUUGAUAUAAUGUUUUGAAAUUUGUUGACUAUUAUGGUGUUUUAUAUAAAAUGACAUGUGUUUUAUGAAAUUAAAAAUGAAAAAUUUAUUUGAAAAAUCAUGUCGUUACAAGAUUUUAGUACAAAUAUCUCCUCAUAUGAUUAGUCCUGAGCUAGUACAUACAUGACCAUUCCCUGUGUAAUUCCUCACCGUUUUUCACCUUUGAAAUAUAAAAAUCAAGAAUCAUUCAGUUAACCAUUUUUACUCUCAUUAUAUUUGUUCUUGAUUAUACUUUUAUUACUUACUUACUUAUCCUAAGCACAUUGUUGAGUUAUUAUCUUCUAGGCUUGACGAUUUCAUCCAGACUUGAUUGAAAGAAUUAUUAGCAACCAUUGUUGUGUUUUAUCUCAAGAUUUGUGUUUUCAAACCUUUUCCACACAAUCCUUGUUCUCACAGUUAGAGAAUAUAGAGAAAGGAUCUUCGAGAGAAACAAGAUAAGAGAGUUCUUUGUAAGAACUUAGAUGUAACUCGUGAAGGAUUAAGAGUAAGGAAUUCGUGAGGGAUUCAGUAGUAAGAAGAAAGAUUAAGGAUCCACGAGGGAUCAUAAGAGAUGGAAGUAAGACCGAAUGAGAAUACCCAGUAGGGUUAUUCGGUUGUUGUUUCCAUUAGAAUAUAGAUGAGACUAAGUAUGAGAUGUGAUCGUUGAGUCCAGAUGAGAAAAGAAUAUUGAGGCAUUAAAGUUGAGAAUAGAGAGAAAUGAAGAGUAAGCAGAGCAUGUGAAGGCAUGUUAAAAGAUAGAAAUGAGUAGAGCAAUAGAUAGAGAAGAAAGAGUAGAGAAGAGAUAGAAUAUGGAACAUAGUAGAGAAGAGACAUAGAUAGAGUGUCAUUGGAGCAUAAAAAGAGCAUGAGAAGAGGCUAAUAGUAGAGUAUGAGAAACAAAGUAGGUGACAUAGAAAGAGAUAGACGGAAGAAGAAAAAAGAAUAACGGUGUAUGCUAUUAAGAGAAAGAGUCAGAUGAUAGAGUAUGAGAAAGAUAAGGAAAUAUAGAUAAGAAAAGAUAGAAGAAUAACUCACCAAACAAUUUGUGUUUGAUGCUGCAGAUUUCAGAUUGUAGCAGCCGUGGUACCAGAAUAGAAGACAGAAGCACAAGGAAGGCUUAGAUAGUAGGAUCUUAUGUAUGUACUUUUCUUGUUGUUCUAAUUUGUAUGUAGAUUUUUAUUGUAAACCCACGAUUAUUCCUGGGAAGUAAAGUGUUUUAAUUUUAGUAAAAUUUCACACUUGUAAAAAAACUAUGAUAUUUCUCUUAGAUUCGAUGUUUGUAUAAUGUGGGUCGUUACAAUUGGGCUAGCCAAUAUAUGACGCCCUUUAAUGCACACAAAUUGCUUCAUACUAACCAAGUCAUCAAUCAAAGUGCUCAACCUAUUAACUAACAUUUUAUCAACAAUUUUAUAUUGACAACCUGUUAGACUAAUAGGAAGAAAGUCUUUCACAAAAUUUGAUUCGUGAAGUUUCAGAAUUAGUGUAAUAAAAAGAUGGAUUUCACAGGUUUAUGGUGGCGAUGGUCAAGAGGGUUUAUGGUGGUGGUUGUGCAGUUUUCAAAUAGGGUGCAAAUUUUCGAUGGUGGUGGUAGUUAAGUGUUAUUCAACAAAAAGAGAACAAAUAUAUAUAUAUAUAUAGGUUCAAAUGUUUCUAGCAAAUAUUGUGUGCCUAAAUGCACCAAUCAGAAUUUAAGAAAAAAGAAAUCAUUAAUUAAAUAAUAAAGGGUAAUUUAGUCAUUAUGUAUGUACAAUUAAUUAUAUUCCAAAAUUAUAAUCCCUAAAAUAAUGGGUCAAUUUUCCUUUAAUAGCAUUUAAUCAAGAUAAUUAGUUUAUAAACCCUUAAAAAAUCAUCGUUCGUUUCAUCAUCGUCACCAUAAAAUGCCGACUUCCACCCAAGCAAAAAAUCCUUCAUCCUAGGGUAUUGUGUUCUUCCCUUGUCGAUCCUGGUAAACACCCUCUUCACCGACGACCCUCCACCUGCAGCCACCAAUCCCUUUGUUUUUCCGGUGUUGGUCCCUUGCACCGACGAUGAUGGUGUCGCAACAUAUGAGGUGAAAUCGAAUAUGUAAACUCGAUCUCUACAAUCGACGGUAAAUUUCCUCCUGCUAAUUUCUGAUUUUACAAUUGACCAUCUUCUAUCUCCUUCUUCGAUUAAAACAAUUCCUUUUUGAAAUCAGAAUCGACGGUAAAACAGUUUCAAUGGGGCUUCAUUCUUGCUCUCUGGGCUUUUUAUCCAUCUCCACUGAAGACCCUCACUCCCGAUGCACCGUUUCCACAGAGAAAGAUCGAGUGGGAGAGAGGUAAAAAGUCAACACCACCACCACCCUGCUAUGCACAUCCAAUUACCUUUACCACACUGGUCGAUUUUGCUUUACAAACCUCGAAUUCUCGUGAUCGUCCCUUGGAUUGUCGAUUCAGGUAUGAGAAGUACAGAUGCCAAAUUUUGUUUUCAAAUUCUUCAAAGCCGGUAUGAGAAGUAAUUUGAUGGUAUAAUUUCCGUUUGAACACGAUUUCCCAUCCCUUAAAAUCCGAAAAUUUCUUUUUUUAAAAUAGGUUAAUCGACUAACAUACCUUUUUGCUGAAAUUUGUGUGAUUAUAUGAUACAUGCUACCCUAUGGUAAUAUCAUAGACCCUCAGAUCAUGACUGUUGAUUCUAUUCAUCCAGUGGUCCAGAUCUGUGCAUUCUGGCACACAAUAGUUACUAGAAACAAUAUAACCUAACUCUCUCUCUCUCUCUCUCUCUCUCUCUAUAUAUAUAUAUAUAUAUAUNACAAUUUUAAUUAAAAAUAAUAGAAAUAUCACAAAUAAAUUGAAAAUGACGCUAUAGUCAUUUCAUGUAAUGGAUGAAGUGUGUAAAAUUAAACUAAUAAGGGAUGAAAUGUGCAACUUCUAAUCAAACGAGAGACGAUCCAUGUUAAUUUUUGAAAGUAUGGAUUGGACAUACAUUUUGACAUUUGUACGAUGGAUGAUUUCUGUAAUUAGUUUAAAUUUAAAAAUAGAUUUGAAAGAUUUUUUAAUAUAAAUAAUAGUUAAAUGAUAUUAAAAGAAUUUAAUUAGUUUUGGGAUUUAUUAAAAAUAAUUAAAUUAUAUUAAAUUUAUUGAAACUGAAUUAAUGAAAGGAAAGGGGUGUCUUUUGCCAAAAUCUGAAAGUACCAAAUUUGUUACCGAAAAAGCCAAAUGGGUUAAAAUUAUCAAUUUCAAAAGUUCAGGGGGUGAUCUGAAUUUCCAGAAAGGAUUGGUUAUUUAACUCAAAAUGGGAUUUGAGGAAUUUUUUUCAAGUGCACAAAUAUCAGGUAUCAUUAGUGUAAACUAGGAAUUUUCAUGCAAAAUACGGGAUUUUAGCCCAUAUCCUUUCCAGAUUUAGAUUCAACCCACUUUCCUUGCCCUCUACGGCAUCUUGGGAUCAUAUAAACUCCUCCCCAACCCUUAUGUGGCGUCGAGAAGGAGACAAACGAGGGAGAGUGCAGAGAAACGAGGUAGGGAGAUCGAGGAGAAGAAAGGGUAGGGAGUCAUAUUCUUCUGUUUGCGAAUUUUUGUACUAUUUGGAUUGUGAGACUGAAUAUUGUUGGUCUAUUAUUGUUAUUAUUUUUUUUGUGAUGCACCUCCUUGAGAAAAAUAUGAUGAAUAUAAAUUUUUUUGUUGUUGCUCGACAUGCCAUACAAUUCACGAACAUUUGGAAUUCCAAGCAGCCUUUCUUUAUUUCCUUAUAAUGCAAAUUCAUCCCAUAUAACUUCUUUAAUGAAAAAUAAAAAAACCAAUGAGUAGUUCUGUAUAAAUAUGAAGAGAAGCAAGCCUUUCUAAGCACUGAUACGAUUUCUUACUAUCUAAUAAAUAAUUAUUAUAAAUAUGCAGAAAGGCUGUGUAUGUUGUUUAUUUUAAUUUAAGACAAAAAAUGGGUGUCCAUUUGAUUGAGAGCAGCCGGCUAGAUGGGACUGAAGAGCCGAGGCUUGUAAUCCUUCCACUGUCGGGAGCGAGGGGUUAUCGCAGCUCUGUGAAGCCAGCCUAACGCGUUGUCCCCUACUCUAAGCUCCAAGUGACCCAAGCCUUCACUCAAGCCACAUGAAUCAACUCUCGACUUGGAACGGGCAAGCCAGAUAAUGCGCAGCAGACCCAACCGAAUGACCCAAAUCACAGUCCGACCCACUUUGAUACCCCCACUUGGGUUAUAGGCAAGCGCAACCAAGCCCGGUGGCAACUCAUCUGUUGGAUGACUUUAUUAACGGGUUAUAAGUUUCCUCAUAUGCCGAUGUGGGAGAACUCAAUAUAACUUAAUUUCUUGAUUAAUAAUUCCACCCCCGUUAUGAAGCUUAAGUAUGAUUUAAACGACUUGGUUCUACUAUUUAUCCUUUUCCAUUUUACAUAUCACGAUAAAGACAUUAAACUUGAAUCAUUACACAUAAACAACAAACCACACUAUAAAAAACUCUUAUCAACACAAACCAAUGGUAUAUUAACAGUAUCACUCUAUAACAAUUUGAGUACAAAUCUUCAUAUUAUAACUAACAAAACCGAUCAUUGAAUUCAGAAAGGUAAAAUUGCACGAUUUAAGAAAAAUAGCAAUUAGAACAACAUAAAUUUAUGUAACACAAUAAAGAGUUUUUUGAUUGAAGAGAGAGAAUGAAUAUCUAACUUCUAGUUAGAUAGAUAAGUAUAAAAGCUCUACAUAAAAUAAAAUAAAAAUAAUAAAAAAAAAUUAAAAAAAAAAAAAAAAACUAGACCAAACAAACCACCAAAAAUGCUCAAACCAUUUUGAACAAAACAUGUUUGCUAAAUCUGAAAUACCAUAAAAAUACUCAAUAGUUUUAGUGAAAACUAGGACAACAGAAAAUUUAACCCCAAUAAUCACAAAUUUCUUGUGUAUUAUGGUUGAAUGUUUUGGAUUUAACUUACAAACUAGAACAUAGAAUGAAUUAUCAUGACUCCAUUUACAAAGUCACUUGUACAUGACCAAACUUACAUCGAACUUAACUCACGUAUAAUUUACCCAUACAGCUAAAUCCAUCCAAUUACUAAAUCAAUUUUAUCAAUUCCACAUUUCACCCGUCUCGGGAUCAUAUUCAUCAUCUUUCCAUUCUAACAAUUCAACCAUGAAUUUAGCAUAUAAUUCUUGAGAAUAUGAUUACAAUGCUUACUACAUCUAGGGUUCUUACACAACCACCACUUAGCUGUUGACGAUGGUGGUUACAUAGUGAUGCUGGCAGUUCCCGGUAAAAGAAAAGAAGAGAAAAUAAUGAAAGAAAAAUGGUUGUUACCUUAACCUAGCUUCACAUAUGUAGUUAUGUACCUACUUCUUGUCAAGGACUAUCAUGUCAACAUGUCACGUUCAUCGGCAAUCUAAAAACCGGUUAAGUGGUCAAGACUGACCAAAGGGCUUCUAACCCAGCGGUAUCAGGUGGUGCCCUCCCUCUUUGAGGUCGAGGGUUCAAGUCCCGUCGUGGACAUAGGUGGAAUUAGGUGUUAGUUUAGGAGUAGAUUAGUAUAUUUGUAUUUGCCGGUUCAAAAAAAANNNNNNNNNNNNNNNNNNNNNNNNNNNNNNAAAAAAAAAAAAAAAAAAAAAAAAAAAAAAAAAAAAAAAAAAAAAAAGUGGUCAAGACUGGAAAAAGCUAAAAAAUUCAGUGUCUUAAUCGCAACAAAAUAAACAAACAUAGUUUCAAAAUCAGAAAAUAAUGUAAAUAUAAUGACUUUAUUCAAUUUUACCCUAAAUUUUUUGAAGCAGACUAAAUCCUACAACAACGAACACUCAAUUGAAACAUAUUUCUCAAAUCAAAGCUAGAGAAAUGAAAAGUAUUGGUUGACGAUUUAAAGGCGUUACAUACAAGCAAAACGGUCGACUAGAACGUAAUCACGUAUCUAAUAACUCCCUAGCUAAUGCUUGGGCAUCAAAUAGACAAAAAAUAAAAUCACAUGCAUCGAGCACUAUCUACACGUCAUCAAUAAACGAACCAGUCAACAUCCUUGACAAAUAUCAACACUUUCUAAAUUGUUUAAAAGUUAUAAUCGGUCAUCGUUCAUCAAACAUUAAUCCCAAUCUUUUAGGAAAACAACACAUACCCUUAGGGACAUCAAACACUGAUCCCGAUUUGGAGGAAGAUAGAUAGAGGGUGAGAGGACGAUUCGGAUAAUAAAAACAUAUUUUACCAAAGUAUCAAAACUUCUAUACACUAACAAAAUUUACGAGCAUCCGUUAUUCAUUUUCUAUGUCAAUUCGCAAAUGUAAAUUUUCUCCAUAAGGGACAUAACAGGACACACAUUUCUCUCUUAUCGACACUGAUAAAAAAGAAAAAAAAAAUGGGAUUGUUUGCACGAAUAUUGCUGACCAUUUGGCUAAUGGGUGGCACCGCCGGUUCAAUAUAUCUGCUAGGCAGACGGGCUUUAGAAAUCGGCGUACGUAUGGUGGCUCUCCAUACCGAAACAUGUUUAGAGGACACUGUGUUAUGGCCAACAUAUUUGAUGACCGGCGUCUUGGUUACAUGCCUCCUAGGCCUCGUCGGAAUCGUAUGUUGUAAAGUCAAAUUCUUUCAAUGGCUCUUUACUUUCUUGGUCAACAUCGGACUUCUUUACGUCAUGGUCAUUGUCGUUUGGCGUUUGCUUAUGUUCGGGUGGAUCAGAAAAUCGACAUCAGCCGUUUUCGAUGAUGUUUAUAAGGAGGAUUCACCUCUAGAUGAAAAAUAUAAGCCGAUGCUUAUCGAAGCCAUGGUUGCCGACAACGUGUGGCCGAUGGUUGAUGAGUGUUUGACGGAGAUUAAGUUUUGUGAAGAAGAUCGUGGACCUGAAAAGUUCCUUGACAAAGACGACGACUGGAAAAUAGAAAAUUACUACGAAUUUUUCAGGGUAUGUUUCAAAUCCUUCACAUCCUUUUCAUUUCAUUUUAUCCAUCGUCAUCGUUAUGUUGAUGUAACGGGAUAAGGGUUUCAGGAAGGGUGUUGUGUGCCUCCGCCAAAAUGUGCACGCAAAAUGUUUGAGUUGGGGAGUGUAAGCGAAAACGAUGAUUGCUUAAAAUGGGCGAAUGCGACAUUGAAUAAACCAAAGCAUGUCAAAUGUUUUGAUUGUGAUUCGUGUAAAGCUGCCCGCAUGGCGACGUAUAUAACAAAUCAAGACAAGGUUGGUAUAUAUUUGACUAUUGCCGGCGUAUUCCUCUUCAUAGCCAAUCUGUUUUCUUCAAUGGGGGGUUUUGAAUAAACAGGGUGUGGUGUGGUUCUGUUGAAUUAUGAUUCUAACAAAUAUGUAUUGUAAUGUGAAUUAGUGUAAAUUUAUUGAGUUUAUGAUUGUUUUUAUUAACCAAAAAGACAAAAGGUGUAAGAUUUUAGGUUAAAUGUGGGAUAUUGGCGAGAGAAGCUUGCAUUUUGUCUUCUGAGAAAGACAAAUCAACCAUGGCGCCCUGUAAGUAUUUCUCGUAAGCAGGAAGGUCAAAAUGGCCAUGGCCACACAUUGCCAUUAAUAUCACUUUUGAUUCGCCGCUCUCUUUGCAGUGAAGGGCUUCUCGUAUUGCUGCGGCUAUGGCAUGUGUAGGCUCCGGUGCUGGUAUCAGUCCUUCUGAUCGAGCAAAUUGUAUGGCCCCUAAACCAGUUCGUUUCAUCCAAUUCAACACGUUAGGUCUCAAAAUAACAAAAUUGAUAGACGAAAGAUUACAAAAUUGAAAGUAAUUGUACCUCGAAAGCACUCAAUCUGUGGAAUUGCGAUUGCUUCCAUGAAACCUAAUUCAUAGAUGUGUGAAAUCAGUGGCGCCAUUCCAUGAUACCUCAACCCUCCUGCAAAAUUAGGUGAAGUUAUGGUUCAUUUUAACCACAAAGAGCAUCUUUCUGAGUUAUUAUAUCAAGAAAUCAGAAAGAGUUAUACCGGAAUGAAUAGGGUCAGGAAUGAAAUCAUGACCGAGUGUAUGCAUCUUCAUCAAUGGAGUCAAUUGAGCAGUAUCUCCAUAAUCAUAAGCAUAAACACCUUUGGUCAAUGAAGGGCAAGCAGUAGGCUCGACAGCUCUUAUAACAGGGUUGAUUUUUCCUUUGAGUCUUUCCCGGAUAAAAGGGAAACAGAGCCCUGCAAAAUUGGACCCACCACCCGUACAACCAAUGAUGACGUCAGGAGUCUCCCCUAAAUCCUCCAUCUGCUUAAUACAUUCUUCCCCAAUAACAGUCUGAUGUAACAAAACAUGAUUCAGAACACUUCCUAAGCAAUACUUGGUAUCUUGGUUAAGACCUGCAACCUCCACAGCCUCUGAAAUGGCAAUCCCCAAGCUCCCUGGACUUAACGGAUCCAUUUCAAGGAUUCUCCGGCCUGACUCCGUGAUGCUUGAAGGAGAGGGAUGAACUUUAGCUCCCCAUGUUUGCAUCAUCAGUUUCCGAUAUGGUUUCUGAUCAUAAGAAGCCCUAACUUGCCACACCUGCAAAUUAAAAUUGAAAUUAAACCAUAAGUUUUAACCAACACUAAAAUGAAGAAGCUAGCUCUAAGAGAAACUCAUUACUCACUUCACAGUUGAGCCCAAAUAGGCUGGAAGCAAACGCUAAAGAACACCCCCAUUGACCUGCACCUGUUUCAGUGACAACGUUCUUGACACCUUGUUGUGCAUUGUACCAAACCUGAGGGACAGCGGUGUUUGGUUUGUGUGAACCGGCUGGACUUACACCUUCAUAUUUGUAAUAAAUUCUUGCGGGUGUAUCAAGUAGUUUCUCCAAUCUCUUGGCUCUAAAUCAAAACUCAGAACAAUUCAAAAAUAUGAUAUCUUUUAUAUAUAUGGAAGAAUAUUCUAGAAGAAAAACCGACCUGAUAAGAGGGGUAGGGCGCCAAAGCCUGUAAACAUCGAUAACUUCAUCAGGAAUCACAAUGAAUCGUUCAUUGCUUGCCUCCUGCUUAAUCAGUUCAUCGGGAAAAAGAUGAGAUAGGUCUUGCGGUUGCAAUGGUGCAAACGUCUUUGGAUGCAGAAAUGGGGGAGGUUUGAUGGGGAGGUCGGCGAUGAUAUUAUACCAAUGCGUAGGGAUUUCUGUUGCGACAGCAUGUGGAGUAAGUGUCGUUGAUACUGGUUUUUCUCGAAAUGAGAAUUUUAAAUGAUUGGGAUUUGCAUUAAACAACGAAUUUCCAUGUUUUUUCACCUCACCUGAAAGGGGAAGAAGAAAGAAGAAAAUAAGUUUGGCUAUUGGAUUCUUAUCUUAAGUCGAUAUAAGAUCGUACAGUUAGAAGCAAAUUGAUUUGAAUAAGCGUAGCUUUAACCUAAUCAUAUGAACUGUAAAAUCAAACGACCCAAAAUAAAAAAAAAUAAAAAAAAAAAAAACAUCUUCUACCAAACUGGAUCAAAAUCCACCACAAAUAAAUCAAAGAAGAGUUGAUAUCAGUACAAAUAGAUGAAGAGCAUGUGUGUUGUUUUUCUUUACCUUGGAAUGAAAAUUUAGGGCUCCGAUUUACCGAAAAAGAAAGAGAAGGAGACAUUGUUGCAGGGGUGUGGAAGUUGGUAGUGAGCUACUAAACUUGACUAAGUUGAAUAGGGGUUGAAGAAGUGGUUUUGGCAUUGAAUAAGAUUGUAAUAAUAAAGAUGGCAUUUGAUGGCAUGUGACCACUUCCCUAUCGAAUACGCCGCCAUGACCACCAGAUGCCAUUUUUCAUGCAUUAUAGAAUUGCAUUCACUUAACGUACAAUACAAAUGCGUAUAAGACGGAGGACCACGUACGAUAUCAUUUCCUUUUUGUUUUUUUAUUAUAUAAAAAAAUGGAAAGUAAAAUAGUAAAUGGCAUAAAAGAUUAUUAUUUUGCUUGACAAUUGUUUUAGAAGAAAAAAAAACAGAUUAAAUAAAGAAUUUGAUUACAAAAAGGUAUCAGAAUAAUAAUGCAAGGUCACCUCAAAAGUCCAACCUACACAGUACACAUAUUGAUUGGUGGUCCGUCGAAUUGCUGUCUCGGCCUUAUUAGUACCACGAGCUUAAAUGGCUAAUCUGGGCCCACUAGCGGCCCGGUUCACUAGAAACCAGUCAUUAAUCCAACGGGUUAUCCCUAAUUUCCGAGUCAUUUUACGGAUUUCAUUAGAAUUAUUUAUGCCUUGAGUAUUAUUAAACUUAAUAUGAAUUUGAGACUUUUUUUUUUCUUUUAAAAACAGAGACUUUUUUUUUAGUGUUUUUCCUUAUCUAGUAAUCGGCCAUUCUAUUUUGUAUAUUCCUCCAUCAUGUGGUUAGAGCCCAAAUACAAGGGUCGGACAUGAAAUACCAAGUCGCAAUUUAGUAUGGUCAGAUCAAAGUCAAAAAUUUAAGCUCAGGAAAUCUAAUAUGGAGCCUUGUUGGAGAAAAAAUACCAAGCAAUGAGAUUUCAUUCUUUCAUAAGAAAGCCUUCCUACAACCCGUCCGCCAAUUGGUCAAUCACUCAUUCGAUCACUGCAAUUGAGAGUGAGGGGAUAUUGAAAUGGGCCUUAUAUGGAUUCACCUACGAAAAUAAAGGUCUCCAAUGGAGGCUAUUUUAAGGGUUUUACCUCCAUUUUUUAUUCAAUAUUUCUAUUUCCCUUAAGCAUUUAGUAGUUUAGAACUAUUAUAAUAUAUAUUUGUCAUUCGAAUUAUUCACUUCUUGAGUAUUGUUAAAUUUUAUUAAGAAUUUGAGAAAUUUUUUUUUAAUAAAAUUAAGAUUGUUACUGAAUGCUUUUCCGUUCUCUCCUAACAAACCAUUUUUUUUCUGUUUCUUCUGCCAUCCAUUUAAAUACAUUGAUAGUUUAACACAAUAAAUAAAUUUAAAAAAAAAAAAAAAAAAAAAAAAAAAAAAAACCCGAAUGUUAACCUAUUAGAGUUCAAAAUUUGUAUAUUUUAACUAAGCAACGAAAGUCUUAACUUAUAAAUCUUAGAAAUGUAGGUUGGUGUAGUUUGUGAUUUCCUUGUACAGGAAAAAUUAGUCUCAACCCAAAACAAAUAUUGGAAAUUGGUACUUGAAUUGUCAACUCUAAACAGAAAUCUUGAAGACAAGUUUUUUAGAAAAUGAAAUGUGGGUGAUUGUGUCACGACUUAGUUAUCUAAAAAAACAAGUAUUUCAUAAGUUGAUUCAAUGAUCUAUGGGACUAUUCAUACAAGCCAAUAUUUUUCAAUCUUGAAAAUUUAUGGCAAGUAUUUCACAAAAGCUUGGCAUAGGUUAUAAACACGAUGACAAUUACAUCAACCAGUGAAAAGAAAAAGAGGUCACAGGAAAUGAGCAUAACUCACAGAACAUUCCAAUCAUCCUACAAUUGUGUUAUUCUUGAAGCUCCAUACCUUCCUUCCUGAAGAUCAUACAUCAAGUUGAACAAACUUCUUUAUAAUUCCCAUCAUUUCACUCCCUGGAAACCGCCCAAGACAACCCCUUGCCACCGCUAACUCAUCCAACUUCCAAACCGAAUCGCCGGAAAAUGCUCGAUUCUGUUGACUCCCUUCCUCUUCUUCCACCACAUCAUCUGAUAAAUCUUCACCGGAUUUAAUAACCGGAAGUGGAAACGUAUCAAGAGAAGUUUGUAAAACCACGGAUUCACCACCAACUGCACCCACAUAAUCUUUCAACCGACAUAACGUAAAUGGAACAGGCUCAAAGCUAUGAUCCCCAUAUUCAACCGGAGUAGAAUGGUCUCCAGUGACACACACUGAAAACUGGAAUUCACCACUUGACUCUGCCUCCCAAAGAAGCCUUGCAAGCUGCCCUAUUGCUUUGUCAACAGCUUCCAACCCUUUCACUUUAAACACACUCGCUUUAUCAUGCCCCGCAUCAUCUAUUGCCUGUAAUUUAUAACAUUUAGUCAUUUAUUAUUUAUUAUUUAUAUCAUAUCAUUUCAGAAAUAAACAAACACGGAACACCUUUAUAUGAAGGAAUCCAAAAUCAUAGCCAUCAGAUGGACCAGGCUUGUGUUCAUCUUCCCCUGGCACAAAAACAUUCGGGCAAGACUUUGUAGGAGCCGACAACGCGUUUGCUAUCGCCAUUGCUUUUGAUGUCAAUAAGGUUCGGUAAUCUCCCGUGGCUCCGGAAGCUUCUAGAAUGUCUAUACCCAAAGAUAACCCAAGCCCAGCUAUGAUUUUCGUGGGGGCCACCAUGCAUGGUCUUAGUCCGUGAUUCUUCUCAAAUGCAGGAACCUGUAAUAAUUUAUUUGUAUUUUUUUUUAUAAUGAAAUUGUAUGUUUGACUUUGACAUGUAAAGUUAAUAAUAAUAAUAAUACCUCGAUUCGAAUGCCACAGCCUCGUAAAAGGACAAUAUUGGCAAUGUUUUUUCCUUGAGCAGCACGUUUUUCAUUCAAGGGAUGAGCAACUAAGAUUUUAGAAAUUUCUUUUGAUAAUUCAUUGAUAACUGUUGCAGUAUGUUUUGCUUCUUCUGUAUCAUCAAGAGCUUGUGCUUGUAAAAGCAAACGGUUAUCCUUCAAUGGAUCUGUUCCUGAUAUAUUUCCACUUAGUUUAGGUCCUUUCACCACAACCCCACAUCUGUGCUCUGUUGCAUACCUGAAACAAAUCUAAAAAAGCAUAAAACUUGCAACAUCUUUUAUUUUCAAAAAGCCUUCAAGUCUUGGAGUAAGAGGACACACACACACACACACACACACACACACCUGACUCUGACUUCAUAUUCGGGAAAAGAUGGGAGCUUCAUUUUAUCAAGUGCUGCACACAAGAUGGGGCCUUCUUCUUCAAAGUGCCUAUCAGCCCUUCUGCUAGUGACUACUCCCGUUUUCUCAUCUAGAGUUGCAAAGUUUGACUGAUGGAUUAUGAAAGAAAUGAAAAUCAAUACAAUCACAAAAAGAGGGACGUUUUAUUAGUUAAAAGACGGAUUUGCCCAUACCUUGAAAGCAAUAUCUCCUGGUGACAUGGCCAAACCAGCACCCAUGGAUUCAAAGGCGCCUCGACCACGGUAAUAGACUCGAGGGUCAUAACCCAUUAGAGAAAGAUGAGCAGUGUCACUUCCACAGCCUAAACCUACUUCAACUGGGUCCAUAAGACCAUUGACUCCAGCAGAAGCAAUGGCAUCCAAGUUUGGCACUUUUGCAGCUUCUAGAGGAGUUUUGUAUCCAAAUCUUGGAAUUGAAACAUCUCCCAAUCCAUCGAUCAACACAAAUGCAACUCUUCUACGAGGCAUCUUUGAAUUGACCAUACUUGUUUUUAAACACUUUUAAGAAUCUCACUGUCAUCAAGAUCACGAUAUAACAAUAAGAAACUCAAAGUAAAUAAGCUUUACAACCUAGGGCUCAUAACCAAUUAAUCAUGCAUGUAAGAAAAAAAAUCCGAAUUGACACUGAAUUAGUUAACCCUAGAUGGUCUAUUUCAAUUAUGUAGUGAGAUCGGAUUGACAUGUUAUAAACGACCAUCAUCAAAAGAAAUACUUGCAUCUUGUGGGUUUGUAUAAUCACACAAUCAUAAAGCAAGAACUAAUAACAUAAACAUAUUUGAGACUAAGACUGACCUGAUUAGGCUGAGGGUUUUGAAUUUAGGAGAGAUUUUGGAUACUGGGUAUUGAAGAGGAUUGCAUUUUUGUUGAAUCUUGGGUAUUUAACUGCGUUUAGUAGAUGGGGGUAAAGGAGCAUCAAUCUUCAUGGCACAGAUGCACUAGGGUAUUCCUUUUCGAAUAAAGAAUUCCUGUUGAGAUGCACACUCCAUAACCCUUUCCUCGGUUGCGUACUCUCUUUUUACACCGUCUUCACCGAGUUAAAAGAAACAGAGAAAAAACAAAAGAACAGGAGUAGUAAUGAAAUCAAGAAAACGUAGAUUUUCUUUUAUUCUUUUAGAAAAAAAAUAAAAAUAAAAAAGUUUUUUUUAAGANNNNNNNNNNNNNNNNUAUAUAUAUAUAUAUAUAUAUAUAUAUACACUAGCCGUUUACCCGCGCAAAGCGACGGGUGCGGAUCAACAAAAUGACAUAAAAAAUUUGUUAAACAAAAUGACGAACAGAUAGAGAUUUCUUAUACUUGGGCUAGGAUUAAACGUAAGACAUUUUUGGGCUUAUUCGAUUUUAAUAGAAAGAAAAACAAAGGAGGAGGUAGCGAGCAUGAGAGAGAACCAAGGUUUUGCAGUCAAAUGGCAAGACAUUCAUGAUAGACGAAUGCUGUAUCAAUGUGCAUCUUCCAGUUUAUAUAAAAUGUUUUAUAACGUGUACAUCGUAUUAGACCGAUUCAAAUGGAUAUGAAGAACACUUGGUCAAACUAUGACCCAUUCAAAAUCUUAUCAUCAUCUUAUUUGACUUUUUCAUAAAUAUUGAUCGGAUAAGAUUUAGUAUUUACCGAUUCAAUUGGAUAUGAGGAACACUUGGUCAAACUUUGACCAAUUCAAGAUCUUAUCAUCUUCAUCUUAUUUGACUUUUUCAUAAAUAUUGAUCGGAUAAGAUUUAGUAUUUACCGAUUCAAUUGGAUAUGAGGAACACUUGGUCAAACUUUGACCAAUUCAAGAUCUUAUCAUCUUCAUCUUAUUUGACUUUUUCAUAAAUAUUGAUCGGAUAAGAUUUAGUAUUUACCGAUUCAAUUGGAUAUGAGGAACAUUUGGCCAAACUUUGACCCAUUCAAAAUCUUAUCAUCAUCAUCUUAUUUGACUUUUUCAUUAUUAUUGACAGAUUCGUUAUUUAGCGAUUCAAUUGGAUAUGAGGAACACUUGAUCAAAGUUUGACCCAUUCAAAAUCUUAUCAUCAUCAUCUUAUUUGACUUUUUCAUAAAUAUUAACCGUAUAAGAUUUAGUAUUACCGAUUCAAUUGGAUAUGAGGAACACUUGGUCAAACUUUGACCCAUUCAAAAUCUUAUCAUCAUCAUCUUAUUUGACUUUUUCAUAAAUGUUGACCGGAUAAGAUUUAGUAUUUACCAAUUCAAUUGGAUAUGAGGAACACUUGGUCAAACUUUGACUCAUUCAGAAUCUUAUCAUCAUCAUCUUAGUUGACUUUUUCAUAUUUAACUCAUUUAAUUUGAAGAUAAGCUUUGAAGUUCAGUUAUANUAUUAAUACUAUAUGGAAUUAAUAUCAUAAAAAAUCAUAUAAAAACAUAAUAUAAUCUAUAUAUAAUAUUCUAAUAUAGUUGUAUGGAAACUAAAAAGUGUCAAAAUGUCAUUACAGCUCAAGCCGUUCGUGGUUUCUUACACCCCGUUCCCGAGUUAAACUUAACGAGAGAAAGGAAAUGAAAUAGGUGGAAAUGAGAAGAAAAUAAAAGAAAUUGGUGUUCCCGAGUUUUAUUAAUGAGAGAAGUGGAAGGAAGUGGAGGGAAAUGGAAGGAUCGCUUUCCCUCCUAACUUUCCUUCCGAUUUGGGAGGAUUUGGAAAGAAAGAAUAAAAUGAUUCAUUUUCCUUCCGUUUCUCUCCAAUUCGGGAACACUAAAGAAAAUUUUGUUCUCCUUUCAUUUCUCUUUUUUUCUCUCAUGACGUUCUUUUCUCUUCUCUUCUUUUCUUUUGUUAAACUCGGGAACGAGACAUUAGCCUAAAAUGCUGAAUUUUAAGAGGUACAAGGCAUAAUUUAAGCAUCGGAAUCUUAUCCGGUCAAUUAAAAGGAAAAGUUAAACGGGACUUUGAAGACGGGCCUUUGAAUUCGUGUUCCACACUUUCAACAUAAUGAAUCGGUCAACACCAACUAACCUUUAUAUAACAUCUCCUCUUUCGCUUCCUUUAUCAUUGUUACGUUACAACUCACAAGCACACACCAGAUUUCAAUAACCACUAGAUCAUUCACUCUCCGCCAUCCUCUUUCUUUCCCUAAAAAAUAGAAUCCCCAACCAAAAACCCAUUUGCCACUCACACCCCCAUUCAUCGGUCACCACCAUCACAACAUUACUUACCUGCAUCAAAGGUCAGCUUCAUCACUACUAUUGUGGAUGUUUGACCGUUCACUUCUCCUUCCGAACUCAACAAAUCACAAAUCAGAAAAUCGAGCAGGUAACACAUUUGGUACCUUUUCUCUGUAUCCAUAAAACCUAGAUUGAACGUUCACGCUACCACCACUUUCAUCACCUUCAAAUCAUUCAUUGCAUUGGUUGUGAUCUUCUACUUAUGCUUUCUUAUUUAUGUUUUCUUCUCCAUUUGCAGGUUUCAAUUUGUGUGUAAUGUACUUGAUUGGAUAUCAAACUGAUGAUGUAACUUUGAAAGGCAUGCCUACGACUCUAAUCGUUUUAAAUCUCAUCUUUGUUUUCCUGUUUUUUAUUUAAUUUUAGCCAGUUGACCUUUUUUGGAAAAAGAAUUACUGGUGAAAUAAGUUUAUCCUACUUUCAUAUAUGACUUCUAUUAUGUGUAAAGAUGUCUAAGUACUCUACUAUUUGAUGCAAAUAUUAACCACAACAAAAUAUGGCUCGAGAUUUUAUAGCUAAUAACUAUGAGGUAAAGCUUAUCAACAUAAUUUUUUCUUGUAGGUGGGAGAGAAACGAGCACUAGGAAUAGAGACAAAAAGGAUUUCGACGAUUAGUUUGUUGCUGCAAGGUCUUAAUUUUUUAGGGUUAGUAUUCUUUUUUUUUCUUGAUUUACAAAUUCUUUAGGGUCAAUUCUUUUUUUCCCCCUGAUUUACAAAUUCUUUAGGGUCAAUAUUUUGUCGUGAGAGAUGAAGAUGUUGUAACAAGAAUCAGUAUGACAAAUAAAUUAUGUCAGUAACCCAUAACUUAAACCUACAUCUUUUAUCAUCUUUUUUCUGUAAUCUCUUUUAAGUAUUCCUCUCUUUUGAAAUUUUGGUAGGGAUAAACAAGAUCAUAUAAGAUUCGAGUUCCUACAAUUGGUUAAUGUGCCUUGCUCCUCGGUGGAUGACUUUUAAAUUUGUUUUUUUUUCAAUUUUAAUCAACGGCGAUGUUAUAUAUAUUAAAUAAAUGAUAUUGAUAACAUAAGCAAAAUCAUUUUAUAUUUAGCAGGUCGCCUAUAGCACCUGAAGAUACAAUUAUGCCAUAAGGAAGCAUAUCUAUGAUUUGUCAUAAUUAAAGUUUUCAAUUACCAUGACAGGUUAGUCACCAUCUUAACUUGAUAGUCACCAUAUCAACUACAUGUGUGUGUAAGCUUGUUUGUGUUUAUAGGUCUUAAAAUGGGUGAUUUCAUCUUCAUCGUUAGAACAAGCUUUAAGUGGUCAUUUUGACCAGGGUUAUAAGGUAAAUCUGUUAAUAUAUGAAUUUUUUAAACUAUUAUAUGAUUAUGUUGGAAAAUGUGAUAUGGUGUCAUUUAGGUCUAAUAAAAACUAUGGUAUGGUUAUUCUCCAAAAAAAAAGUCCUAGCAAUUUUCUGUCAAAAUGUACAUUUGUAGAAUUCUGCGAUUUUACUUAUUUUUUUUUCAAUUUGAACUUUUUUUCCUUUUUAACCAUUGUACUUUGAUUCUUCUCAGGUGCCUGCUUCAUGUUCUCUUUAAUAUGCUAUGUUGGUUUGAGGUAAAACUGUAAAAAUUGUCAUCAACACUCUAAAGCGAUAAGCAACAAAGCCCUUUAUUCUUCUUCUAACUUUUUUCCUCUAUCUUUUAAUUUGGACUCAUUUUCCUCUCUUUUGAGAUCGAUACUGAAGAAAGUAAACACUGAAAUCUUUUAUUCUCAGUGUUUUGGGGCUUCCAAGUCCCCUAUGGUCUCCAACCUCUUCUGCUUCUAAUCUAACCACUAUGAUCGAAAUGCAUAUACAUUCUCCCAUUGCUCCAAAAUCUUGAAAAUUCCAGCACCUAAGCAAUAAAAGGCAUGCACUUUCUCUUAUUGUUACUGAUACACCUCCAAUACAAUACACGUAUUCUAGAAGAAGGAGGGUAGAAUGGGAAAUCAAGACCAAGACAAAAAGGGAACAUCCCUAGAGGUGGCAGUAUCAGAGAAGUAAUGGGAGACACUGCAGGGGGAAAUCUGGAAAGAAGUUUAUUUGGUUAGCAAUAGAAUAGUAGGGGAGCAUUAGAGAAAAAUUGGUGUUAUUUUUAUGGAGAGACUAACCUCUCGAUCAUGUUAGGGUUCUUGUUUGUCUUUAAGUGUUUGUGAAAUACCAUAAGUGAAUUGCUCCUGUUAUUUACAUUCUUUUGUUCUUUGCUUAGUUACUAUCGGAAGUUUAGCAUUAAUUUAGCAAUAGCUCAGGAGUUAUAAUGUUUAUUUCGGUUUUAUACUUUGUUAACAUCUUUAUUGCGUUAAGGUUUUAUGUAAUCUGUUUAGGUUACAUCUGAAGAGACACCAUACACAUCAGCUGCAAGUUUAGUUUUGAGAACAUGUAUAUUCUCAAGGCUCUAUUUACAUCAUCAAAUUCAUACCCUCUACAAAUUAUUGAGAUUUAAGGUUGGCCCCCUGAAUUUCUUCCUAACUAUUCUAUGUUAAACAUGGCGAUGUUUUGUUUCAUAUUUCAUUUGGAUGAAGAUUCGUGAUAAUAGUUGAGCAAAUCAUAUAUCAUGAGGUUUCCUUUUCUUGCUUUUAAUCACUUGCUUUUAGGAUGAAACACAAUCCAAUCAAAGCAAUGAUGGUACUCCCGUUUGAAGGGCAAGCUAGAAAAAGGAGUUAAAGAAGAUUAAUGCUUGGAUUUGAAGGUUAGUCCUACGAAAUGGACAUUUGUAAAUAGUGGAAUCUGAUUUUUAAGGUUGAGAACAAACAUUUUUAUACAAAAGAUGGGAGGGAAGAACAAAUUAUUUCUAAUUUUUACCAAGUUUAUUGUUUUUUAAGCUAUAGUUACAUGUUUAUGAAGAAUGACUAGGUUUUUAUCAAAUGUUAUUGGGUAUCACUGGUAACAAAAUGUGAUUAAUGUCUACUCUUUUGAUUGUUGAAUUGUUUGUUUUAAAAACAAUUGGUUGAUUAAUGUAAGUAUAUGUAAGAGCUUUAUAAGAAAGCUUGGUCCAAAUAUUGAACAUACUUGAUAUUCAUGUUUUUUUUAUCGUCGUAUGCAUUUAUCUUUCAAAAAUUGAAUUUAUAUAUCAGUUUAGUUAAGCCCAUACAAAUUCAACGUGGCAACUUUUCUUGUGUUUUAAUUUGUAUUGGUUUUCCUAAUCUUUUUAUAUUUAUUUAUAUCUAGCAUUAAUCAAAUUUUAAUUCUUUGAACUAAACACAACAAAAAAAUAAUUAAUUUGUCUUUCUAAUAUCUAACAAAAUUCAACAAUAAAGAAAAUUAUAAUAUAUAACUAAUAAAAAGUAUUUGUAAUUAAUGGAGAUACUAUGUGAUAAAUGUUAAAAACAUUUUUGAGAAUAUAACCAUCUUAUUUGUAAAAUUUCAAUUAACAUCGAUUAUUUAUUUAACGAUGGAAGUGAAUAAAUAAAUCUUUAUAAAAUAUAAAAGUUCAAUACAUAUCGAUUGAAAGCAAACGAGCAACAACUUGCGCCGCUAGCCUUUUAAAAUUGAGGUUCAACAAUGACAAAGUAUACACAUCAAAUGUGUUGUAUAAAGAAAUAUUUGUAAAUUCAACCAUUAGAAACACAUUUAUGAAAAAAAAAAACGCAUCUGUCGNNNNNNNNNNNNNNNNNNNNNNUAUAUAAGUUUUCAUUUUUAAAGACUCUUUAAGAAAGAUGGAGAGAUAUAUAUCAAAAUACAUUCUAAAACUUUUUGAUGACGAAAACAACCUUUCGAUUAAGACUACUAAAAUUGAUUAAACAACAUAAGGAAUGUGAGAAAUAAGAAGUUACAUAUAGGGGUGAGUAUCGAGCGGGUUAGGCGAUUUUUGGUUCAUUCGGGUUCAUUUUAAAUGGUUCGUUUUGGGUUACUCGAAUGGAAAAACAAAACUGCAGUAUGCCACUCAAGAUGUCGGGCAACCGAAGGAACCAUUGAACCAGGGGAAGGCAAACCCUACAAUUUGACGGAACCCUAGGCCUUAAUUGAUCGGAGAAGCUCGAAUGGUCAAGUGCUCGACUAUCGGUCUAUCUCUAGCGAUCGUGGAAGAGACGUCGUGUUUUGAUUUUGAUUUUCACGGGGUGUUGUAGUGUCGCAAUUGAAGUUUUAAUGAUGCAACUCAUAAAAUGAAUUAAGGGUGGGUGUUGGGGGUAAAGUCACUCAGGGGUAGGUCUGGCAAUCGUGUCGUGUUCGAGUUGGCAUGUCGCGGGUUGGCGGGUUGGCGGGUCAAAAUAUGCCAACCCAAACACGACCCAUUUAAAUAUACAGGUCACGGGUUUGCGGGUCACAGGUUGGCGGGUUUGGAACAUAAACCCAUAUAUGACCCGCCAACCCAUUUAUUGAUUCAGGUUCUCAGAUUAGCGGGUAUGUGGGUCUGAUUUGGGUUCAUGGGUAAGAUUCCAUAAAUAAAAUUGACAAUUAAACAUGAAUAAAUUCUUGAUGGUUGAUGCAAACAUAUCUGAAUUUUAGACACUUAAGUCUUAAACAUCCAAAUGAAAAUUAAAAACAUUUAUAGAAACAUGUUCAAAUUAAACAUUAAUACAAACAUAGAUAAUUCAAGUGCUAAAGUAAUUGGCCACAAUUCCCAUUUUUUCUCCCAAAAAAACAAAGUCAAUUCUCCAACACCAUUUUGAUACUUGAUUUCGAUCACAGAGUAACAGAGGGGAGAGUGAGACUAUAGGUGACCAGGAGACUGGAAGUCUGGAAAAGGGAGAUACGCUCAUACACGAAUUGAUUUUGAGAUUAUAAUUUAGGGCAAAUGGACAAAAUGGUUACAGACUUAGCCUUACAAGUUACGACUUACGACCUUAGGUCAUCCACACUAUUUAAACAUCCUUAUCCCCUCAAAACCUUUUCCUUCAUCAACCUCCACAUCCCAAAACAUCCCUUGCUAACCCUAAUUCAUUGUGUAAGCAUUUUUUUAGUAUGAUAGUGUGUAUUUGUGCUCUUGAAGGAAGAAAAAGAUAAUAGAUUCAUCUUGGAAGCUUCAAGCAAGAGUAGAUCUGAAACUUCCUCCUUGCAAGCAACCUCCAAAAGGUAUAGAGUGAAAUUUGAUGAAUAUUCUCCUUGGUCCCAUAGUCUUGGUGUUCAUGAGCAUGGCUUACUCUAACCAUAAGGGUCGUCCUUUCAGACGUUUUUAGGUGUUAGGAACCAUAAAAAUGUGAUCUUGGUCUUUUCUUUCCCUUCAUGCAAGAGUUAUGGUGUUUAGUUUGAGUAUUAAGUUAGAGUUUUAGUAGUUAGACUACUUCUAGCCAAGGAAAGUCAUAAAGGUGGAAAGUUUAUGACUUAGAAUGACAUUUAGGUCGAGAUCCAAACUUUAGACGUUAAAUCUUAAUGGAUUAAGCACUUAAAAAGAAAAAAUAUAGUCGGGUUAACUACGUUGGGCGUACCAAGGGGUAUGCUGCAUGUACUAGCCAAGGGCCUCGUAUUUUGGAUGGAUCAUGACUACUCCCAACGUAGUGACUAAGUACGCCCCACGGGGCGUACUCAGUCUAUGUUGACUUUCCUAUGAUUUUUGAAUUUUUUAAUUUGACUUUUACCAGGAUUUUGACCAAGUUUGACUGAGGGGCAAUUUGGGGUAUUUUGAGUAGAAGUUUGAGUUUAGGUCCUUGUUUAUUAUAUAAGUGACCGGAGAGACAGUAGUUGGAGCAGUGAUCUGUUCAGUACAUUUCAAACUGUGAGGUGAGUUUUCUUCACUAUACUCAUGGGUUGAUGGCAUUAAUGUCGACCUACUAGGUUAUGUAUCCUGGUAUAUAAGAUGUUGCUAUGAUGUAGUAAUUUUUCAUAUUUGCAUUAUUAUAUGUUUGAUGGUUAUAUGUUAUUUGUUGCAUAUCUCGACAUAGUUUGGUUAGGUUGAGGCAAUACUGCUUUGUGCGGAAUCCAACAAAUUUGGGAGCAAGCCAAACAUAAGAUGUGGGCCGGAAUGGAAAGCCAAACUUAUGUUGUGGGCUCGGAAGCAAUCCAAACAAGAGUUGUGGGCCAGGAGGCCAAACCAUACUCAUGUUGUGGUCUUAGGGGUAAUCUAACCCAAUGGUUAUGGACCCAAUAUGCAUGUUUUUAUAUGUUGUGUGGUAGCAUUUUGAAGAAACUCGCUAAUGUUUGGCUUGCAUUUUAUGUGUUAUGUUUUAGGUACUUCUGAUGACCGGGACAAGGCGAAGGCAUGAGCUUACACAUCCUUCAGUAAUAUGUUUUGGAGAUUUUAUGAUACUUUGAUUCUAGUAUAUUUGUAUUUGAUAAUUGGGUUAUGACUUAAGUAUUGAUUGGAAACAAUGAAUUUACUUAACUGAAAAAUGAAAAAAUUUAUCAUGAUUUUUGGGAUGUUAUAAGUUGGUAUCAGAGGCCUUGUUUGAGCGGAUUGGAUAAGCAUUUGUAUGAAUCCAUUAGAACCAUGGUUCUAAAAAGUGUGCCAUGGCGCGCCUCAAGGCGUUCCAUGGCACGAGGCGUGGUGUAGCCGUUACGAAAACGUCUAAGGCGGGUUUGUUAAGCUUGGCGCCCAAAUAACGUGUCAAGGCGCGCCUUAUCGCGUUAUGGCGCGAGUUUUUUUGAUUUUUUUUCUUUUGUUUUUUUUAUCGGGCCUAAAAUAAAUGAGUUUUUGUUAACUUUUUUCUAUUAGAUAUUUAUUUAAAACUUCUAAAAACUUCAUAUAUUUGAUAAAAUUCAAUAAUUAUAUGAUUUAUAUCUUUUUAUGUAUAUAAUAUAGUCACGCCUUGAAAAACGUCAUGACUCGUCAAGGCUUGUCGUUACUUAACUUUUACCUUGCUGCCAAGCCACGCCUUACGUUAUUUAGAACCUUGAUUAGAACAAAGGAUCUGUAAAGUUUUCAAAAUUAAUUUCAAUUUUGUUUUCAAAAUUAUUUUAAAAAUUGUUUUCAAAGGUAUCCAAAGAAGGAUGGGGUGUGUACGAUAAGUCAGAGCAAGAAAGUAUACCCCAAGAUAUCUACACUAUUAUUUGCUUAUGAUGAUUAUGAUAGAAUCGCAUGCUAGUUUUUAGGUUAGGGAUCCUCAGGAAUUGCAUGAUAUAAUUGCCUAAUGUGUGAUGCCUUAUAGCCUAGGAAAACUUCUUGUAUGAUAGAUGAAAUUGACAUCAUUACUAAAGUUGCUUAGUGUGUACAUCAUAGUUGUACAUAACUAAGAUUUUUAUAGCUUGUGAAUGUUUAAUUUAGCCUUAUUUCAUUUUUCUUGUCGGGUUGUGGGCUUAGGGUAGAAUUAAGUAUUCAGCUGUCUAUGGCAUCCAAGGUUAUGUAAAAAUUUAGCAUACACGAGCGGCUGCAGAGUUGGUGGAAGCGUCAUGAGUGACUGUGGGUGUAGCUGAUGGGUUUUAUGUACUCUAACAUUCCUAUGGUGCACAUACAACCCUAAUGCUUUGGGUCUAAUUUUUCUCUAAUUAUACAUGUAGCAUUGUUUUCCAAAGCAUAAAGCCUAAACUAGCAUGCAAGGUAACAUUUAAAUCAUAAAAAACAGCUAGAAGAUUACCUUGUGUGGUAGCUUGCUUGUCUUUGUCCUUUAGGAGCCUAGCACCUCAAGUCUGAUGCCUCAAAUGUCUUAUAACAAACCAUGAAUAAGAGAAUUGAUUUGAGAGAGAGGUUUGGGAGAUCAAAAUCGGCUAGCUACAACUCUAGUGUGCAUGGGGGCCGAUUUUAGGGUGUUAGGGACUUCUUUUAUAGCUUAGGAUCACAACCAUGCAAACCCUAAUGACUCUUCAUAUUUCUUAGUCUUUUAGGCUAAACCUUCUUGGACUUUCACAUAGGUUUAUUCCAACUUUAAUCAACAUGAGUCAUGAGCCCAACUAGAAGUAUUACUGAUUUACCUAAUCAGUCCCUGUAACUUUAAUCAGUUUCUUUUGAUCAUGAAAUUAAUACCAAAUUAAUUCUUGAUCAUUACUAAUUAAAUAAUGUGAUUUCUCAAUUAAUAUAUUAUACUUAUUAUAUAUUAAUAAAUCACAAUAACCUCUUCCUCAAAUAUCCAUCCUAUCAAAUUGUUCCAGAGUGUUACAACCCACAUGGACCAUGCUAUUAUCGGGUCAAGUACAUACCCAUUAUAGUUAUGGGCUUAGACACCUAAUCCAACAGUAGCAGGCCAGUUGAGGGAUGAUUAACCACUCUCGAGAGAGUGGGUAUAGGAUGUAUGCAUAUCCUAGUUAUUGGGUUUGUUUUCGGGUAGUUUGUGAUGAUCCAUUGAGAUAAAUACGGGUAGGUGUGGAAGGUAGUAUGGUCCCGUACUACUGAAAGCACAGGACCCGUACGCAUAACAAGGAAUUCAUGAACCCAAAGGGUGUAGUCUUCCCGGAAUGAUUGAAAUAAUAUGAAUUUGUAGCAUUUGUGAUAUACUUAUGGUUCAUUUUUAGUAUGGUGUUUACAAGGGAUUUAGGAUCUCGAGCUAGUGGCCAGGAUUGUUAGAUGAUGACAUUCACGAGUUGAUCGCCAAUGAGGUUGAUGUUGCUAUCUAAGGUGCCAUCCAUGAGGUUUUUGGAUCUAUCAAGACUGCAAUGAUUGAGUUUUUUGAUGAGCGGUACGCCGCUGUGUUUGAGGUUGUUGUUGUUGCAUCCAUCGCAGCUAUUGUUGCUGCUGCAGCUGGGGUUCAGGGGAGAUGAUCAUUGUAGUAUCAUGACUUUAGCAACACGAAUCUCCUGGAGUUUGAUGGGUUCAAGAACCUUAUCAUGGCCAUGAGAUGGAUUUCUGACAUGGAGGGUUGUUUCUUCACCUGUUAAAAUUCAGAGGACUAGAAGGUCAAGUGCUCCUUAAACCUUCUUCGACUGUGUGCGAAGGAUUGGUGGAACCUAGUGACCAGUUCUUAUACUUCUAAGAUGAGGAAUGUUGUUACUUGGGAUCAUAUCUCAUAGAUGUUUGGCACUAGGUACGUUCCCUAGGUGGAGAGCAAGAGGCUGGCUCAUGCGUAUCUGGAUUUAAGACAGACGUCGGAGUCAGUGACAAAGAUCACCAAGAUGUUUAGUGAUAUGGGCUCUUUUCUGUCCUGAGUAUGAUGCUAUGGAGUAGGCUUAGAUGGAACUGUUGGGUUUUUGAGUAUUCUAACACUCCUAAGGUGUGCAUGCAACCCUAAAUACCUUGGAUCUAUGUUUUCUCUAUUAUCCAUGCAAUCUUGAACUUUCCAAGGUAUUACCCUAAACUAGCAUACAAAAGUUUAUACAUGGGUAAUAAAACAAGUUAGAAGACAUACCUUUUUUUGUAGUUGAAAGCCUUGGACCUUUAAGAACUUAGUGCCCCAAGUGUUGCACCUCAAAUGGAAUCACACAACACCACCAACAAUUGGAAUAACUUGAGAGAAGAUUAUAUUAUAGCAAAAUCAGCUAGCCCUCACUUGUGUAUCCACUAGUGUCAAUGUCAUGAACUAUGAGGCUUAUUAUAUAGUGUGCACAUUAGGGUUACACCAUGUAGCUCAUGACUUUCCAAAUUCCUCAUGAUCCAUGGGUUUUAACCUCCAUGGAGGAUCCAUGGGUUUAGCCCAAGACGAAGAACUAUGGAUCAUAAGCUCACUUUAUAAGAAUGAAUGAUUUACCAAUCAAUCCCCAUUUAUUUAAUUAGUCUCGUUUGAUCACAAAAUUAAUUCCAAACUAAUUCUUAAUCAAUACUAAUUAAAUAAUAUGAUUUCAUAUUAAUAUAUUAGAACUUAUAAUAUAUUAAUAAAUCAUAAAUAUCUUAUUCUCACAAAAGUCUAUCCAAAUUGAUCCGAUGUCAUGAAUCCCAAAUGGACCAUGCUACUCUCGGGUCAAAUACAUACCAAUAAUAGUUAUAGGCUUAGACACCUAAUCCAACAGUCUCCUACUUGGAUAAGUUUAGUAACUAUUAUUGCAAGCAUGACUCCAACCUGACUAGAAAUUGUAGCUCUUAAAAGCCGUUGUCGAACUCUGAGUCAAUGACGUGUCCAUUAGAUAAGGGAUCAUACAGUCCUCCAUUCUAGAUACCAUAUGGACUGAGACAUGGAUUAUAAUCAUUCUCUCUGUCCAUGUGUUGUUUCCCGAUUUCCGAUUUAUGACGACUGACUAAUUGAACAAAUCAAAUCAUUAUAGGCCUGAUGUCAUCACUAAAUCAUCGAGGGGCCCAUAGAUAUCGCUUUAUCCACAUGGGGUAAAAGGAACAGAUAAACUUCGACACAAAUGCUCGCUUGUGCUUACUCAUCAAAUUACACACAACGACUGGUUUAUAACAUCCAAGUUACUGGUGCCUUUACAUAUGUCAAUGUGCAACCGACUCGCAAUUACAACUCACACAUCUCCGUUUGAAGAAUAUAAGAUAUUAUCGUCUCAUGAUCACUCGUGAUAAAAUCCAUGAAGUGAUUCAAAUGAGCGUGGGUUGAAUCCAAUACUCGAAUCUUAUUCCAGGAGUACUCAUGAACACUGCAGCCACCUUGUCCUCGACAAACUACAGACCCAUUCAUGACAGUCUUGCCUCAAUACCUACUUCCAAAGUAUGAUCGACUGUGGAUGGUUUGAAUAAAAUAGUUAUUCGGGAAGUCAAAACAUGCAAAGCAAGACACAAGAAUAAUACUAACCCUAUAUGGCUCCAAAACUUUUGAGCCAUAUUGAUUACUCAUCAUUCAUUGUAUAAUGUUUGGAAUAAUCAACGUAAUACUUGAAUUAAAACAAUAGUUGUGCCAUGCUCCAAGCAUGCACACUAUGUUUGUCUAAACGAUAGUUAUGUCAUGCACCAAGCAUGCACACUAUGCUUGUCUAUGGUCCUUAAUUUGUAAAAGAGAUCAAAUGAAAAACAUUUCAAUGAUGCUCAUUUCAAAAUUCCAAAUCGUUAUUGCAAGUGUAAGAAUUCCAAAUUCUUGUCACUGCUAGAAAGUGUUAGAUUCUAAACUAUCAUGCAAUGAUUCUGUUGUAAUGUUUAGGUACCAAAAGUCACAAAGACUUGACCAAUGAUAUUACAAAAUAUUCUUUUGGAGAUUGUUACAAGACAAUUCCAUGGAAAUGAAGUCUCAUAUUCAAAAUACAUUCCUUUGAACAUCCUUCUUGCAUAAAAGUUUCUAACUUUCUCAUAUAUUCUUCAACUCCCAAUAUGUAAACAUUCCAUAUUUGCCAUACGACAACUCAUUAAAAAUAGAAUCUUGUCUAUUCAUAAUAGUGUCAAUAUGUUCCAUCCAUUAUUAUACUUCCAACUGCCCUUAAGCGACCAAUCCUUGGCAAACCUUAGAUUGUCCUUAACAGUUGCUCAACCACUUUAGUCAUAACCGGUUUUAGUCUUUUUUCCCUUUUAAUGCCUUAGGCAUUUGGAAAAUUUAGAACACGAGAAUAAUAUAGCAUAUGUAAUCGAUCCUAUACCCGAAGCAUAUGGGAUACGAUUCAUAAUGUCUAACAUAAAGACAUGAUACUUGAUCAGUCUUUUGCUAUAAUAUUUCUAUUUGCCAUGUUCUCAUAAUUUUGAUUAUGAAGAGGGAUGACGUAAUCAUAAUCAAAAUUUCGAGAACGCAAUUAACACAUCCAUAUAUAGAAUUUCCUUAUGUUGAACUAUUCUAACACACACACACACACACACACACAUAUAUAUAUAUAUAUAUAUAUAUAUGUCACACCCGAACCAGACGGCGGAAACGUCUGAGGGCUCAUGUGACUAAAUUUGAAUAUCAUCACAAUGAAUAUACAUGAAUCAUAACACAAACGUCACCAUGCAUCAAUAUAUUACAACUGUCAUUGUUCAAAUCAAGUACAUUGUUUUAACAUUACAAAUCCAUAACAUAAAAUGUUUGAUAGUUUUCAAAAGCACAACACCCUAACAUACUUGGUACCACUCCUCAGCUUACCUAUUACCUGAGAAUACAAGUUAUUUUGAAAACGGUCAACAUAUGGAAUGUUGGUGAGUUCAUAAGCAGGUUUGAUAUGAAAAAUGUUUUGUGUAGUUUGAAAGAAAACAACCCAGAAAAUCCGAUAUUUUCUGAAAAGACCAUUGUUUAUAUAAAAGUGUGAAGAUCCGUAAAUAUAUGCAUGAUGAUUUCAAAACAUGUAUAGUUGAAAAACUUUGUAUUAAAAGUACCAGUGAAAAAUGUUGAACUUCCCCAGAAAACCCGAUGUUUUUCGAAAAUAAAAAAAUAUCAUAUAACUGUUCGAAUUGUUAUCCCAUCCCGUGAAUGAUUUUGAUUUACCUUGAUUACUUGAUUAAUAUUAGAUUUAUUUAUGUGAGUCGUUAUAACCAUGCAUGAUAAUGACUAGUUCGUCUGUCUUGGCACUCUGGUGAACGCCGGAAUUGAUCUUAAGAUUUUGUCACCCUAGACUGGCCGAGUCUAACUAUAGCGAACAACUGAGGUCUGGGGGAGUCACCCCCGUAUAGAUCUAUACACAAACUCUCGCUCUCCCUCUAGGAGACUUUGAUUAUAACUACAGACUACGACCGACACACGUUGGUGGCACCCGUUAUUACUCACUAAAUCCCAAUUGACUUUGAUUACUAUUGAUUAUCGACUCGUAUAUGUUUACUUGGAUUGACGAUAGGCCUAAUAAACGAGGAGAAGAGGAUUACAAGAUCCUACUAUUCUCGCAUAUUAUUUAUGGCUAUUGGUUAUACGAAGGACACGCUGACCCAUUUCGCAUUUGAUUUACUUGGACCUUACUAGCAAUGCUAAUGGGCCACUAAGGCCCAAUAGCACUUAAAAUCCAUUGAGGGUCCCUUGACUAUGAAAUUGGGUCAUAGAAGGCCCAAUAACAUUUAUUAUUAUCCCGUGGACCCAAAAAUCAUGUUAAUGGGUCACAAAGGCCCAACAAGCAUGAUUGGAACUUUCAAGCCCAAAGAUUUGAAUGUUUACUUGUUUUAGGUGUAGUUUAAUUGUUGGAAAGUUUGAUUGGGUGAUUGUUAAUUUCAUACCGGAACAAGGCCGGUCGGUUAUUUUUAACGAUGUUUUGAAUGUUACGUAUUUUCAUCUUUCCAUUUUCAUGAAUGGUAGUUUGGUAUUUUUAUUUUAACUCAAAUAUCUUAAAAAUAAAAUAAUUGACUCAAAAAUCUUGGUUUGAACCCCUUUCAGCCCUUCUUUGGUAAAAUUGAAAAUUUUAGUCCUUUUAUAAAAAAAGACAUUUUAAGCCCUUAAACCAUUUUCUUAACACUUUUGACCCAAAGAUUUGUUCAAGUGAUAUUUUUAGCUCAAAACUUAUUCUUUGGCAGUUUCAGCCCUUCCAGAAAAGUAUUUUUCAGUUAAAGCCCAAACUUUUGCAACUUUUACAAUUUUGGCCCAAAAUCCAAAAAGUUUACAUUUUUUAUCCUUGUUUGGAAAAUACAUCAUUUUAACCCCUGAAAUAGUUUUGUUUACCCUUUUUACCCCCUGUUUUGAGAAGUUUAUCAUUUCACUCCCUUGAAAGUUGAAAUUUUCGUAAGUUAUGGCUUAAUGGGCCGAAAAGCCCAAAAUAUGUCCCAUUAAGCUACAAUUUACACUUCUAGCCCAUAAAAGAGUAUGAUAUCCAUAAAAACAUUUAUUUUUACUGAUUUGACUCUUUUAGUCCUUAAGAAAUCGUGAAUGACAAUCUUUCCCCAAACGUUUGCUUAUUUGACUAAAAUAACCCAAUAAUGAGUCUUAUUUUGUAACAUGUUUAUUUUAACCCUUAUAUGGUAGAUUUUUCUUAACUAGUUGUGUUUAAUACACCCUAGAUCACAUAUUUUUCCCUUAUGAACUAUAGAUCUCGAAAUAUCUUUCAUUUUUGGCACAUAUUUACCACAUAUACACAUGAAAUCACACAUAACACACACAUACACAUAGAUCUACACAUUUUACCUGCAUUCUUCCCCAUAAAACAUAUGAAAACCGAAAAUAGAGGGGUACGAACUCACCUUGCUUAGUUGUUCUCGGUUUGAAGAAGAAAUGGGAAGAGUUUGAUGCUAUUUUUCGGCCCUAGCAAGCUUUCUUGGGCUGAUUUCGAACUUAAGAGCUUCUAAGGAGUAGAUUAUGAGAAUUGUGUGUGUUAGGAAGAAUUUUUGAUGAAGUAAAGAGUCUAGGUUAUGGAUCUAAACAACAACUUACCAAUGAUGAUGAUUAUUGUGGAAUAACCUCCUUGAAAAGCCCUAGAUCUCGAAAUUUUGGUGGAGGAAAUGAAAGUGUUCUUGAGAGAACUUGGAAUAAGAGUUUGAAGUUGUGUGGGUGUGUUCUCCUUGCGUUCUCGGCCGAAGAAGAAAAAGAGAGGGGAGAAGAGAGAGAGAGAGUUGCAUGGAUACAUGAGUCUUGCAUGGUAGUAUGGGAUGUAAUUGCUUUAUUAUUUGUUGUGUAAUAUGGAGGUGUCACCUCCAAAGUCAACCUCCAUUUCCUUUUUUAUAUGUUGGUCGAGAAUGGGCUAAGGAGAGGAAUGUGUUGGGCCUUUUGGAGUUUAAGUCCAUAAUAUGGGCCCAAUUUGAUGUUUUUCGUCCCAUUGGACCUUUUAGAGAAAUUCACGGCCCAGUAUUCAUCAAGCAUGAGUUUUAUGGCCCAUUAGGGCUAAUUAGGUUAGUUAUGGCCCAAUAAGGUCCAUUAGGGUAUUUUAUUUCAUUCUAGGCCCAAUAUGGCCCAACAUGUUAAAAUAAAUGGAAGUGGUCCAAUUAGAGCCCAUUUAAGAGUUAUAAGCCCAAAAUAGUUAAAUUGGAAGCUUAUUGGCCCACUAGGCCCAAUAAGGAAAUCCUAGUCCAUAAUGGACUUAAACCGGGAUUUCUAGGGUUUCCAAUUAUUUGUUGACUAUUUGAAGUGCUUGCAUAGAGAGUUUAAUGGAAAAUUUGUUGUUAUUGAAUAAGCAUCAUACGUGCUUUCACAUUUUUGGUUCACAAAUGUUAUCAUUGUUGUUGUUACAUGGUAUAGAAUUCCUAGUUGUGACAUCAUCCCCCCGUUAGAGGGAAUUUUGUCCCGAAAUUCCUUCUAAAGGUAGAUUCAAGAAUGCGAGAAUAGGUGAGGGUACUUCUGCUUCAUUUGGUCUUCGCGUUCCCAUGUGAAUUCUGGCCCACGCUUCGCGUUCCAUCGUACCUUCACAAUCGGAAUGCGACUUUGCUUAGUACGCUUCACCUCCCUGUCCAUGAUUUCAACUGGUUCUUCGACGAACAAUAGAUUCUCGUUGAUUUCUAUUUCUUCAAGUGGAAUGACGAGGGUUUCGUCGGAUAAACACUUUUUCAAAUUGGAAACAUGGAACACAGGGUGUACACUGCUGAGCUCGGCAGGUAGAUGUAGUCUGUAAGCCACUGGACCGAUUCGGGAAAGGAUCUCGAAGGGUCCAAUGUAUCGUGGGUUCAACUUUCCCCAUUUCCCAAAACGAAUAACCCCUUUACAGGGAGAGACCUUUGACAACACUCGAUCCCCGACUUGAAACUCCAAGGGCUUUCGUCGUUUAUCAGCGUAGCUCUUCUGUCGGUCUCUUUAUGCUUGUAUUCGAGCUCUAAUUUGAACUAUUUUCUCCGUUGUUUCAUGUAUGAUCUCCGGUCCCGUUAACGCAUUACCUGAUAUCAGUCCUCUUGCUAGCUGGGUGUCACCUACCUCAGCCCAACACAACGGUGAUCUACAUUUACGUCCAUACAACACCUCGAAGGGAGCAACUUUGAUGCUCGAGUGAUAACUGUUGUUGUACGAGAAUUCGAUUAAGGGAAAGUGGGUAUCCUACGACUUUCCAAAGUCUAUCACACAUGCAUGAAGCAUGUCUUCAAUCAUCUGAAUGGUUCGUUCACUUUGACCAUCCGUUUGCGGAUGAUAAGCGGUGCUCAUGUCGAGAUGUGUUCACAGUGAUUUCUGAAGUGAUUGCCAAAAACGUGAAGUGAAUCUACUAUCUCUAUCUGAGAUGAUAGAUACUGGCACUCUGUGGAGUCUCACAAUUUCCUUGAUGUAUAUCAUCUUCAACCUCUCCAUCUUGUAGGAUUCUUUUAUUGGCAGGAAAUGAGCAGAUUUCGUCAAUCUGUCGAUUAUUACCCAUAUGGUUUUCCAAAAACAUCACAACUUACAAAUUUCAAAUGUACAAGAGUAGAAAAACUUUUACUCUACAUUUAAUAAUUGUUUUAAACCUUUCUUAGUAUUAUGUCACUCAAGGUUACAAUCUUGGAGUAUGACUCUAAGACUUGUUUUGGGUACGAAGUAUGACUCAUCUUCUUGAUUUAAACUAUUUCAACAAUUCACGAUUCCUCUUCUUAGCCAUACAAAUGCACUAAGAUGUCUUUAGAGGAUCAAUUGUGAUAUGGUUUUCCAUAAAUAUUAAGAUGAUUAUAAAACACAAUACUAAAGUACUCUCCCAUCUUUUCAGAUUGGAGAAACUUUUAUCUUUCUGCCUAAUUAGAUUCUUCUUAUUCGUUCUGCCAUACAUGGUGAUGAGAAUCCUUCCUUAUUUGGCAAAUACUUGACAAUACCACAAACAAAAGAAUCAAAUUCAUAUUGCUAACAUAGAAACAUACCACUACCAACACCGCCACUCUCAACACCAACUUUCUCCCCACCACCAAUGUCCUUGCCAUCACCCAUGCCACUACCAACACCUCCAACAACUGAAUCAUCAACUCCAAUAACAACAUCUUCUCCAACGACAUUCUCACCAGCAAUCUCAUUACCGUCACCUACCAUACCAUCAGGGGUGCAUUCAGAGUCGGAAAAAGCAUAAAGCUAUCGAACCCCUUGGAUGUUCAAAUCUCCUAAACCCAGAAGCAAAGCGUGAUCCAUGCUGGCAAACGACAGAAGAGCCUCAUUCACACUCACAACAGGACCAGAGGAAGAGGCGCUAGCAACAAGGUUUUCAUACCCAACGCUUUUCAGAGUGCUACGGACACACUCCACCCCAACAACGAAGGAAGAGUGACGAAUGAGACUCAUGACACCUGUAAAAUCUGGAUGUUCAAUCAGCUUGUCAACAAUUCGCACAAGACCCACCUGCAACAGCCAAUCCAAGUCACGUUCUGUAGCAUCAACACUCGCCUGCAGGGCAACCAUCAUCCAGUCACGAUCAGCAACAUCCCGCUCGAGACUCUUAACCUGGAUCACCAAACCUUCAUUAACCCGAGUAAGAGAGUCAACCUUCACCUCCAAGGCAGAUCUGACCUCCUCCACAGCAGCCUUCACAGUGACAAGAUGUAACACCUAUGUUUCUGGGCUUGUCAUUAAUGUUGAUAUAAUAGUCUAGGUUAACCUUUGUAACCCGUUUUGAAAUAAUAGAAGUGUAUUAUUUGAGUAUUAUGUGUUUUGUGCUUAACUGUGUGACUUAAAUAAAUUAAGGAUAAAAAUAAGCAUCAAAAAUAAAAUGUUAUAUAAUCCUGAUAUCUAUGAAGGAUGUGGUAGUGGUCGUGACUAGGUUUCCGAAUAUAUAAAGAAUGCCGAAAUCCGAGUUAUAACGAAGAAGUUAUGACCUGUCGAAGUUUCGCGACAGAACUGACACGACACGGAAUGACGUAAAAUACGAAUUUAAGAUAGAGCGAUAUCUAGCCUUAGUAAUCUAAACGUAGGAUACGUUAAAUCGAGAUCGUCCAUAAAAAGAACACCCAAAUCUGACUUCGUAUGAGGAAGUUAUUAUUUUUCCAAGAUCCGGAUAUAGCAGUAGACAGCUAAAAACUCGAAAUAGAGCUCGAGAGACUUUUGACCGAAACAACCUAAAUNAUUUUUAGCCGAAACAAUCUAAACGAGAAUCGAAGAUCUCGUUAAUAGUAGUGAAACGAUAAAAAGAUAGGCAAAAACGGACGUUAGAUGAAGAAGUUAUGAGUUUAUAACGGAGUUUUCCUGUCCCGGCCUACUAAAAAUAAUAUAAAACUAAUAUAUUUAUAAUAUAUUAAAAAUAAGGUCAAAAUUAGCUAACGGAGUCUAAACGAGAGUUGUGGAGCAUAUUCUCACUUACGCGUCAAUAUAAAGAACCUCAAAAACGGAGUUCGAAUGCGAAAGUUAUGAAUUUCUGAAGUUCGGGGCGCGAAACCCCAAAACUGUCAGCCACCACGACGUGACAGGAGCUCUGGAGUCUGUCAGACCCACUUGCAAUGAUGCAUGCAGUGACGACCCAGCCACCACGACGUGGCAAAGGCAAAUUUUUCCCUAUAAAUAGAUUUGAAGGGCCAGCUGAGUUUGGUUGCUCAAAUUCUCUCCCCUCACUCAUAUUACCUCGAUUUACGUGCAAAGAAGUACCCCCGAAGCCCCGGUAUCAUCCCGAGACCCGAAGCAAGUCUCGAAGCUCGAAGAUCCCACGAAGAAAAGAGUUUUCGAGCCGAAGCUCUGCACGUAAGAAGUCCGGUGAGUGAAGUGAACCCAGUUUCACCGAAGAAUACUACUCUUAGAGUCNNNNNNNNNNNNNNNNNNNGAUCAAGUGAGUGUGUAGUUACUUUCUUCUUACGCAUAACUAUGAAGUAUUUUAUACAAAACACGUGUUAUGUGUAUAUUUUGUUGUUAUAUGUGUGAAUGUAUAUUCAAUUUCUUCUAUCUCAUAGAUAUGAUUUAUUCUCUAUGAAAUACGUGUUGUGUGUAUGUGUCUCAUCUGUUGAUUGGAAUAUGUAUUGAAUGAGAAUGUUAUACAGGUUUUAAACUAUGUAUAAAAAUAUAUAUUUUUAUCUACUAAUAUGUUGGGUAGAACAUGGGUAGAUAGUUGAUGUGUGAUAAACAGAUGAGAGGCAUCGAUGUUGUUGUUGAUCUAGUUAUUCAGCGGAGUAUGGAUAACGACCACAGACUCUUUCUAGACAGCCAUGUGGAACGCUAGCAGGCUCAUAACCUGUAGGUGUUGUGAACGAUGUGUUCACCGGUGUACUCUAACCCCCUCAUGGUUGCUUUUAGGACAUCUACUGUUAAGGAAACCCCUUUGCAGUAAUGUCUGUCCCGAUGAAAAUCCUAGAUUAGGUCCCUUGAGAUAGAUGUUGUUUUAGGGACGUAAAGUGAGGAUAACGGGAAUGGGUAAUCGGGUUAUUGUUGGUUGGUGAAAUUAAAUAUAAUUAUUUAUUGCGGGUUGAAAACCUUAUUUGCUCACCAGGCUCCCAAGCCUGACCCACUCAGUUUUGUUGUAUUACAGGUAGUGGCGCGAGAGCAUAAGUUGGAUGACUUAUCAAGAUCUUUUGAUAUUACACCAGUUGUUAUAUGUAACUGUUGUAUGGUCUAUCUAUUGUUGUUUAUGCUUUUGGUCUGUUUAUCGGAACAUGACAUCCUGAAUAUUGUUAUAUAACGAAAAUGCAUCUCUUGAUGAAAUGCUUUGAUAAACUUUAUUUUAUCAUAUUUUGUUUUGGGAACAAAUUCCGCAUCUCUUUUAAAUCAAUGGAUUUACUCUGAAAUUAUUUUUAAAAGCAUAAAUUAAACUGGUAUUUUCUGGCCGUGAUUUUGGGGAUGUCACACAAGAAGCUGGUACCUCUGUUCUGAAUGUUGAAAGUCAUCACUAAACUCAUAAACGUGAUGCCCAAAUUCAGUAACGAGAGAAUCACACCCAACACGUGCAGCCUCCAUCUCACCAAGCAACUGGAUGCGCCACGCACCUGCAACAAUAUAAAACAUUACCUGCGCAGCAACAUAUGACAUAUUGUGAAAAAGGGUAGGGCUGCCCAUGACCUCUAUGUCCGCAAUGGCAGCCUGAGGAAAAGCAUGUCGGGCAAACUCCACAACAUUAGCACGCGCGUAGAGAUGGGACUUGUUAUGAAGGCUCUAGGUAGGAACAAAUGGGGAAGGCCCAGAAGAACCUUCGCCAGCACCUCUACCUGGAGAAACGGGAGCUUGUCCUGGGUCACUAGGACCCUUUGAAGGCGAGGAGUUAAUAGGAGUAGAAGAAACAACUUGAACAAGAGCAACAGGCUGGUUAGACAUCGCACCGACCCCUUCGGAUUAUUGAAUGUCGUCACCAGGGAUCACAACAACAGCCGCCGGCACUGAAGAAAUAAAGUUCAGAAGGCGGGAGAAACUAUGCCUGGUCUGGACCCGUUUGGCGACAUUAGGCACACUGGUAACUGCCUCCCCAUAGCCAAAAUAGCCUUCCUUUUAGCCUGCAUACGCUGAGCAUCAGAGAUGAUGCCAUCCUUGCUGUCCUCAACAGAGGAACGAUGAGCACCACCCAGCGGAAUGACGGUCGAAAUAGGACGAGCGGUCAAAGGGUUCACCUCAGCAGACGACGAACUCUCCCCAAAAACCGGAGGAACGGGCAUGGCAGAGGUUAAAGCAAGUUGAUCUAGCCGACGUGGAGGAAGACGUUCGACUAAGUCCACCUCCCGACACUCCAACUUCCCCCGAUAGCGCUUCCACAGGACCUCAUCCAUGGAUAAGGGUGAUUCGACACCUGAAUUUUAGAAUAUAAAAAGAUACAUCAGAACACAAAGAGCCCAAAAGACUAGAACCCAACCCCAACGAACACACCCAGGCAAAUGAAGAAGAAGCAAAACGCAAGCACCUACCAUCAAUGAUGCAGAAGAAAACCGCCAUCAUGCCACGGCGCCUCCAAGAAGGACUCAUCCCCACACCAGAUAGCAUAGCUUCAAAAUAAUCCUCGGGAGACAUCUGGACGCUCUUCGGGAAAUCAGCAACACCUUGAUUAUGGGGAAACAACUUGGGAAUAGUGUCAGCAAAGGUGUUAGCACGGUAACGACCGUUGCCGGCUAAACCCUGGUUCACCCACAACCAUUUUUCCUUCCAAUUUUGGGGCGUUCGCCCAUCAGGAACUAGGGUGUGCCCUCCCCGCCGAACAGAAAACGUGCACUUAUCGCCGGUACAGCAAAACCUGAAGAAAUACUUGAACACAAAAUAGUCGGGGAGAUAACCGUUGGCACGGCAGAUCAUUUCGAACGCUACCACCUUAUUCAAAGCGUUCAGAGUCAGCAUUUGAACACUACAACCGUCCUUUUAAAGGAUCUCCUCCAGGAAGUCGGUCAAUGGGAGACAAAGACUGGUGUCUAGGGUUUUCUGGUAAACCCCAACUUUUCCACGAAGAGGGGACGUAAUAGAAGAAGUAGGCGACGAAAACUCCACGUCGUCCAAAGAAGUAAGACCAUAAGUACGCUCAAGCAGUUGAUACUCAGUUGCAGAAAGAAGAAUUCCUAGGGGACUUGCCAUAAAAGAAAAGAGGGGAAGACAGACUUGGGGAAGAAGAACAACAAAGGAAAGGAUGUGUAAAUGAGAAAGCGUAACAAAUGCCCUUAUAAGAGAACAAAAAGGGCGGGAUAUUCAAAAUGUUCGACAAUGAUGAAACCGAUGGCCAUCAUGAGCGGUCACGUCGCCAUUAAAAUUGAAACGACGGGCAAAUAGGGAAUUGGCACGUGUAGAGCGGUUAAGUCCAGAACGUCGUAACUAGCAUCGCAACGUUACGACUACCGGACUGGGGGACUCAAUGACGUUCCUAAGCCGACAUGGAAAAGUCGCGCCUGUCCAAGGAACCCGGCGCACCAAUAGAACCAGGCUCAGCGGGCUCAGCACCCGCCAACGCCCCUAAAGAGUAGGGCACUCAGGUGAAAGACUCGCGCAUGCCAACACCCCUAUAGAGCAGGGCACUCAGGCGAAAGCUCGCACCUGCCACGGACGCUCCCAAUGCCAAGACAAAAGAUACGGUCAGGUGACAAGGCAUGGGAUCACACCACUACCGCCGGAGCCAAUGAUAGCGCUCUGACAGAUGGAGGCGCAUGAUUCUCCAAUCAGCACCUCUGACCUUGUCUCCUCAAAAGCGAUCACAUCCCAUACGGACAGACAGGGCCGCUAAGUAUAAAAGGGCAUGCUCAAGAGCUCAAAGGGUAAUCUAUCAUCUUCCAGUAACAUUCACACAUACCUUAAACCUUAUCUAACCUGAUCGUCGAAGCGUCCUUCCUAGAGCCUCCUCCCGGGAAACGGCUGACGAAUUUUCUUUCUUGUGAUAUUACAGAAGUCAUUCGAUACCCAUACCCAUUAGAAGAAUCGAGAAAGGAUCAAUUGCAAGGUCGCAUCAUUUGGCGUCAUCCGUUCGUGUGACGAAGAACGAAACUAAAACCACCAUUUAGCGAAAUCAAUGGCGUCUGACAGCAAAAACAGAACUGGAGGAGCUAAGACCAGUACCAUACAGUCCAUGGAACCGUUGGACGAAACACUGCCACCUAUGAUGGACAACAGAGAAGCUACAGGCAAAGGAAGCUCUACAAUAACUACGGUACCACCGGGGAGUCAACAACCACUUCCGGCGCCACCCACAUCGUUAGAAACAAGCGGUGGUACUGCCAUGACCUUCAUCCCAACAGCAAAGGCCAACUCAGGUGACGGUACCGCUACUUACACCCCUUCAACCGCCACUAACACUCUAGCCAAUGGCGACACAAUCCCCAGUACCAUAAAUUGCCGCCAUUCUUCACAUCAAUAAUGCAACACCAAUUGUCAAUCCCUCUAAUAACACUGCCGGUAAACCAAAUACCAAAUGCUCAACCAUCACCCCAUAUAUCGUUGCCGAACCAGUCAACGAUGAAUACACAUCUGUUGCCACCACUUGCCCAAGCCAUGAUAACUACAUCAUCGCUUUUCUACCCUGCAACAGGCACAUGAGGCGAACCUGUCAUUACCACCAACACCAGCCGACAACAAAAUCCAACAAGCCAUCCUCCAACACAACCUCAACCCAUCCCUACUGGAUACUCACUUCAACUGCCAUUCCAGCAGCAAGCCUUCUAUGGCCCAAACCCAGUCUGUAAUGCAUUCUACGGCCAUCCAGGUGUGCAGCGACACAGCACAUCCCACCAAUAUAACAUGCAGGGACCGCUAAUGUAAUGCCUGUGUUUAUGGGCUUGUCAUUAAUGUUGAUAUAAUAGUCUAAGUUAACCUUUGUAACCCGUUUUGAAAUAAUAGAAGUGUAUUAUUUGAGUAUUAUGUGUUUUGUGCUUAAUUGCUUAAUUAUGUGAUUUGAUUAAUUAAGAAUAAAAAUAAGCGUCAAAAUUUAAGUGUAAAAUAAACUCGAUAUCUUUACAUAAAGUAGUAGUGGCCGGAACGAGGUUUCCGAAUAUAUAUAGAAUGCCAAAAUCUGACUUCGUAUGAGGAAGUUAUGAUUUUCUAAAGUUUCGACUUUGCAGUAUGCAGCCCGAAUACUCGAUUUGAGAUCGAACGGUUUUUAGCUGAAACAAUCUAAACGAGAAUCGAAGAUCUCGUUAGUGGUAGAGAAGCGAUAAAAAGAUAGGUGAGAACGGACAUCGGAUAAAGAAGUUAUGAAUUUAUAACGAAGUUUUCCUAUCCCGGCCUACUAAAAAUAAAUAAUAAAAAUAAAGUCAAAAUUAGCCGACGGAGUCUAAACGAAAGUUGUAGAGCAUAGUCUCACCUACGCGUGGAUAUAAAGAACGUCGAAAAUGGAGUUCGUAUGAAGAAGAUAUGAAUUUUUGAAAUUUAUUAAAUAAUUAAAAUAUAUAAAUUUAAUCUUUAAUUCGGCUGUAUAUCCGAAGGAGUCACCGAUCUGAUCCGAAGUACGCCCAGCGUACCCCGAUGCAUGCACCGCCUCAGACUCGAGUCCUCUGAUGACGCAUGCAAUGACGAAACGAGGCGUACGCCCCGCGUAAAGCUGUACGCCCAGCGUACAGCGAGGCCUCAGCCUCCUAUAAAAAGGUUGCGAGGGCAGCCGACUCCAUUUGCCAAAUUCUCUUCUCUUUCUCCCGUUUUGCAUCGUUUUGCGUGCCAGAAGUAUCCUGAAGCCCCGGUAUCAAUCCCGAGCCCCGAAGCAAGUUUCGAAACCCCGAAGAUCCCGAGAAGUGGAAUUCCCGAGUCGAAGCUCUGCCCGCGAGAAGUCUGAUUUUUGUGAACAUCUUCUAGAUCUACUGAAGAAUACUACUUCUGCAAGUCGUAGUGAUGUCCGAUCAUUUUCUGAUCAAGUGAGUGUGUAGUUACUUUCUUCUAACGCAUAAUUAUGAAGUAUUUUAUACGAAAUACGUGUUAUGCGUAUAAUUUUGUUGUUAUGUGUGUGAAUGUAUAUUCACUCUCUUCUAUCUCAUAGAUCUGAUUUAUAUUCUAUGAAAUACGUGUUAUGUGGGUGUGCCUCAUCUGUUAUGUGGAAUAUGUAUUGAAUGAAAAUGCUAUACAGGUUUUAAACUAUGUAUAAAAAUAUAUAUUUUUAUCUACUAAUAUGUUGGGUAGAACAUGGGUAGAUAGUUGGUGUGUAAUAAACAGAUGAGAGGCCUCGAUGUUGUUGUUGUUGAUCAAGUUAUUCAGCGGAGUAUGGAUAACGACCACGGACUCUUUCUAGACAGUCCAGUGGAACGCUAGCAGGUUCAUAACCUGUAGGUGUUGUGAACGAUGUGUUCACCGGUGUACUCUAUCCCCCUCAUGGUUGCCUUUAGGAUAUCUAUUGUUGAGGAAACCCCUUAGCAGUAAUGUCCGUCCCGAUGAAAAUCGUAGAUUAGGUCCCUUGAGAUAGAUGUUGUUUUAGGGACAUAAAGUGAGGAUAACGGGAAUGGGUAAUCGGGAUUUUGUUGGUUGGUGAAAUUAAAUAUAAUUAUUUAUUGUGGGUUGAAAACCCUAUAUGCUCACCAGACUCCCAAGCCUGACCCACUCAGUUUUAUUUGUAUUACAGGAAGUGGCGCAAGGGCAUGAGAUGGAUGAAUCAUCGAGUUGUUUUGUUUACAAGUCUAUAUAUGUAUAUAUUUGUUGAAUGACUUGUAAUGUUAUCGUUUAUGCUUUAUGGUCUGUAUCGAAACAUGACAUCCCGAGUUUUGAUUAUAUAAUGAAAAUGCAUCUCUUGAUGAAAUGCUUUGAUAAAUAUUAUUUUUAUCAUAUUUUGUUUUAGGAACAAAUUCCGCAACUCUUUUAAAUCAAAAGGAUUUAAUCUGAAAUUAUUUUAAAAAGCAUAAAUGAAACCCGUAUUUUCUGGCCGAGAUUUUGGGGAUGUCACAGCUAACCAUCCCAAACCAAGACUGUCUAUCAAGGAGCGUCACGUCUCCGUUCGCAAAGGAACUUUUAGACUACGAAAUCCCAAACACAGCCAAAAUCCCCAGCCUUAAAACUUGCAACAACACCACCGACCUAGACAGCCACAUCGAUACGUACGAAUGGAAAAUGACGUCGCUCAAAUUAGACGAGCGGUUCUGGUGCACGUACUUCCCAACAACCCUUAAUGGAAGCGCGGACACAUGGUUCAAAACACUUCGUCCAGGAAGCAUCUACAACUUCGGCCAACUUAAGUACAUGUUCCUCACAAACUUCAUGCAACUGAGAAAAUAUAAAGGCAACUCCCACUCAAUCAUUGCAUGCAAGUAUAAAGAGGGUGAAAGCAUAAGGGAGUACUUCACGAGGUCCACAAACGCCACGCUAGAUGUCCCAAGACAUGAUGAAGGCCUCAUAGCCGGAGCCUUCACGUGGGGACUCCCACCCGACCCUUUGUCGCAAAAGCUCAUGGGCAAAAAACCGCAGACGAGGGCCGAACUAAAGGAAAAGGUGGAACGAUACUUGAGACAGGAGGAGAGUGAAGCAACGAAACAAGCGUAUCUGAAUGCCAUGAUGACCAAGCGUCAUAGGCGUUAGGUGGAAGCAAACACUUUGGGCGAGGAUGAAGACUGCAAGGUCGCUUUAGACCAUUUGAUAGGGAUGACAGGCGGGGCCGCCGACCAGAUGUCUAUGUGGUCACAGACAAGCCGCAGCCGACGAAGACACCAAAAGGGCGGUUCUGUGAGUAUCAUAAGAGCAAAACACAUGAUACCACAAAUUGCUCAGUCCUUAAGAAAGAAAUGGAGGAGACACAACUUAAAGGAGAUCUUCAAGUUCAUAACCAAUGAUUUUAAUGAUCACUUUAAAUGAAAAACUUUUCAUUUUCCAUAACAUCCAUAACUUGAGGACAAGUUAUGGAAUUUAUCAAAAUCCAUUUAGAUCAAAUAUUAUAACUUACAAAAAUAAUCAAUUUGUCUAUGAACUAAAUUAAACUCAUAAGAAUAAGACAAUUCAAAUCAAAAAAAUUUCAUGUAAUUAAUCUAACCAUAUAAACUAAUACAAAACAUGAAACUUUGAAUUUUAUCUUUUAAUUAGACAAGCAUGAAUACUACCCUAUUGAAAAACAUGUUUCUAGGUUCAAAAAACAAUUUAGGGUAAUGAUCCUAAUCCAAUUGCAAGCCAAAACACGAAAUUUUGCUCACAUGUGCAUCACCACGUCGUGGUAAAAGCUACCACGACAUGGUGAGCGGUCAGAUGCGAAAAUAGCACAUUUUCAACUUUGGAAAAACAAUAAGCAUCAAGUAUACGAGAAAGCAAGCCUUGGCUCUGAUAUCACUGUUGGGAUUUGAGCAUUCUAACACUCCUAAGGUGUGCAUGCAACCCUAAAUACCUUGGAUCUAUGUAUUCUCUAUUAUACAUGCAAUCUUGAACUUUCCAAGGUAUUACCCUAAACUAGCAUACACAAGUUUAUACAUGGGUAAUAAAACAAGUUAUAAGACAUACCUUUUGUUGUAGUUGGAAGCCUUGGGCCUUUAAGAACGUAGUGCCCCAAGUGUUGCACCUCAAAUGGAAUCACACAACACCACCAACAAUUGGAAUAACUUAAGAGAAGAUUAUAUUAUAGCAAAAUCGGCUAGCCCUCACUUAUGUAUCCACUAGUGCCAAUUUCAUGAACUAUGAGGCUUAUUAUAUAGUGUGCAUAUUAGGGUUACACCAUGUAACUCAUGACAUUCCAAAUUCCUCAUGAUCCAUGGGUUUUAACCUCCAUGGAGUAUCCAUGGGUCACCACAUGGGUUUAGCCCAAGAUGAAGAACUAUGGAUCAUAAGCCCACUUUAUAUGAAUGAAUGAUUUACCAAAUCAAUCUCCAUUUAUUUAAUUAGUCUCGUUUGAUCACAAAAUUAAUUCCAAAGUAAUUCUUAAUCAAUACUAAUUAAAUAAUAUGAUUUCAUAUUAAUAUAUUAGAACUUAUAAUAUAUUAAUAAAUCAUAAAUAUCCACUUAUCACAAAAGUCUAUCCAAAUUGUUCCGAUGCCAUGCAACCCAAAUGGACCAUGCUACUCUCGGGUCAAGUACAUACCAAUAAUAUUUAUGGGCUUAAACACUUAAUCCAACAGGAACGAUACAUGAGCAUGCUCAAGACUGAUAUUCGGCAGUUUGUGUCUACCCAGCAUUACGACAUCCUCUCUGAGCUUUAGGAUGUCGCACAAAGAAGGGAGAUUGAGAUUGAGACUCAGACAAGAGAGCAAAGGCAGGCUCUCGUUCAGUCAUAACCUACAAUGAAGUGGUACAAGCCCACCGAUUCACGAUCUGGGGGACCGAGGGGUCGUAAUUGUGGCAAGUGUGGCAAGGUUCAUGAGGGUGUUUGUCGAUCUUCCUUUGGGAUACUCUUAGGUCUCAGAUCGUUAGUCUUAUUGGCAUUGUUGGAUGUCAGUGCGUUGUUUUUGGGAGUCGGUAGACCCGGUGACCAACUGGUUUGGAUCAUGUGGUCAGAAAAAGUUAUUUAGGUUGACAUAUUCUUUGUGCACCGGAAUUCGCUUAAUGAAUAUUUGAUAUUGUGGACCCCGUCUUCUUGGACCCCGUCUUCUUGUGGGUUGUAUAUUAGGAGCUUGGUUUCCAAUGUGAGGUGUUGGUUCUGAAAUCUCGAGUCACGGAGUUCGUUGUAUAUGUAUUGAGUGAUUUUUCAGGUAGAUGUACACCUAAUCUAAUGAGGGAUUUUGAUGCAAUGUGCAAAUUCUUGGAUUGACCAUCCUUAUGCACUUUUUUUUACCAUGGAUUUCAUCACCAAGUUACCUUGGAUGGCCAAAGGAUUUGAUGAAAUUUGGGUUAUAGUGGAUCGGGGGUAAGCCCGAGUGUUGUGGUUGGUUAGUGGACCGAGGGUGAGUCCAAGUGUUGUCAGUGGAUAGUUAGGAUGGGUUGUCAAAGCCGAGUAGGAGUGUGGUCUAAUUUAGUAUGUGAUUAGUUAGUUUUCGUUGCGAUGGUGCACUUAUGUGUAGAUUAGCAUGACAACAUUUGGCCGAAAAGGUUUUAUGCCGACCAAAUCUAUGGGUUUUCGAACAGCUUCGUUGUUGUGAGGGAUUGCAUCAUGAAGUGGGAGCGAGUGCUGAUUUCGAGGACGAAAUCUAAUUUAAGUGGAGGAGAAUUGUGACAUCCGAUUUCCUAUCAUUUCUUAUAUUAGGGUCGUGAUUCGUAAGUUGAUUAUGUAAAGGCUUUUGACCUUAAGGAGGUAAAGUUUAUUCCUUGUAGAAGGAGGUAAUGAUUGUUAAGAGAUUUAACCCUUGAAUUGCAUAUUAGGCCGAAGGGUAGAAAGGGAAAAUUCAUAGGUCGGGUUCUUGCAUAAAAUAUGGAUUUUUAUUCGAGAAGUUUUUAGUCCAAGAUAUCUAGAUAAUAUUGUAGGGCUCUUCAAUACCUUUCAAUGUAUAUAAAGAUCGUCAAAAUGGAAUAGGAACAAAGAAGUUAUGCCUGUUAGAAGAUAGGAGGGUUUUGGGUUUAGCAUAGUCUGUUGGGUGUACGGGGUGUACGUUAGGCGUACUAGGCAAUAAGGAUCAUGGAGAGUCAACCUGGUACGUUGGGCAUACCAGGAGUAUGUUGGACAUACGUGACCAAAACCCAAACCCUAAUUUCAGGGUUUUGAGCCCUAUUUAAGCUCCUUAACUUCUCAAACCCUUUCCAUUCUCAACCUCUACCUCUCCAACGCCCUCCCUUGAAACCUAAACCCUAGAUUGAGCCUUGUGAGCAAAAGAAGGUGUUUUGAAGUGCUUUAGAGUGUUCUUGGUGCAUCUUAGAGAAGAAGGAGCUCAUUGGAGAAGUGUUGGUUGCAUUGGAGCUUGUAGAUCCGUACCUUUUUCACCUUGAUCUUUCUUCUAGAGGUAUAAAGCUUGAAUCAUGAUGAUGCAUUUGUUAAAUCUAGCUAGUUUUGGAUGUUAUGAUUUUUUGGUCACUUUAGUGCAUUAAGUGUAGAUCUUGAAGGUUUGUGACCUUGUUAUGGAUAAAGUUGGAAACUUUAUCCAUCUAAAUAUCAUUUUGAUUCAGAUCUAAAGGUUGGAAACUUAGACUUAAUGGAUUAAGUAAGAAAGAUGCACUUUUGGUCCCUUUGAAACUCAAAGACUAGAUCUUGAGUGUUUGGACCAUCCUAAUGGAUAAAGCUGGAAACUUUAUCCAUUAUGGAGUUAUUAGGAACCAUAAAAAUGCAAUUUUGGUCAUUAGUUUACUUCCAUGCAUGGAAUGUGAUGUCAUAAUGAGUUAAGAAGUUAGGGUUUUUGGGUAUUGAGCGCUUAAUAGCUACGCAAGAUCAUAAAGUUUGGAAACUUUAUGAUUUAGUAUGUUAUUUGAGGACUAGAUCUAGAUUUUGGACGAAAGGGCUUAAGGGAUUAAGUCCUUAAUAGAAAAAAUGUGGCAGGUGCAUACACUAUGGUACGCGCGCGCAUACCAGGUCAACAACUCGUUUUUUUAUCAAUGCUCUAGUAUGUUAUGUGUACCAACUGAAUACGCUGGGUGUACUCAACUGUGUUGACUCGGUUGACUUCUUUAACUUUUGACUUUGACCAGGAUUUUGACUAAACUUGAUCUAAGGGUAUUUUGGGUAUUUUGAGUGGUAUUUGAAACUAGUUGGUAUUUGGUGUUCAAGUGACAUGUAGAGCUGAUAUUCGGAGCAAUGUCUUGUUCAACUAUCUUCUCAAACUGAGAGGUGAGUCUUCCUCAUUGUACUUGUGGGUCGUAGGCACCAAGGCCGACCCACUGGAUUUUGUAUCGUGUUAUAUUGAGUAUGUGUUGGAUUGGUAGACCUGUAUGAUUACCUGUGCUCACUGAGUAUGCGUUAGAUCGGUAGGUCAGUAUGAUUACCUAUACUUGUUGGUUAUUGAUUGUUAUGGUAUAUGUCAACAUGUUACAGUUUGUUGGGGUGAGACGGACCUGCUUUGUGCUGAAGACCAAGAUACCAUGGCGGUCCGGAUAGAUUGUAGGCCUGCGAGGCAGUCCAGUUAGGCCAAAGGCCUGAAGAGCGAUCCAGAUAGGUUGUAGGCCAUAUGUGGCGAUCCAAAUAGGUUCUAGGCCCGGCGCGAUGGUCUAGUCAGGCUGAAGGCUCAUAUAUGCAUGUUGUUAUUUAUUUGAUUGUGUGUGGUACUUUGGGGGAACUCACUAAGCUUUGACUUACGGUUUCAGUUUUAUGUUUCAGGUACUUCAGAUGAUCGGGGAAAAGCAAAGGCGUGAUCAUGCACUUCCUUCACGCUUUAUGAUUUUGGAUUUUGGGGAUACUCUGGUUUUUAUUAUUACUCUUGAAAACAGUGUUUUGUAAACAAUUAUGGUAUCUGGAUUAAUUUUAAAAAAUUAAAAAUUUUACUCUAAUUUUUGGUAUGCUACACUUCGAUUAUGAAAAUGAAAAAUUACAAAGUUUGUUAAUUACCAGCUUAACUGGGGGAGUAAAUUGAAUUCUUUAGAGCUAAUACUCAUAAUCAAUUAUGCCUUGUAACUUUAAUUUUGAAAAAUGAUUAAAACGAGUAAUCAGGGGAGUAAAUUGAAUUCUUUAGAGCUAAUACUUUGAAUCAAUUAUGCCUUGUAGCUUAAUUUUGAAAAAUGAGUAAAACCAGAUAAAAUCCCACAGGAUUUUAAAUCCCUGUUUUAUUAGUUAAUUGCAUGAAACAUAUUUUUUUUUUUGGGAUAAAGCCUAUUUUUUAUAAUCUAAACUUAACACCAACCUCAAUUCUUAUAAGAUAAAAUUUGACUUUUUUUGUUAAAGAAUUGAGGUUGACGUUAAGUUUAGAUUAUAAAAAAUAGGUUUUAUCCGAAAAAAUUGUCAAAAAUAUUAUGUGUUUCAUACAAUUAACUAAUAAAACGGGGAUUUAAAAUCCUGUGGGAUUUUAGGUAAAGAAAAAUAUUUUAUUUGAAAAAUAUUAAGAAAUAAUAUAUCUUUUUAUGUAAUUAACCUCACUUUUGUUUGAUAGAAAAUAAGAGAAAUAGAGCAAUUAGGAGAUGAUUAUUAUUUAGAGUCGAGUAAAAUCAUGAAGAUAAUUUGAAUUUUAGUAUUUGGAUGAGGUGCAAGGCUUUUUAUGGAACUCUCAAGGUAAUAACUCUUCCCAUAGUGAUUUAUAGACGAAAUCAAAAUAAAAUGAAAAAUAGUGAUUUAUAGACGAAAUCAAAAUAAAAUAAAAAUAGUGUGGCUGCUGGGAUUCGAGCCCAGGUCUCCACGGCCACAACGUGGAAUUCUUACCACUAAACUACAGCCACAUGUUUGCUUAAUUCCAAGUUUUAUUUUACUUUUAUUAAUAUUUUUAGUAUAUCUUAUUUUUUCCUAUGCUUCAAAAAUUGUGCGUUUCUUUUUCUUUUGUCAAUCACGGGUUUAGUUGGGUGAGGACAUUAGUCGGAGAUGCAAAGAUUAUGCUUGCAACUGCUUCUUUCGCUUCCAAUGGACAUUCCCUGUUUUUUUUUAAUCAUUAUUUUGUAUAUAAUACGCAUUUUUGUGAUAAUUGCAAAGGUUAUAGACUCUAUAGCCAUAGAGGGAUGGAUUCUACUCUCAAGUUAAUCAAGAAAGUAAGAGGGUGUUUGGGUUAGCUUUUUAAAUGACUUUUGACUUUAUCUUUUAGAAAAAGUUCCAAAAGAUGUUUGGCAAAGGGAAAAAGACUUUUGUAAAUGACUUUUCCCAUAGAGUAAUUUCAAUCUUUUUGAAAAGUCACGAUUACCUGAUUUUUCCCAACUUUUCACCAGCUAAAAAUAUUAAAUUACCAAUAUAUCCCUCAUCUACCCUAAACAUGUUCUUUUUGUCAUUUUACAUGUAAAAAUUAAACCAAACACUUUAAUUUUUGACUUUUUCCCUUCAAAAUUUAAUCCAAACACAUUUAAAAAAAUAACUUUUGUAAAAAGUUCUUUUACAAAAAGGACUUUUGCUCCACAAAAUUUAAGCCAAACACCCCCUAAAUAUUUGUUUACUAUUUAUCCCCGAAAUUUUAAACAAAAAGGUAAAAUUAUCAUUUAUUCAGAGAGUUGUUUGUUUUGUUUUGUUUUUUUUUUUCUUAUUAAAGUCUUUGUAAAGGUAAAGUUCAUUUAUUUUUCAAAAUGAUGAUUUUAUCCUAAUUAUAAAUAAUACAAAUGCAAGUGUUCGUAAGUGCAAUGAUUAUGGUUAACAAACUGGAAAAGUGGAAAACUUUCACAUAUUAUUCAUUUCAUAAUUAUGUUUAUACGAGCAAUUCAAUUCACAAUUAAACAAUUUUCACAUUCGAAAAACAAUUAGUCUUCUUCCAAGUUACCUAAUUUUAGUUGAAAUGAAUGUAUGUAAUUCCAAAUAGAGGUGUUGAUUGGGUAAUUUUUUCAGAUUUCGUGUAAUUCGGGUCGGGUAAUUCGUUUUUCAUGUUAAAAAAAUGUUUGUUACCCGACCCAAAUUAAAUUCGGAUAAUUCGGGUUUGGGUAAUUUGGGUAGUGGGUUGGGUUUGGGUAAUUCGGGUAUCACCCGAAAUAUAUAAUUUUAUUAAUCUUGUUUAUAUAAACAAACGAGACAUAAACGAAGUUACUCAAACUUUGACAUUGAGAUUUUUUAGUCAAUAAUACUUGAGAUAUCAAGUAAUAUUUUAACAGCUUAAUCUAAUCUAAUAAGAUGUUAAAAAACAAAUACUUAAAGAUCUUAGUUUAAAAGUUUAAAAUGUUUAGGAUAAUUAUAGUCAUAAGUUUUGCCAUGUUUUGAAGUUUCGUCAAGAUAAUGAGUUUGUUAAUUGCAAUAAAAACUAUAAUCUAGAAAAUAGUUAAGUUUUAAAAAACAUAGUGAUAUACAAACAAUUGAUUUUAAUAUUGUUAGUGUCAUACUAUCAUAAUAAAAGAGAUUCAUGUUUUACAAUAAUGAUAGUUAGUUUAAGCGUGAUCAAAUACCAGCUACUAGGGAUGAGCAUAUGGACAGGGGAACCGACCGGAACCGGAACCGGAACCGGCACCGGAACCGGAACCCGAUGGAACUGGUCGGGCCGGGACCGGUACGUUAUUUUUGUGGAUUUUUGGAACCGGGAACCGGUGGGAACCGGAACCGGUAGAACCGGCAAAAACCGGAACCGUAUGAUGCUAUUUUUCAAGGAGCGGUUCCAACAUUUGAAGACAUGACAAGAACCGGUAGGAACCGGGAACCGGUAGAACCGUCGGGCAGGUUCGGUUCUUGAUUUUGGCCGAAGCCGGUUCCCCGGUCCGGUCCGGUUCGGGCCGGUUCGCUCCUUUUGCUCAUCCCUACCAGCUACAGAGUACAAGCUCUACGAAAAAAAAAAGAAUUUUUAAAAUAAUUUGGGUAAUUUGGGUAUACCCAAAACCCAACAAACUUACCCUAUACCCGAUCUAAAAAGAAAAUCGGGUUACCCGAAUUUUUUUACCCGAUACCCAAUUUACCCAUACCCACAAAAAUCGGACGAGUAAUUCGGAUAAUGGGUAUUUUCGACAGGGCUAAUUCCAAGUUAUCUAAUUAUAGUUGAAUUGCAUGAAUGUAAUUUAAAUUAUGAAUUAUAAUCAAUAAUGUUACUCUAUGAAUCUCUUUGAUUGUGUUCUUACUUAAAGAGAGGUGAGAUUUCUACUUAUUAAUUUGAUGCUUCCACUUGAAUUAAAAUUGCUUUUACAUUUUUACCCAUAUUUAAAACUUACAAAAAUAAAAUGAGAUAUAAAUGAGGGUUUAUAUGUUUUCCUCUUAUCCAUAACAAAUUUAAACGUUUUCUUACAAAAAUUAGUUUGUUUUCUUAAUUUCCUUUUCUUUCCCCUCCCCCAACCUCUCUUAUUUAUCACUUACAAAAAUUAAUUAAUUUUUUUUUCUCUCCUUGUUUAUUCCUUAUAAAAAAUAGUUUGUUUUCUUAUUUAUUUAUCAAACUGUAACGACCCAAAAAUUUCUUUAAAAACAUUACUAAAAUCAUAUUUAUAAAAACUGUAUCAUAAGUCAUAACAUAAUUUCUCGAGUAUUGGUUCAAAACAUAAUAUCAUUAUCAGAGUCAAACAUUCCCAGGCUAACUGUCUAUGGUGUGUGCACUGCAAUCUUCCCGAGCUCCUCCUUUGAAAAACCGAGUACUUGAGACCAAAACUGAAAACCGUAAGCACGAAGCUUAGUGAGCCCCCCCAAACUACCACAUACCAUGCAAUAACAUAUAAAGCACAUAUUGGGCCUUGCCCACUGCAUCAGACCGAGGUCCGGACUAACUGGGGCCUUGCCCCCUGCAUCAGACCGAAGUCCGGAAACUGACUGGGACCUUGUCCCCUGCAUCAGACCGAAGUCCGGGCUAACUGGGGCCUUGCCCCCUGCAUCGGACCGAAGUCCGGACUAACUGGAACCUUGUCCCCUGCAUCGGACCGAAGUCCGGGCUAACUGGGGCCUUGCCCCCUGCAUCGGACCGAAGUCCGGACUAACUGAACAUAACAUAGCAUAAACAUAUCAACUAGCAUGAACACACCUAUACUGCAUACUACAUCGGGCCGUAGCCCGAAACACAUAACACAUAAGUCCUGUCUGAGCCACGAAGGCAUCAAACAUACUAACUACUGCAUCAGAUCAAAAUCCGGAAACUACUACUAGCUAAACGGGCCGGCAUUGUGGCCUUAGACCCGUUCCUACUGGAAGGAAACUCACCUGAGACUGCUGAACUGAUGCUGCUAAUCCUUUUGACUGCUACUUGACCUCUGACUCCGAACUGCUGCUCCACUAGCUCCUCGAGCUACCAAUGCCAAAAUAACACUUAGUCCAACUGACCUCCAAAGGUCAACUAGGUCAACUCUAGUCAAGGUCAAAAUCCUGGUCAAAGUCAACCUUCCAGGUCAACCCUACUCGCCGAGUCCACCUAAUAACUCGCCGAGUUCAAAUGCUCAAGGUCUUUCUAUUCGCGACUCGACUCGCCGAGUCAGUCCAUGACUCGCCGAGUCAACUAUUCCCGAGUCCUGACCUGUCCAACUCGCUGAGUCUCCACCCGACUCACUGAUUCGAGUUUCAACUCGAAGGGUUUGGGGUUUCGCGACCUGACUCGCCGAGUCCAAGAAUAGACUCGCCGAGCCCAAGGCAAUCUUCAACCAACUCGUCGAGUUGUUCUUCCAACUCGCCGAGUUCAUGCCUAACUUCAUCCGACUCGACGAGCUGUUCAUCCCACUCGUCGAGUUCCUCCUCAUCUUCAAGCUACUCGCCGAGUCCACUCGAAGGACUCGCCGAGUCUAUUCAGUCCUUAAUCCAUGCAGUGACUUUUCGAGCCAAACAGGGCUUCCAACUUAUAGAUCCAUACUUCUAAGGUCUAUCCCCUACGUAAAGUGGCAAACUUUACGUGUAGAUUAAGAGAUCUAGGCUCAAAACACAUUAAACUAGGGUUUAUGGCAAACAUACUUCUUCAACAUACCAAGGGCUGAUACUUUAGGGGAUUCUAGACCAACACAAGCAUGGAUCUGAGGUAGCAACCUCAGAUCUGGACUUCUAACUCGAAAUGGUUACAUAUCAUACCAAAAAUGUCCAAAACUCACACAUAAGAAUAGAUCUAGGUGCAAAGGGAGUCCAAGCAACAACUUAUUACCUCCAAUUGGUCUGAAAUGUCUUUUCAAUCCCGGAUCUACAGUCCCUUCUUGCCCCUCCAAGGCCUUUCUUCCUUCUCCAAGCUUCAAAACUUUACUAAGGGGGGUAAAUCUUGCUCCAAAACGAUUAUGGCGGCUAGGGUUUAGUGAUAUGUGCUAGAGAGGCAGUAAAGGAACCCUAGGGGAGAGAAUGAGACGUUUAAAUAAGCUCCAAGUCCCGGAUUUAAGGUUUUCCUUGCUCAGACCAGACUCGCCGAGUCACCUUGGCCGACUCGCCGAGUUGGUCGCUUAUACCUCAACCUGGAUCCCGCUCGGACUCGCCGAGUCCCUCAUUGGACUCGUCGAGUCUCCCCUUAAAUUUGGGGUUUUCUUUCUUUUCUUGGCUUUUCGAACUUUGGGUGUUACACAAACUAACCCACUAAAUGAUAAGUGACACCUCUUAUUCGAUCAGUCCACUUAAAUUUUUAUAUUUGAAUAUAAAAUCUAACUAAAAAUAAUUUAUUUUUUUGUUCAUCCACUAAGGCUAAGGGGAAUGAUAACGCUCUUAGCAUCUUAUCACAUCAUAUUUUUUUAGUGCCACAUUAUUUUUAUUUCUUAGCAACUAACUCUUAGCAUCUGAUACGGAGUGGUUGUGUGUUAAAUUAAUAUGGUUUAUUUUGAAGGAAAAAAAAACAAUAGCUGUGAACCAAUCAUAAUUAACCAAUGCAUCUUCUCCCUCUUCUUUCCUCUCGCUACCUGCUUGACGACCAAUUCUUAACAUCUCCCUUAGCGAAUCCUAAGGAGUGGUGUUUGAUAUGUUAGCGACUUGUUUGGUGAGAGGGGUGGCGAGUCCACUCCCUUAAGCCUAAAUGAAANNNNNNNNNNNNNNNNNNNNNNNNNNNNNNNNNNNNNNNNNNNNNNNNNNNNNNNNNNNNNNNNNNNNNNNNNNNNNNNNNNNNNNNNNNNNNNNNNNNNNNNNNNNNNNNNNNNNNNNNNNNNNNNNNNNNNNNNNNNNNNNNNNNNNNNNNNNNNNNNNNNNNNNNNNNNNNNNNNNNNNNUAUAUAUAUAUAUAUAUAUAUAUAUAUAUAUAUAUAUUAUGUAUUGGAAAUUAUUUUAUUUCAAAAGAAUGUAUAUCACAACAAUAAAAUGUUCAAAUUAAUAUAUAUUAAAUCAUAGUAAAAUUUUGUCCAACGAAAAUAUUCAAAUCAUAAUAAUGUUAGAAAAAAUAUAAGUAUAAAAAUACAUUCACCCUACAUCAAUUAUAUAUUAUCACUUUUAAAGUUGGAUAUGCAUUUAAAUAAAAUAAGUUGUUCUUAAGCAUUUUAUUAUUCAUUUGAAAAGACACAGGUAGAUGAAAGAUUGUGUGUUUGUGGUGAUUCCACCAACUCAAAUCUUGAAGGGUCUCACACAAUAUUUUUUUUUUUUUAAAUUUUGGAGAUAUACCUGUUGUUUGACGAAUUAUUGGUUCAAACAACAUAUCAGAUUUAGUCAAAAGUUUAGUAAUACUUCGUUUACUCAUGUCUUCUAAAUGAAAUAUAAAGUGUCUAAGGGCAACUUAUUUGAUUUAAAUGUAUAUUCACCUUUUAGAAGUGAUAAUAUGCAAUUGGAGUAUGGUGAAUGUUUUUUUUUCCUCAACUUUUUAAAAAAAAAAAUUAUUAUGAUUUAAAUAUUUUUGUUAGACAAUAUUUUUGUAGUUGUUUACCACGCAAAACGCCAGUUUAUGAUUAGUUUGUUUUAAGAGACAUGUCAUAUUAUGAGAGAGAGAGAGAGAGAGAGAGAGAAUAGGUGUUCAACAACAUAUAUUCCUACGAUGGGUUAUAAAUACAUUCAUGUCUUACUUAGCUCAUUAACAAACAUACUUUUAUUUUUAAUGUUUAUAAUACAAGUGCGUUGUUUUUUCGGUUAAAAAUAAAAAUAGAUUAUUGUUUUAGGGUGAAAAUUUUCGUUGUCAUUUAAUUUUUAACAGAAAAUGUCAAUUCGAUUAACAAUUGUCAUUUUCAGUUAAUUUCUAAUUGAUGAAAAUUUUAUGAUGUUUGUUUAAUUUUCAAAUUUAAUUUUGCUAUUUAGACCAUUUGGACAAGUUAAUGUAAAGAUACUAUCCUUAUUUUGUAAGUCUAGUUUGGAUAUAUUAUAUGAACAAUACUUGCACAAUACAAAUAGUUUAUUUUGGUAAUUAAUAUAUUUCUUGGUAGACAUGGUUUAGUUUUAUAAACCUUCCAUAAAAGUAGUUUAACACAUCAUUUUUUAUAAAAAUAUUUAUCAAAUGUCUUUAAAAAAAACCUAUAAACACAACGCAUUUUAUUUUUUAACAAUAAACGUUUGAACUUUGCCAUUUAUAUGCUUUAUAUUCGAGGAGCAUUGAAAAUUUCAAAAAAAUGAGAAACAAAGUAUAUUUGAUGGGAGUAGAAUGUUAAUGCUUAUUAAGACAAAACUUAAAGAACUUAAGAUAAAAUAUAUGAUAUAAUGUCAACUUUAUUGAUAACGAAGUCUAACAAAUGACACUGUAUGCAAGUAAAAUAACCGAAGUAUAUAAAAUAAAUGCAAAAUAGUCAAUUUUCUAAAUUCUUUUAAGUGAUACAAUCAAAGGGAAACAAAAAAUGUGGCACGCUAUGUGAUACAAUCAAAAUUGUAAUUGCCCGAUUAUUGUCAAAGAAAAUGGUGGAAGAAAAAAAGACAAAUAUUAUAAAAGGUUUAAAUUUUUAAUGCGUAAUUGGGAAAAACCCUAAUAUUUUUUUUCAUUAUUGCUAUGACCAUAAUUUUCUUGUAGAAUUAUCGUUCUAGCCCACUUAACGAGUUUCAUGGUUAAUUUGGUUAAUUUUUUUUUGCAAAAUCAGUCUUAAAAAAUUCAAAUUUGAUCCCUGAGGUUUGCAAAAAACUACACCACAUGGUUUUUUAAUAUUAUUUUUCUUUUUUUGUAUACUUUAUUUAUUUUUGGGUUUUUUUAUAAAUAUAUAUACAUUUUUNNNNNNNNNNNNNNNNNNNNNNNNNNNNNNNNNNNNNNNNNNNNNNNNNNNNNNNNNNNNNNNNNNNNNNNNNNNNNNNNNNNNNNNNNNNNNNNNNNNNNNNNNNNNNNNNNNNNNNNNNNNNNNNNNNNNNNNNNNNNNNNNNNNNNNNNNNNNNNNNNNNNNNNNNNNNNAUAUAUAUAUAUAUUAUUUUCUUUUUUAUAUAUACUUUAUUUAUUUUCUUUUUUAGCUUUAUUUUUCAACAAUUUGAUUUUUUUUGCCUUUUGUUUUCUACUUUUUUAGUGUAUAUAUAGAGUAUAUUAGAGCUUUUUUUGUUUUUGUUUUUUUUUUGUUUUUUUCAUCUUUCUCUUCGUGUUAUAUUUUUAAAAUUUUCAUCUUUUUAUUUUUCUUAUUUGUUUUCCAAUUAUUUGUUUUUUAUUUUUUUGUAUUUUUAACUUUUUAUUGACCUUUUAAAAAAAUGUUAAAUGUAUUAAUAUAUUAGAGUAUAUUACCAUUUUGAUAAUUUAUAGUUUUUGUAUUUUUUUUAUUUUUAUUCAAGUAAAUAAAAUAGUUAUGCUUGUAUUUGUAAUUUCGGUCCAACUUAUUUUCUUUUUAUUCUUUUUUUCUUUAGUGCUAUUAUAUUUACGUUACGAAAAAAUGAAAAAAAAAAGUUAGCUUGUUUAUUGAGAAUUAGUGUUUCAGUGUGUUACAUAACUUGUAAAUUAAAUCAUAUUUUUAUAUGUGAUAUCAAUAGUUUAAAACUUUAUAACUUGUUAAAGUAAUUUAAAUUUGGUAAUAGACUAAAAAAAGAACAAAAAUCAUAAAUAACUAAAUAAAUAAACACGUUAGAAAAAUCAUAAUAAGUAGAUAAUAUUUUUCAAUUUGGUAAUAGACUAAAAAAAGAACAAAAAAUAUAAUAAUUGGUCUUUAUAACUUGUUAAAGUAAUUUAAAUUGAAUUCAAGUUUGUUUACUUGAAUCUAAAUAAAUAAACACGUUAGAAAAAUCAUAAAUAACUAAAAUAGAAAAAAAAAAAAUAUAAAAAGAUAAUAACAAAAAUCAAAUUGUUGAAAAAUAAAGUUAAAAAAUGAAAAUAAAUAAAGUAUAUAAAUGAAAAUAAUAUAUAUAUAUAUAUAAACCGAAAAUAAAUAAAAUAUUCACAAAAACAAAAAAUAAAGUUAAAAAACCAUAUGGUGUAAUUUUUUGCAAACUUCAUGGACUAAAUUUGAACUUUUUAUGACUGAUUUUGGAAAAAUGUUAACCAAGUUAACCAUAAUACUUGUUAAGUGGGCUAGAGUGAUAAUUCUGCGAGAAAGUUGUGGCUAUAGCAAUAAUAAUAAAAAAUAUUAGGGUUUUUUCCAAUUACAUGUUAAAAAUUUUAUGGUUUUUAUAAUAUUAGUCCAAGAAAAAACUAUGAUUUCAAAACAUUUUAAUAUAAAAAAACUUGUGAAAAGUGAAAAAGUUAUGGAUCUCAAGACAUAUAUGAUGUGUCUAAUCCUUCGUUUUAUCUAUAUUUUUCAUUUCUUCCGCAUGUUUAAAAUUCCUGUUCUAGCAAAUACAAUUAGUAUCUUCGUAAUUAGAAUCCAUAAAAUUGAUAUAAAUAAAAAAAAUAUUCAAAUAUAGUGACCAUUAAUCAUUUACCUAUUACGGGCAUUCCAUCUUUAGCUUUAACAACUAACCGAUCAACAAAGAAAACAAUGAGAAAAAAAGUUAAUAACAAAUUCUAUUAAGAACUAAACAACAUCUAAUCUUCCAAGAAACCUUACGGAUACUUAUUUUAGAAGGGUAUCUAUUUUUAUUAAGAUUAAAGACAAGUCAGCAAAAAGCUGGGCAAGAUACAAAGUUCAAAAGUCAACAAAUAGAAAAAAAAACAUAAGAAAAUGGUAAAUGUUACUGGUCAAAAAUAAAUAGAUAUUGAGUAGUGCAAUCACCACAACUUGAAUUGUGGAUAUCUACAUGGGCAAAGGUACUCAGUAAAGCAAGCAGUCAAAUGUGCAUAUAUCUAGUAAGACACUAAGACCAGCACCAUCUGGACAAAAUAAUGCACCCCUAAACCCAUUUAAUAGCAAUGAAUUUUUGAUGACUCCAUAACUAACUUAGAAUAUCAGGGAAUUGAAAAUACUAAUAUAUUCAUUGUAUUAAUAAAUUAACAUCUAAUCUACACAAAAAAGAAAAGUAAGUUGGUCAAAUAUUUUUAGGCAAAAAUAUAGAAAAAUAACAUUACACUUCUCUUUUUUACUAAUAUAGGUAAUGCACUUAAUUAUGUUUCUCAUAAAAGCAAUGUACUAUGAUUUUAUUAUCCAAAAUAACAUCAUAGAUACAUUUCUUUGCAAAUGGUAGAAAUUUGUUGUAUCUGACAUAAAAAUGCAACAAUAUUUUCGCUCAUUCCUAUACUCGACCAUAUCACAUACACAAACCUAAGAAAAAUAAACAGGUUCCUUGGUUCUUUAAUAAUGGGUGCUGCAAUUGAUGCAUUUUUAGUGUAGAUUUAAAAUUUCAAGAUCUACAAAACAGUUUCACCAUCAAUAAUCUUCAUCAAAAUGUAAGAAUAUUUUAAAUAUAUAUCUUAAAAUUAGAAGCCACACCUGAAAUAACUUUUGUUUAAAUGUCUUAGAGCCACUGCACAUAGCUAAUGGAAUGAAUAUUGGAGGUGUUAGGCACCAAUAUAUUAAAAAGAGGAAACUAAUUGUAUGCAAUGUUAUGAAUGGUAAAAAUCAACAAACGCACCGAAGAAACAUAAAAAGGAUCACGAAUCCACCUCUCCAACUUCAACAUAAAGAAUAUAUGGCAUGAAAACCACUCCUAGUGAACCAACAGAAAACCAAAGAAAAAACAAGGGGUAAAGUGGUCAAACUUAGAACAAACUGCACAUCAAAAGCAAUAUACUAUCAAGCAACAGACACUAGAGGCAUGAUACUUCGUAAAUGCGCCAACAAGAAACCAAAGCAAAACCAAGGGGCAAAAUGGUAAUAACAAAUUAAAAGAAAUAAAACAUAUAACAUGAUAUACCUGAAGCUUUUACAGGACAGUUCAUAACUCCUUUCUAAAGAUUUUAGUUCCUGGAAAAGUAACAAUACCAGCAAAUAACACUAAAUUGUAAACAAUCCAUCAGUUACUAAUCCCUGCCAUCUUAAUAAGCAAACUCUAUGAUUCAUACAAGCUCCAAGAAAAGUAAAAAAAAAAAAGUUAAAUGCACAAUCAAAGGCUCCAACGGCCCCUUGGCCCUUUACUCCUUAAUUUGAAGUCAUCAAGUUCUUUACUGUGUUUUAAAAAAUAACUAAAAAAACCGAUCAAAACAUUAGAAAAACAAAACCUUAACAUAGGUAAAGAAAACAUUAUCUAAGAUCCAGGAUCUUCAUCAACUUUGCAACCUAUUUGAGGUAUAAAGCUACUAACUUGAUGGUUUCUUAUGACAGAUCUAGUUUAGGGCUCUAUUUGUGCAUUUUGGGUCCUUUAAGCCUUGUUUUGAAGUAUAGGCUACUCCAACAGCUUGGGAUAAUAGAUAUAGGUUUUUCUUAGGUCCCUUGUACAUAAAAAUGAUAGCUUGGUGGGUUUAGCUCUACCAUGCAAGGUUGAUGCUCUUCUUAAUGGAGUUUAAGUGCUAGCUUUGGUCUAUGGAGUGCUUUUAGCCAUGCAAAGGCUUCAGUCUUUGACUUUAUGGUUUAAGGCCUUAAUAUCACAAGUCCAUGUUAGUGUGUCGGUUAACCACACACGCUCCACUAACGACUUUGAGAAUGCAAAUAUCACAAUUGCUAUCUAGCUAAAAUCUACUUAGUGAGCAUUCUAACACUCCUAAGUGUACAUGCAACCCUAAAUACCUUGGAUCUAUGUUUUCUCUAUUAUACAUGCAAAUAUGAACUUUCCAAGGUAUUCAUCCUAACUAGCAUAAUAACAUUGAUUCAUAUGAAUAUAUCAAGUUAGAAUUACAUACCUCUUUGAUGUAGAAUGUCUUCAUGAAGCUUGAGUGCCUAGUGCCCCAAGUGUGACACCUCAAAUGGUUCACACAACACCAAAUACACUUGGAAUAGAUUAGAGAGAAAUCCACACUUCAUGAAAAUCGGCUAGCCCUUUCUCACAUACAUAGUGACCGAUUUUGUCAGCAAUAAGAUGUUUAUAUAAAGAAUUACAUACCUCUUUGAUGUAGAAUGUCUUCAUGAAGCUUGAGUGCCUAGUGCCCCAAGUGUGACACCUCAAAUGGUUCACACAACACCAAAUACACUUGGAAUAGAUUAGAGAGAAAUCCACACUUCAUGAAAAUCGGCUAGCCCUUUCUCACAUACAUAGUGACCGAUUUUGUCAGCAAUAAGAUGUUUAUAUAAUUUGUGACAAUUAGGGUAAACCCUAAUUGUCAUGGCUUUCCAUUUCCUUGGAUCCAUGGGUUCAAAUACACCAUGGAUCAUCCUAUGGGUUUUAGCCCAACUUGAUAAUCCAUGGAGUCUUAGCCUACUAUACAAGUAUGGAUGAUUUACACAAUCAACCCAUAUAUUUAAUUAGUCUUCUUUUGAUCACUUAAUUAAUUCUAGAUUAAUUAUUGAUCAAUACUAAUUAAAUAAUCUUAUUAAUAUAUUAGAACUUAUAAUAUAUUAACCAACCUUAAGUGUUAUUUCUCUCAUUUUAGUCUAUCCAAAUACAUGAUGUCAUGCAACCUAAAUGGACCAUGUCGGGUCGGUUCAAGUCUUACCAAUUAUAGUUAUGGACUUAGACAUUAAUCCAACAGUCUCCCACUUGGAUAAGUCUAAAACUAUAAUUGCAAGUAUGACUUCAAGAACCGACUGACAAUCGUAGCUCUCAAAAGCUUCUGUCGAACUCCGACCUUGCCGAUGAUCUCUGACCUUUGUCAAUGACUUGUCCAUUAGAUAAGGGAUCAUAUAUUCUUCCAUUCUAGAUAAAAUAUGGAGUAAGACAUGGAUUAUAAUCAUUCUCUCUGUCCAUUUGUUGUUUCCCGAUUUCCGAUUUAUGAUGACUGACUAAUUAAACAAAUCAAAUCACUCUAGGCCCGGCCGAACACUUACAUUUGUCAACACCAAAUCAUCGAGGGGGCCACAUAUAUCGCUUUUAUCCCGAAGGUAAAAGGAAUGGAUAAACUUCGAAUCAUCUGGCUUGUUCUACUACUUGUUGAAUCAUACACAAAGGCACAUUUUAUAACAUCGAUUUACCAAUGCGUUUUCGUGCAAUCAAUGUAUAACCAACUCAUAGUAACAACUCAUAUCUCUAGGUUUGAAGAAUUUAAGAUAUUAUCGUCUCAUGAUCACUCGUGAUAAAAUCCAAGAAAAGUGAUUCCAAUGAGCGCGGGUUGAAUCCAAUACUCAUAAUUUAUGAGUACUCAUGAGUGUUGUAGCACCACCUUGUCCAACAUCUUAGACCUAUACAAGCCCAACCCAUGACAGUCUUGAUUCAUAUCUACUUCCAACAUAUGACUAACUGUGGAUGGUUUGAAUAACUUAGUCAAUCAAGAAGAACGACCUAGUUAUUCUGGAAGUCAAAACAUGCAAAAUGAAACACAAUAAUAAUUGAAUCCAAUAUGGUCUCAGAACUUAUGAGUAUAAAUAAAAACACCUUUUAUUUAUCACCAUAUGAUUACACAUUAUUCAUUGUAUAUUGUUUCAGCUAUCAACUUUAUUCUUGAAUUAAAACAAUAGUUGUCCCAUGCUCCAAGCAUGUACACUAUGUUUUCUAGACACUAGUCAUGCCAUACACCAAGUAUGCAUAAUAUGUUUGUCUAUGAUCUUUACUUUGUGAAAGAGAUCGAUUGAACAUAAUUCCAAUGAUUCUCAUUUCACACUCCCAAUUCCUUACUGCAAAUGCAAGAAUUUCAAAUUCAUGCCAUUUACUGAAAUUUAUUAGAUUCUAGACUUAUAUGCAUUGAUCUUAUUCUAAUUAUUAUGCACAAAGUCACAAAGACUUGACAACAAACAUUACAGAGCAUUCCAAAAGAGAUCAACUCCUUGGAAACAUCCUUCUUGCAUUAAGUUUCCUAAUCUUACAUAGAUUGAAUAAUUUCUAACUUUUAAACAUUUCCAUAUUCCAUUUUGACUAUCACNGUGUAUGCCUUCUUUGCUAAACACGUCCUCCUUCCAGAUUAUGUCAAUAUGGUCCUUCCAGAAUUAUCACUAUACUUCCAACUGUCCUUGAGCAACCAAUCUAUGGUAAACCUUAGAUUUUCCUCGACAACUGUUUAAUGAUCAUUUUAGUCAUAUCCAAUUCUAGACCUUUUCCCUUCUUAAUGCCCUAGACAUUUGGAAAAUUUUAGAAAGGAUGAAUAUAGCACAUGUAAUCGAUGCUAUAUCCGAAGCAUAUGGGACACGAUUCAUGAUGUCUCACAUAAAUACUAAACCAAUCUUUUGCUAUAAUUUUUCCAUUUCAAUUUUCAAAGCUCUCAUAAGUCAGAUUAUGAAAAAGGAUGCCGUAAUCAUAAUCGAAUUUUAGAACGCAAAUAACGGACCCAUAUAAAGAAUUUCUUUAUGUUGAGCCAAUCCAACCUAAAAUUCAUAUAUAUCCUUGACUAAAGAUUUAAAACCUCAAUCUAAACUUUUAGAUUUGAGAUGAAGUAUAAUUUCCUCUCCCUUAAUUAUAGCAAAACAACUUUUUCCCAAUUGAAACCUUUUGUUUUCUAUAAUUAACAUUGCUAACUUGCAACCUUUAUCAUAAUUAUCAUGCUCUCACUAACAUGAUGAUUAUUAGCAUAACACUUAUGCUCCCACUAGCUUUGACAUGUACUUAGAAAUUAGCUGAACUUCCAGAAAAACAAUACUUUAUUGACUUUCUUACCAAAGUUCAGAUUUCUGAUACUAUAUUGCUUUGAUAAAACUUUAUCAGUAUCAUACUCUUUAUCUUAGAUCGCUCACAGGUGUGUCUAAACAAUUUUAAUAGCUAUGAAAAGGGAUGCCGUAAUCAUAGUCUCGAUUUUUUAGACCUUUUCCACUUCUCACAAGUCCAUGUUAGUGUGUCGGUUAACCACACACGCUCCACUAACGACUUUGAGAAUGCAAAUAUCACAAUUGCUAUCUAGCUAAAAUCUUCUUAGAGAGCAUUCUAACACUCCUAAGUGUACAUGCAACCCUAAAUACCUUGGAUCUAUGUUUUCUCUAUUAUACAUGCAAAUAUGAACUUUCCAAGGUAUUCAUCCUAACUAGCAUAAUAACAUUGAUUCAUAUGAAUAUAUCAAGUUAGAAUUACAUACCUCUUUGAUGUAGAAUGUCUUCAUGAAGCUUGAGUGCCUAGUGCCCCAAGUGUGACACCUCAAAUGGUUCACACAACACCAAAUACACUUGGAACAGAUUAGAAAGAAAUCCACACUUCAUGAAAAUCGGCUAGCCCUUUCUCACACACAUAGUGGCCGAUUUUUUCACNAAUAAGAUGCUUAUAUAGUUUGUGACAAUUAGGGUAAACCCUAAUUGUCAUGGCUUUCCAUUUCCUUGGAUCCAUGGGUUCAAAUACACCAUGGAGCAUCCAUGGAGCAUCAUAUGGGUUUUAGCCCAACUUGAUAAUCCAUGGAGCAUUAGCCCACUAUACAAGUAUGGAUGAUUUACACAAUCAACCCAUAUAUUUAAUUAGUCUUCUUUUGAUCACUUAAUUAAUUCUAGAUUAAUUCUUGAUCAAUACUAAUUAAAUAAUCUUAUUAAUAUAUUAGAACUUAUAAUAUAUUAACCAACCUUAAGUGUUAUUUCUCUCAUUUUAGUCUAUCCAAAUACAUGAUGCCAUGCAACCCAAAUGGAUAAUGUCGGGUCGGGUCAAGUCUUACCAAUUAUAGUUAUGGACUUAGACAUUAAUCCAACAUUUUUACCCUGGGAUUUGGACAAUUGAAUGAGAUUCAUGGUUUUUGUUUAUGGCCCAGCUUGUUAAUUGGGUUUAUUUGAUUGGCUAGCGCGUGGAUUUUUUGGAUUAACAGUCUGAGUUUUUAUUUGAGAUAUUCAACAACUUGAGGUGUAGCGCCCGCAGAUUCGGGCUAGUCAAUUUAAAGACGAUAAACAUCAAUAUUGACUUUUUGAUAGAGGAUUAUGUAGAAUAAACAAUAUUAACUAAAUUGUAGGAUAGGUCACAAGGUUUCUGUACAUAUAAAGAAUGCUGAAAUCCGAGUUAUAAGAAAGAAGUGAUGACCUGUCGAAGUUUCGCGACAAAACCGACACGACACGACACCGGGAAUCAUAAAAAGUGAGUUUACGAUAAAGUACUUCUUAGCCUUAGGGGUGUAAAUGAAAGUUGUAGAGUACGUCUCCACCUACGCGUGGAUAUAAAGAACAUAAAAAACGGAGCUCGUAUGCAAAAGUUAUGACCUUCCAAAGAUGCAACUGUCUGAGAGCAUGACACGUGUCACAAACCCUAAUCUGACUGGGCUCACGACGUGAGGAGUCAAACAGACACUAAUUGAAGCUAGAAAACACUUGGGAUGGCUACCAGAUGACUCUUGGAAGCUCACGACAUGAACAUAUCAUUCUCACGAUGUGAGAAGUCAUACAGACACCUUUCAGAGCUAUAUAUGCAAAUAACAAGUAUACGAGGUGAGCAGGCAUGACUCACGAUGUGAGCAUUGAUUCUCAUGACGUGAGACCACCAAAAAUCAGCCUAUAAAUAGCAAGUUCGACCCUAAGGUUCCUUACACCAAAUUAUUUUUUCUAUCUCUCUUGUUUUCGAAGGUAGUUUCCCUUCAUGAGCCCGACGAUCAUGAACCACUGAUCGUUUCUAGUUAGAUUCUAUCAAAUCACGCUACUAAGUGCAUAGUUACUUUCAUCUUACACAUACAUAUGAAAUAUUUAAUAUAAAUUACGUGUUAUGUGUGCAUAUUAUUUGUGUUCCCGAUAUCUAUGUUGGAUGAACGUUUUAUAUAUGUUUUAAAGGAUUUAAAAUGUAUAUAUAUUUUAUAUCUACAUAUAUGUUGGGUAGAACAUGGGUAGAUAAAUAAUGAGGGAUGAAAGAUGAUACAGAUGAAUAUUGGCAUCUACGCCAUAACUCGUAGGUAUUUGAUUUAAGUGUUCACCAGAUGUACUCUAAAUAUCCUGGCAGCUGCGCCUAAAGGAUAAUACCGGCACCUGAGCCUAAUAGAGAACAUCAUUAUCCUGGCAGUUGCGCCUAAAGGAUAAUAUCGACAGCUGCACCUAAUAGAGAAUGUCAUAAUCAUGACAGCUGCGCCUAAAGGAUAAUAUCGGCAGUUGCGACUAAUAAAGAACGUUAUAAUCCUAGAAGUUGUGCCUAAAUGAUAAUAUUGGCAGUUGUGCCUAAUAGAUAACAUUGGCAGCUGUGCCAUAGGCAACGAUGGACUUCGUGCCUAUUCCUUAGGAGAAUCCUUAGGAAUGAAAAAGUGAAUGAUAGAUGAUUCUUAGGGUAGAUCCUUAAGAAUAAUGAAGAUAAUGGGGAUGGGUAAUUGGGUUGAUUGUUUGAUGAUUAAACAUAAUAAUUAUAUUAUUAUGGGUUGAAAACCCUAUGUGCUCACCAGGUUUCCCAUCCUGACCCACUCAACUUAUUUGUAUCACAGUUGUCGAUACGAAGCUACAUUACACUGAGAGAUUAAAAGAGAUGUAGAUCACUAUUGUAAAUGAAUGUAAGGUCUAUUUAUGCUUAUGUUUCUGUAUUGACAGUGACAUCCCAAAGUUUUAAUAUUAACAAAAUACAUUUCUUCGGAAAUGCUUUGAUAAUAUGUUUAUCAUGUUUUUCUGGGAACAAAUUCCGCAACAUUUUUCUUUAAUGAGUACUCUGAUUUUCAAAUAAGCAUAAACAAAAUUUUUAAAAUGACCAUGAAUAUGGGGAUGUCUCAUGAGGGGAGUUUCCUUACUGUGUUUGGCGGGUCAAAGGCACCAAUGGAUGCUAGUUGUUUGUGUGAUUCUCACAUGUGUAGUAUGGGAUAUUUAUACCGGGCGGGACGUGAUGAGUGUAUUGUGUGCUAUUUAUCUUAGUGAUUUUUGCAUGUGUUUAUGUGUCUAUAUGAAUGUCGAGCGGGGCCUGAUGAAUGUGAUGAGGCAUGACCCAUCUCAUAUUAUUGACAUAUUUGUUCCGAGCGGGGCCUGAUGGUUGUUUGGCACGACCCAUUAUAUAUUUGAUAUGUAUGGUAUGAGGUAGUUUAGGGAACUCACUAUGAUUCAUGCUUAUUGUAACGCCCGUAGAUCAGGGCUAGUCAAUUUAGAGACGAUAGGCGUCAAAAAUGAAUUUUUGAUGAAAGAUUAUUUAGAAUGAAUAAUCUUAACUAAGUUAUAGUAUAUGUUACAAGGAUUCCGUACAUAUAAAGAACGCCGAAAUCCGAGUUAUAACGAAGAAGUUAUGACCUGUCGAAGUUUCGCGACAGAACCGGCACGACACAACGCGACGUAAAAAGUGAAUUUACGUUAGAGCGAUAUUUAGCCUUAGCAAUCUAAAUGAAAGUUGUAGAAUACGUUAAACCGUGAGCGUGCAUAAAAAGAACGUCAAAAUUUGACUUCGUAUGAGGAAGUUAUGAUUUUUCUAAGUUUCGACUUAGCGGUAUGCAGCCCGAAUGCUCGAUUUGAGACCGAGCGGUUUUUAGCCAAAACAAUCUAAAUGAGAAUNNNNNNNNNNNNNNNNNNNNNNNNNNNNNNNNNNNNNNNNNNNNNNNNNNNNNNNNNNNNNNNNNNNNNNNNNNNNNNNNNNNNNNNNNNNNNNNNNNNNNNNNNNNNNNNNNNNNNNNNNNNNNNNNNNNNNNNNNNNNNNNNNNNNNNNNNNNNNNNNNNNNNNNNNNNNNNNNNNNNNNNNNNNNNNNNNNNNNNNNNNNNNNNNNNNNNNNNNNNNNNNNNNNNNNNNNNNNNNNNNNNNNNNNNNNNNNNNNNNNNNNNNNNNNNNNNNNNNNNNNNNNNNNNNNNNNNNNNNNNNNNNNNNNNNNNNNNNNNNNNNNNNNNNNNNNNNNNNNNNNNNNNNNNNNNNNNNNNNNNNNNNNNNNNNNNNNNNNNNNNNNNNNNNNNNNNNNNNNNNNNNNNNNNNNNNNNNNNNNNNNNNNNNNNNNNNNNNNNNNNNNNNNNNNNNNNNNNNNNNNNNNNNNNNNNNNNNNNNNNNNNNNNNNNNNNNNNNNNNNNNNNNNNNNNNNNNNNNNNNNNNNNNNNNNNNNNNNNNNNNNNNNNNNNNNNNNNNNNNNNNNNNNNNNNNNNNNNNNNNNNNNNNNNNNNNNNNNNNNNNNNNNNNNNNNNNNNNNNNNNNNNNNNNNNNNNNNNNNNNNNNNNNNNNNNNNNNNNNNNNNNNNNNNNNNNNNNNNNNNNNNNNNNNNNNNNNNNNNNNNNNNNNNNNNNNNNNNNNNNNNNNNNNNNNNNNNNNNNNNNNNNNNNNNNNNNNNNNNNNNNNNNNNNNNNNNNNNNNNNNNNNNNNNNNNNNNNNNNNNNNNNNNNNNNNNNNNNNNNNNNNNNNNNNNNNNNNNNNNNNNNNNNNNNNNNNNNNNNNNNNNNNNNNNNNNNNNNNNNNNNNNNNNNNNNNNNNNNNNNNNNNNNNNNNNNNNNNNNNNNNNNNNNNNNNNNNNNNNNNNNNNNNNNNNNNNNNNNNNNNNNNNNNNNNNNNNNNNNNNNNNNNNNNNNAACCUUGGCGACUAUGGAGUUAGCGCUUGUUGAGUAAACCUUGGCGACUAUGGAGUUAGCGCUUGUUGAGUAAACCUUGGCGACUAUGGAGUUAGCGCUUGUUGAGUAAACCUUGGCGACUAUGGAGUUAGCGCUUGUUAAGUGAACCUUGGUGACUAUGGAGUUAGCGCCUGAUAACUAUGGAUUUAGUACUUGAUAAAUAAACUUUGGCAGCAAUGGAAUUCGUGCCGAUUCCUUACGAAUAAAUGAAUGAAGGAUAGUUGGUUCUUAGGGUAAAACCUUAAGAAGAUAAUGAGGAUGGGUAAUUGGGUUGAUUGUUUGUUGAUUAAAUAUAAUAAUUAUAUUAUUGUGGGUUGAAAACCCUAUAUGCUCACCAGGCUCCCAAACCUGACCCACUCAGUUUUCUUUUCAUUACAGGUAAUGGCACAAGGGUAUAAGUUGGUGGACUUGACGAGAGAUUUUGGGAUUAUAGAUCAGUAGUUAUAAAUAACUAUUGUAAGAUCUAUUUUAUAUUGUUUAUGCUUUUGGUCUGUAACGAACAUGACAUCCCGAGGUUUUAUUAUUUAAUGAAAAUACAUUCUUUUCGAGAAAUGUUUUGAUAAAUGGUUAUCAUAUUUUAUUUUGGGAACAAAUUCCGCAACCGUUUUCUUUAAACGAUCACUCUGAUUUAUAAAACAAAGCAUAAACAAAUCGGUCUUUUCUGAGCGUGAAAUUGGGGAUGUCACACUUAUGGUUUUCAUUUUAUAUUUCAGGUACUUACGGAUCGAAGGGGAACAACUCGGGAUGAUCGCAUCGCACACACCACAAUGUUCCGCAUUUUAUUUGAUUAUGAUGUAACUGGAUGAUUAUUGAUAUACACUGGUUUCAUUAUGGUUUUUAUGAAACGUUUUGGAUGAUGGUUUUAUUAUUAUAAAAAUAAAAUUUUUGGUCUUAAAAUUUAGGACGUUGCAAGAAUGGUCAAGUGUUGUCAUCCUACUUUGAGGGAUGACCAGACAUACCGUUAAGUUUCCUGAUCUGGACCUAUCAUUUUUGGUCAUCCAAAAGGAAUACUAAGAUGUACUCCGAUACGAAGCUACCUUACAUUGACACCUAAAGGUGUCACAUAAUAGGACUCUACUUUCCGUUCCUAACUUACACACCUUUUUUGAAUGAGAUUACCCAUUAUCAAACUUAAUUGAACUGAGUAUCCUUUACAAGUCCUACUUUCGUAAUAAGCAAUACUAUCGGGCUUAUAAACUUUUCUCAAAAUACCAACUCUUAUUUUUAGGCAAUCAUAUCCUAAUAUUAACAUAGAGUAUUAGGUAUUACUAUUUCUUCUAUCUUUCUUACUAAUCAUACUUUGAUUACUUAAUUAUCAUAUUAUCUAUAUACUAUAACACAUAGAACCAUNNNNNNNNNNNNNNNNNNNNNNNNNNNNAUAUAUAUAUAUAUAUAUAUAUAUAUAUAUAUAUAUAAAUAAACUUUUAAACAGAUAUUUAAUACUUAUAUUAAAAUCAUGUUCAUGAAAUGGACUAUGCACUACUUGAUGAAAUGGGUGACUGACGAUUUUGGCAGCACUUCGCUUCACACUUCCAAAGAGACAUAGGCAUAUAAAGCACUAAGCCUUAGUCUAGUUUCAUAAUCCUAGCGACUAUAAUAAUUAUAGUCUAUAUUCCUCUAUAAUACUAAUCUCUCAUCAAUAUCUACCGAGUAAGGAAUAACCAUGUAGGAUCAUAUUAGAGGUAGGGUCCGUUUGAUAUACAUAGUAUACUGUUUGGAGAUCCCACUUUAAAUACCUUACUAAAUCCAACCUGGACAUCAUUCCGUAAGUAGUUCAAUCAAUAUAAUGACUUGGAAUCACUAAUAAAUCUUAAUUAUAUGUUCAUAAUUACCACUAUGAAUAUGAUUCAAAGUUAUACUUAAAUAUAAUAAGUGUAGCUUAACUUAGAGAGUAAUCUAGUGAAAACCGGGAGUUACACGGGCAUAACUUCUCACCGGGGAGCUUAUAUUCACCAGCUAUCUGACACUGUAGGGCUUCGUUAAAGGGGUUGAGAACUUAAAACUAAAGAAAUCUUAGACUAAAAAAGAAAGAACUCGAGAGAGAAUCGUUGGAACAUGUGAGGAAGGAAGUGAGAUGAAGGCAACUUUAUAUAGGCCAAAUUGACCUGUGUGCCGCACAUAGAUCAGGUGCACGCCACGCAUCUGGUCGGAAGAAGGUGACGUGCCUCUCUCUGCAUGGUGCCACAUGUCGCAUUCUAAGUGGUGUGUUAGUGCACAUCGCACAUGCUGUCUGUACGCGCGACUGCGUGCGAAUUUUUUGUUUUCUUAGAAAAUUCAUAACUUGCUCAUAUGAGCUCUGUUUGUGAUGAUUUGUAUAUCUACAUGUAGCUAUUGACGAGAUCUACAACUUUCGUUUAGACUCCGUUGGCUAACUUUGAUUUUGUUUUUAAAGUUAUGUUUUAAAAGACUUAGACUAUUAAAGUCCGUUAAAAGUUCAAAACUCUCUCUUUCGAUGUAUGUUCUCGACUGUCUUUAGAUUGAUUGGUUUCUAUUAACGAGAUAUUUGAUUCUCAUUUAUAUUGUUUCGGUUAACAAUCAACCGAUCUAAAAGUUGAUAUUAGUGUUGCACAUUGUUACGCUGGAACUUAAAAAAAUCAUAACUUUCUUUUACGAAGGCAGAUUUGGACGUUUUCUAUAUGCACGUUCUCGGUUUAAUGACUGCUACGACUUUCGUUUAGGUUACUUAUGCUAAUAAGCAACCUAUCCGGAACCCAACUGAUGCCAACAAUCAAACCAGUCACUUAAAACACUAAAUUGCAAUAACUACCUCUCUCUCUAAACGCUAAGACCCAGCUCAUAAUGACGCCACUUAAACAAUAACCUCCAAAAUUGUAUCUACUAACCAUCUCCAUCAAUGUACUACACAAAAUUGGGAGCACAACAGUCCAAACUCUAGAGACAUACAUAAUGGGUGACGAUCAUCCACUUGUCAUUCUUACCCCAAGUCCCUGACCAGGAAUACCAGUAAAUUGUGCAUAACAACACUUAAAACAUUUCGAUCAAGGAUUCCAACCCAUACUAAAUUCGAAAAUCGCUUAAAAGUUCUCAAAUACACACUAGACUUCCAAAUAAGUCGUGACUAACCAACUCUUCCCACGAGCAUAACCAUGGUCAAUACGAACUCUCGCAUGACACUCAAGCUCCCACAACAACUCAUGUGCACAACCAUUUGCCAAAACAUCCAAGAGACUUAUAACUACUCGUAUCACUGGUAACUUAACUCAUACGGAACGUUAUCAUAAAGCGAACAUAGAUCCACAAGGAAGAAAACAAUUUUAAACUUAGAGUACAUGUAAAACACCAUGUUGGAUUUAACAACAAACUUAGAAUAUAUUGCAACUAGUUAUACUGCAAAGAAUAAUUAUGUGACUAAAAGAGAUUCAUCAGUGACCUCAGUGUUGAAUUCAAUCACUGAUGGUCAUUUUGAAGUUUCUGUGACUAUAAGAGUGAAAUUAUCUUAGUGAGGAUCCCAAGUCACACAAGCCCAUAUGACAUAUACUCAGUAAACACAAUCACAUCUGAUAGUUAGCUGAAUGUAAAGAUUUCAUAAUCAAUAGAGUUACAUUAUUAAAAGAGAAACUUGAUGAUAUAUUCUUUAAAUCAAUGUCAUUAACCAUGUAUGAUAGUCACACAAGGUCAAAACACAUUAUAUUUGCAAAUGAAUUGGUCUGGGCACCUGGGAACCAAAACGGUAUAAAUUUUUAUUUGAUGGAGAUCAGUCAUUUCAUUAGUUUAUUAAUGUAUUCAUUUUGCUUAUAGAAGUGAAAUUGAUCUUCAAAAUCUAUGUUUUUACAUAAAUCUAUGCGUGUUUGUGUUUAUCUAGUUUUUCAUACGCACACAAUGGUAGGACAGAGGGGUAGGGGUGGGUUAGGGGAUUUAAUUUGUUUGUUUUAUCAAAUAAAAAUGGUAAAACUUUUAAAAAUAAUAGGAAAAUAAAUUAAAGAGUAAAAUAGAUUUUUUCAAUUUUAACGGUGACUAAAUCUAUGAAUAAACAUUUUCAAAAACUAUAUCUAUAAAUAAACAUAUUCCAAAAGACCAUUUUGUUCAAAAAGAUUUUGACCAAAAUCCAAAAAACAGAAUGGCAAACUACGACAUCAUUUUUAUAAGUUUUGUCUAGUAAUAUUUAUGAUUUUUGAAAGUCUAAUUUAACUAUAUAAUAUAAUUCAUAUAACUUUUUUUAAUAUAAAUCAAAUAAUAACUAUAUCUUUUGAUCCUAUAAAUAUUGUAUAAAAAUCCGUUAAUUAUAAAAUAAUUGAGAAUUUGAAAAUGAGGGGAGUGGAUCCCAUUAAAUCAUUAAUGCGGUCUUUUAUUUUAUCAAAAUUCAAUAAUUGAAAAUAUAAUAAAACCAAUUAAAAACAAGCUGUGAUUGACACUGACACUUUUCUAGUUUUAUUUUUAAUUUCUAUUUUGGCUUUGUACCGACGGAGUAAUAGAUAUAAGUUCAUCUUCAACCCAAAACUUUAUCCAAUUUACAAAAGUACCCCUUUUUAAGGGGCAUUUUCAGUGAUUACCGUAACAUGAAGUACCUAUCUGAAACUUCAUCAGAACCCUCAACGGUAAACUCUUGGUAUGAUGUGGGGUAUAUAUCUAUGCGUUUGCCAAGAACUCUCAACGCUCUUCUUCUCUCUCUUCUGUCGCUCUCCGUUUUAAACCUCAUCAAUCAUUUGAAAGAGAGCGAUCCACCGAUCCUCAUCAAUAUUUCUCAAAUCUUUGGAUUCCUUGAAGUUUUACUGAACGUAUGUUUCAAAGAAAGAUACGCCUGCUUCUGGUUCCCCGGUUUGAACGAAGGCUCUUGAUUUGAGGUGAUAUUCGUCGUUCCUAUUAGUUUAUGCAAUUAUCACGCCAAUUAGUUGAUCAAUUUCCAAUUUAAUGUGCUUUCUGAAGUGGGUCUGUAUCGUUGUUCGGUACUGUUGGUUCAAUUUCGAUUUAAUCGUUGUUUAUUUGGUGAAUUCUUUGUUUUGUCGUCGUGUAUGCAGUUGCGAAUAUGUGGUUGGUGUUUGAUGGUUGAAUUAGGGUUUCAAUUUUUGUGUGCGUGUUUUUUCGUGUGAAAAAGCAGGGCCCUUUACCUUUUAGUAGAAAGUUCUUCAAUUUUGGUUCAUAAAAGAUUAGAUUAGGUCAGUUGUUAGCGUUGGAUGAAUCUUUGCUCUGGAGAAUCGGGGCUUUUCAUCUCAGGAAAAACUUAAAUUUUUUUUUGUUGCAGAUACCUUGUUUUUGUGUAUUUGCCAUGAAUUUUAGGGUUCGAUCUUACUUUUCUUUCGUUAAUGUUUACUUGGAUCGGCACUUUAGUUACUGCUGCGCGUUUUGGUUUUAAGCCUUCUUUGUGUUGGUAUGCAUGUUUAAUUUUGCAAAACUUUCAUAUGCACAAUUUUCUGUACAGUAGGAAGGCAAUAGGAGUCGCCAUAGAACAAUCAAAAUCCUUCUUUAUCAUGUUGACAUGAGUUUAUAUCUAAGCAUAGGUCUUAAUGAAGAUCAUCACUUGGUUCUUAUACACUUAUUAGAAAGAUGAUCAGUCCAGUUUCCCAUCAUUCUCAUAAAUUUGCAGCAUUAGAUCCCCUCAUCAGCUUAGGAACAUAUUUCUUUGUUCAUGAAAAUACACAAAAUGAUUUAGUUCGCCCCUCUAAUUGCUAAGUUUCUUAACAGGUUACUCAUCAACAAUCUACUCUUGUCAUUUGGGUGCUACACAACUGACUUGUAGCUUCUCGUCACCAAUUUAAGCCUUUUUUGAUUCAUGGUACGCAACACACAAACACACACACACACACACACACACACUUUUUUGAUUCAACAAUCCAUUUGUCCCUCUUUGUAAUCUUAAAUUUGUAAUUAUUGUAGGCUACCAACGAGAAUCUUCCUCCAAAUGUAAUCAAACAACUUGCUAGAGAAUUGAAGAAUCUAGAUGAAAUCCCACCAGAAGGAAUCAAAGUAGGAGUGAACGAUGAUGAUUUUUCAACAAUCUAUGCUGAUAUUGAAGGCCCAGGUAGAUAGAUGUUACCUUUAUAUACAUAUGUAUAUUAUGUAUGUAUGUAUAUCUAUACACAAGAGACAUAUUCCUUUGUUCUAACUGAAUACCGGAUAUACAGCUGGCACUCCAUACGAAAAUGGUGUUUUCCGAAUGAAAUUGAUUCUCAAUCGUGACUUCCCCCACUCACCUCCUAAAGGUUUGUUUGUCUUUAGAUUUGUUCAUGUGGUUAGUUAGUUGUAUGGGAAUGUUUAAAACCUUGUUUGUGUUCCCAUUUGUUAGGUUAUUUUUUGACCAAGAUCUUCCAUCCCAAUAUUGCAACUAAUGGUGAGAUAUGUGUCAACACACUGAAAAGAGAUUGGAACCCUAGUCUAGGAUUACGCCAUGUUCUAAUUGUAAGUUUCUAGAUUCGUGUUUUCUUUUUUACUUCCUAAUUUGGACCUUUGAUUAAAAAUCUAAAUCCAUUCAUGUGUUGCAGGUAGUCAGAUGCUUGCUGAUUGAGCCAUUUCCAGAAUCUGCAUUAAAUGAACAGGCUGGCAAAAUGCUGCUUGAGAACUAUGAAGAAUAUGCUAGGCAUGCAAGGUUCGAUUUUGGCUUGUAUUAUCUUAUUGAUGAUGAGUUAAAUAGUUAAAAUUCAAGAGAUCUUGAUUCAAUACUAAAAAUACAUGACAGGUUAUAUACUGGAAUUCAUGCACUGAAGCCAAAACCAAAGUUUAAGACGGGGGCAAUAUCGGAAUCAACCGCUGCUCUAAAUGUUGACCAGACAAACACCUCAGUUUGUAGCGUUGACCCGAAAACCGCUGUCUCUGGAGCUGUAGUGCCGCCUCCUACGCCCUUGGCUCCUUCAUUGAACACCAUGAAAGGGGCAAGUGGUCAGGAACCGCCAACCACCGCCCUGAACUCAAUAGUUGAGAUGGGAGUAAGUAGCGGAUCUGGAGGUGGUGCACCGCCACCAACGGCGGCGGCAGCACAUAAUAAGAAGGAAGGUGGGUUGGCGAAAGCUCAAGGGGGGGACAAGAAGAAGAUUGAUGCUAGAAAGAAAAGUCUGAAAAGAUUGUAAUGUUUUUGUUUGUCUCUUGGUUUUUUAUGUAUGAUUGAAUUUGGUGAAUGCAAUGUGAUUUUCUGGUUUCUAGGGACUUACUUGAUUUUGAUGGAUGGGGAUAUCAUAUCAGCUGUAGAUAUGUUGUUUCCAUAUAUCAUAUGUUGUCGAUAUAUAAAAAUCCAGUUCCUUUUUAUCGGUUUUGGUCAUUACAUAAAUAUUCAGUUCCAUAUGGGGAUAUUAGGGAAACCCUCUCAAUCCCCAUUAAAACCUUUCCUCAAACCAAAUAAAAAUACUUUGUAUUCUAAUUAUAAGUCUUGUAAAAAACCUGGUGUAACAAUAUAACUCCUUUUUCUUGCUAUGUUUGGGUUGGGCCUUUUGUAGGUUUUGGAUAGAGCCCUUUUGCUGAUUUUGGUCAUUAUAUAAAUUCGAUCCUUUAUCUGUUUGUCGGUAUCAUUUUUCUAACUUUGGUUUUAAAAUCAAAUUUCUAAUAAGGUUUCAGUUACAAAAAAUAAAUAUUCAGUACAAACCCCAAGCCUAUGGACUUUGUUUUCUGGUCGACAAAUGAUGUAUUUUUGUCAGCAGACUGACAUACAAUUUUAGUGAACCAAUGACCGUUUUGGUUUACAUUUGUACCCUCUAUGUCUGCAAGAUAGAGCCUUAUGUGGAAGAUUUGAUAUGUUUGGGUCGAGCCUUAUAUUGCUUUUCAGGCCUUUUGACCAUUAUAUAAAUUAGUCUUUUUUUUUUUUUUUUUUUUAAAUUACGUUUUACAAUAAAUCAACUCUUUUCUAUGAGAGAUUUAGUACGUUUAGGUGGUGCCUUUUUGUUAGUUUUGGCCACUAUAUAAAUUAGAUCAUUUUUAUACUUGCAUUUUAUGACAUUGUCCAAAGGGCGACGAUUUGGAAGAUUUUGAAACAUAGAAGGGUACCAGGGUGUUGUGUUAGAUUCAUACACGACAUGUAUUGUCGAUCAAUGACAUGUGUUUGAUUUUGAAAGAUAGAAGUGAUAUCGUCUUUCCAUGUAGGAAUUAAGCUCCAUCAAUGUUCGACGCCUAGCUCUUAUAUCUUUGCAGGUAUUUUGCAAGGUACAAAGAGAGGCACCAGGGUGUAUGCUUUUUACAUACGAUAUUGCAAUGGUUGCGGAGACUAGGAGUGAGCUGAAUGGUAGGUUGAAUACAUGAGUUUUACAUAUAAAUUAUACAAAUGUUUGUACAAGGUUUCUAGAGUAAAGUUAGUCAUUUUAUGUUUUCACAAGAUGCGACAUGACUUUAUUUUAUAUAAAUUGGCACUCAAAAUCUAUAUAUAAAAAACAUUUUGGUCAUGAGAACCGUAUAAUUUGAUAUAAGUCUGAAUUAUUUAUAUGUAUUUUUCCAAAUUUUAUACUUUUGGAUUUGAACAAACAAUAUUUAUAAAUGAGUCCAGGUACAUUUUUAUAACUCAAUUAUUUUAUACUUUUGAUAGAAUAAUAUGUAUUUAUAAAAAUUGGUCAACCGGAUAAAUAUUAUAAAACACUUUUGGUUAUAAAAAUAUUUUGUGUCAAAACCUGUAGAACUCACCAACAAUUUUUGUUGACCUACCUUAAUGCAUGUAUUCUCAGGUUUAUUAGCAGGUUAGAAGAUUUUUCAUAGAAGACUUUCCAUUGUUUUUUACUACACAUUUGUAAACAUCGGUUGCUAGGUGUGUGUCGCGAUUUAGUGAUAGUUAUUUUCAAUGUAAUUUCUAUUACGGUAAUAAUAGAAGAUUAUAUUUGUACUAUUCAAUGUAUGUUCAAUAAUUGUGAUCACUGAUUUACAUCGCGCACUUCGGCGUUUCUGCCGGCGUCCGGGGUGUGACAGGUCAAAAUUGGUUAAACUCAACAAACCAACCAAGUCAACCCAGCCUCGUAUGCGGGGCGUACACAGAUGUAUGUAGGGUGUACUUGCUAGUUGACCAGGAUACGAGACUUGACCGCGUAUGCACGGCGUACCACCUAGUACACCCAGCGUACGCAGUUGGAUGCUUCCCAACUCAUUAAAUGCUCAAUACACAAACCCUUACGUCCAAAUUACAGAUCUAAGUCCCAAAUGUUGUCCUUGACCAUAAAAUUUCCAACUUUAUGGGCUUGCAAGGACAUUAAGUGCUUAACACUAAAAACCCCAACACCUUAAGCCAUUAAGACAAUCAUACUCAUGCACGGGGAAGAGCCAAGAGUCAAGAUCCUAUUUUUAUUACUCUAGACCUAGUAAAACGUCCAAAAGGACAACCCAUAUGUUCUAUAGCAUGCCAUGCACAAGAAGGUCAUAUUUUGGGGACAAAACAUUAAUAUCAUCAUACCAACAAGAUCUAUCAAGUUAAUCACGAAGGUAUGAACUUUAUACCUUCUGGAGAUUGAGGAUGAUGAAAAACUUUCGGAUCCAAGCUUGUCUCUAGCUUCCAAGCUUCACCACCACCUUCUUCUUCCUUUGAAAUGCACAAAACCACACUCUCAAGCUUUAAGAUGCAACAAUGGGGCCAUGGUUUACAAGAGGGAACGUUUCUAGUGAUGGAGGCUGGAUAUGGGAUGGGAAAAUGGGACUUAAGGUUCAAUAUAUAGGGUCCAAACCCUAAGGAUUAGGGUUUAUGUCUAGACGGAGUACGCCCAACGUACUACCAAAAUGUCAUCGUUGCACCUUAAGCCCAUUAUGCCCAGCGUACCAUCCAGGUAAGCCCCGCGUAACGGCCAAAAUGCCAAAAUUUACAAUUUCAAGGGUUAGAAUGGAAACUUACCAGGACCCGAGUGUUACAAAUAUGUUCGUAGGAGACAACCUACUACUACGCUUAGGAGGGUUGGAGACAAUUAUGUAAGUGGUGAGAGGAGGAGAGGCUGGCCACGAAAAAAACAGAUAGACAACAUGAUGUUAGACCUGAAGGAGUUGGGUAUUUACAAUGACAUGACCUCAUUUAUUAUUUAUUUAUAUUUUUACUUGGUGUCUUUUUUUUUGGAAACAGAUUUGGUUGCCAACCAUCUUACCUCUCCUUCCCCUAUUAUCAUCUUUUGUUGUUACACUACCAUUUUCAAUUUAGAGCAUGAAAGUUUUUCGCCGAUUGAUUGUUGUGGAAACAUAUAACGCAUUACUGUAAAAGAUUCCAUAAUCAUCAUUGAACCUUUAAGUCGGUUUUGGUCAUUAUAUGAAUUAGUUCAUUGUCAUUUAUUACUUUUUACAUGAUCAUUUUCAAUUUGAGUCAUGAAAGAUUUUUAUUGAUUGUCGCCGAAACUUGAACUUUUUACUAUAAACUUUUUGGUACAUUUGGGUUGAUCUUUCUGCUCACUAAGCUUCGAACAAGUUCAAGUUUCGCUCAAGUUCAAGUUGCGAAACUGGUCUCUUAAAACCUGUGGAUGUUUGUGUAAGAUUAAAUUUUAACAAUUUUUUUUUUAAAUGAGACAUUAUUCAUUUGUCUUUGAAACCAAAAGGUCUUUGUAUCGGUAUCAAAGUGUUGAAAAAAUGUUCAUCUCCUAAGUGGCUGAGGGUUUAAGUUCUGUGCUAGUCAAAAUGAGUAGUUUAGAAGUAAGAUUUAGUGGGUGAGUGAGUUAGCAAAUGGUCUUUGAAAAUUGAUAAAACGUUUAGAAAAAUAUAAAUUACCCUAAAUGUCCGUUUGAUAAGCUGAUGUUCGGUCCAUGUUUUAAAAAUGAGUAUGUGAAUAUUAAAUAAUCAAAAUCAACCAACCUACUCUAAUGAUACAGAUCGCAAAAAGAAUGUUUGAAUUUACUUUUGUUGUAUGAAUUUAUAAUCAAUUUAAUGGUUCUUUUUAUGUUUUCCAAAUUCUGAUUAUUUAAGGAUGUAGAAGACUAAUCCGGUAUCCAAACAAAUACAUAAUAUCUACUAUAAUAAAUGAAGGUUUUUUUUCCACAUGUCAUCUUCUCUUUUAUUUGGACACAUGACAUUUUCUAGAAUUUUUAAAAUUUCUAUUUUCCACUUGUCAUUUUAUUGUAUUUUUCAUUUUAUUAAAUUAAAAUUCCACAUUUAACGUGUAAGGUAAUAUAUAUGUAAAGUAUUUAUUAGAAAGGGUUUAUGUAUGUAAUGUAUUUAAUACAUUAAAGUCUUAUUAAUUUGUAUAAUUCAAAAUUUUUCUCAUUUUUCUUAUAAAUUCAAAAUUUUCAAAUUGUUAAAAUUUCAUAAUUUUUUUUUAAUUAAAUCUAUGUAAUACAUGGGUCUCACACCUAGUAUUUUAUUAAAUUAAAGCCUAUACUGGGUCGUAGUUUACGCCAGUUACUACCACCGACCACUAAUACACAGAGACCUCAACUGCCACUUCUCUUCUUCACCAUUCGCCUAUCAUCGUGAUCGAAAUCCAUUCCACCAUUUCCAAUCACGUCCAUUCACCCUCCACAAAUCUAACUCUUCCUUUUCGUUUGUGUUAUUUGGAUUUCGUCAUUAUGUUUAUCGUCCUCCUAAAAUUUCCUCAAACUUUAAUCUUUCCUUUGCAAGUCGUCCGGGGCACUCCACCACCACCAAUGCCUCUACUAAAGAUAUCCACUGCCAAAACCCUCAAGAAUCAUCUCAGUGUAAUGCGCUAAACUUGCAAUAUAUGUAUCUCUUUUAUCUUAAUAACCUAAGUUUGGUUUAUUUUUCUAUAUUUGCAUGCUUUCCAAAUGUUUGACCAAAGUUUUGUUCGAAUUUUAGCUUAUACAGUUCGUUAUCUAGAGUUAUGAUUAAAUCAUCAUGUGUCUUGAUCCUAAUAUGAACGAUCUUGAAGCUGAUACAAACGAUGAAGUAAACCAAUCGACUUCUGGGAGGAAAAAGACGAAGUUGAGCCUGAGGUAUUGUACAUUCUCUCACUUUUACUCUACUCUACUUAAAAAACAUACCUUAUAUUUGUUUACAGUUUUACAUAUCGGAGAUGGUGGAGAUGGAGGUUGUGUUGUCCUACAAAAUUGUCCUUGGGGGGAGAAAGUUCAAUCCAUUGCUCAAAAGGUUGUGCUUCAAUUUGGUGUCUCGUAGUGUGAGUUGGCUUUUAAGUUAGUUUGUUUAUUUUCUUUUUUGGAAGAAUUUCAUAUACGCCUUUUUAAACCUCAAAAUAUCAUAUUUAUCCAGCUUAAUUUCUUAAAAUCAUAUAUCAUAUUUGCCCAAAUCCUUUUUUUUAUAAUUUUUUAAAUAUUUUAUAAUCAUUUUUAAUAAUUAAAAAUAUUACGUCUAUGAUAACGGAAUGUGAACUUCUUAAUUGUUGGAAUGUUGCCCUCUUGACAAACAAAAAGAUUCAUCUUCAAUCCUCUUUAUGAAAUGUAUAUUUUGAUUGUUUGGUUUUUGUUGUUGUUGAUUAUUAUCAUGUUGUAGAUGGAUGAUAUUUUAGAUAUUGUCAUUGACAUUUUGAUGUUUAAAAAGUGCAUAUAUGAUAUUUUGAUAUUUAAGAAGGACAUAUAUGAUAUUAUGAUGUUUAAAAAUGAUAUANAUAUAUAUAUAUAUGAUAUUUUGAAAUUUUAUGAAUGAUAAAUAUAAUACUUAGAAAUUUUAUGAAGGGUGAUUAUGAUAUUUAAAAAUUAAGUUGGAUAAAUAUGAUAUUUUGAUGUUUAAGAAGGACAUAUAUGAAAUUGUCUAUUUUUUUUUGACAAAAAAAAUACAUUCAUCAUAGUGGAAACCGGCCGGUUAUAAUGACUUUUUUAAUAGGUAAAUAUAAGUUUAUGCCUUUAUACUAUUAAAAAAAACAUAAAAGGUCUUUUAAAAUAAAUCAUAAUAGUUUGUCGUGUUAAAAUGACAUUAACCUUUUCUAUUAUGUAGACUUAUAUUACGUGUUAUUUGAUGUAAAAAUUAGUUCGUUGAAACUUUACUAUGAAACUAAUUUGUAAACUACUUUUUGAUCCGAAAAACAUAACAAAUUAAAAAAUAUGACAAGUUAAAACCAUUUGUGCCAAACAUACAAGUUGUGCCAAACAUAGCUGUCUAUAUAAUGACCAAAACUAAUAUUACCAUAUACAAAUAAGGAGAGGUUUUGUGAAUUUGCAUGAAAGUCUCGCAAAAUUGGUUAAAAUGACAAAUGUGUCAUUUUGUUUGACCUCAUUAUAAUCAAUUUUGUUAUAGCGUUAAUGAAACGAAUUAUUUAAGUUUCAAUGUCAAAAGAAGAGUAAAAAGUAUAGGUUUUUUUUUUUUUUUUUUUUUUUUUUUUUUUUUUUUUUUCUUUUUUAAAUUUCAAAAGUGAGGUAACCAUAGAAUUUAUCAAAUCUUAAUAUACAAACUUCAUGUAAAAAACAUGUAUGUAAAUCAUAGCCCCAUAGAUAGAUAGAUGAAAAAAAAAAGAGAAAUAGAAAUAGAAGAUCCAUCGAUGAUGUUGUUUAUUUGUUAGCACCAACGGCAUCCUUGGCUCCCUCCGCGACUCCUUGUGCUUUGGCCUUCAUCUGUUGACCACCCUGUACAUAACAAUAACAUGCUAAUUAAAAAACCAUAUAUGCACGCAUUUUGGACUUAUUUUGCAAUUUUUACGUGUCUAUUAAAUUUUAAUUAAUUCUUUUCAACCAUCUAAUCUAUAUACAGCUCUACACCCACAACCACAAACACAAACCUCUUGCAUGCUGUCCUUUGCAGAUUGGGCUUUAUCUUGAGCCUUUUCGACCAAAUUGCUAGCCUUCUCCUGAAAACAUGAAGUACUACUGAAUCAUCCAUCAUAUGAUUUUAUGGAAUAACAAACAAAUUAAUUAUAAAAUUUGAUGUAAAUCAGAAAAUGGUUCUUUCGUCAAGGCAAAAACAAAAUUCAAUACUUUUUGUGAUUGAUGCUUAUUGAUCGAUUCGUUGCAUGCAUAAUAUAUAUCAACAUCAACAAGAUGACUUGCAUCAUGCAUAUAUAGCUAGUAUAACAAUUGUUAUCGAUCAGGUAAUUAAAGUUUACCUGUGUCUGGCCUGCAAUUUGGCCAGCAUUGUACUCUGCUUUCUGAGAUUUAUCCAUGUUUAAUUAGUUUUCUUUAGGAUUGCAAAAAUAAUCAGGAAAUUUCAGGCUUUUGAUGAAUCUGUUGCUGUUGUAUAUGUUGUUGUUGUAGGAGACAAGUUAUAUAUAAUUUCAAAUAUUUUAGUCGCAUGUCAUAAUUUGGUGGCGUAUAUGGCUCUCGACCACCUAAGUUUCUCCUUCUUAGACAAUCUCUCGUUCAAAAUGGAUCUCUAGUUGACAGAUCUCCAGCUAUGCCUUAUCUUGGAUAAACCCAUCAAUAUAUACAUUUGCCUAAAUCAGUUCCUAGCUAGACAUUUUAGAGCAUCUUUUUCUCAUAUUUUAUUUUCUUCAACGCAAAUAAUGAAAAAUCAUUUUUAUUAGCACAUGGACAAUGGAUAAUUUAAUACUAAUAGAGAAUUCAAAGGUAGAGCUUAACGAUGUGACAAGUUCAAUUUGGAAGAAACGAAAUGACACAUUGAUAUAACUUUUACAUUAUUCAAGAUUGAUUUAAUAGGAAAAAAAGUUUUUAAAUUCUUAAAUAAAUUUAUAAAUUAAUUUUGAUAAUGUUUCAUUAAAACUUUAUAAAAUUUAAUGUAUUGUUGAAAAAAUUAAUAGAGUUAUUUUAAAUCAAAAUUAAUCAUUCAUUUGAUAUUCCAUUCAACUCUAUAAAAUUAUAAAAUUUAAUGCAUUUUGAAAGCCAUAUCUUCAAAUAAACACCAUGCUUCUAUUGAUUUAUAUACAUCCUUGAAAAAAGCAUGUUAAUAAGGUCUAGAAGCAAAAGGAUCAUCAAGCUCAUGUUUUCUGCACUUCAACUUAAACCAUGGGCCUCUCUCUUUUUCUGCCAACCAUUGGGACUUGGCCAACACAAGCUUUCACUCUCCUCUUCAACUCUUUCCUGCAUAAACACCAUCAGUACAGUAAUCAAAACGACACAUCAAGAAACAAGUAUUUAUAUGCACAGGUCUAGGCAGAGUACGAGUUUCUUACAUCAUGAGGUGUCUAUCGAGGUAUGAAGAUGAAAGUAGCCCUUUGUUCUCUUCAGCUCGUCGCAAAAGGUAAGGCAUGAUCUUAUCAACAGGCCCAAAUGGCAAGUACUUGCUCACCUUAAACCCUGAAUUUCUCAAUCCAAAACUCAUUGCAUCCGCCAUCCCGUAAAGUGAAGCAAACUCCAGCUUAUCGCUUUCUCUACCAAUCCCCAAACCACCUGCCUUUCGUGCGGCCAGUUUCCCUGUUAGGAUCAUUCAUAACACAAACUCAGUUUGAAGCUAUAUCGAUCGUGUUAAAGAUCGUGGAUUUUGUCUCAAGAGAUACCUCGUUCGGUUUUCAUAAUCAGUAUUACCCUGAGUAGUAUACUCCUGAUUCACAAUACAUUUAUCAAAUUUGGUUUACUACAUCUAUAUCCUGAUUCAAACUUCAAGAACAUAAAAAGUAGAACCUUUUUUUAAAAGAAUUUAAACAAAUAUGGAAAAUGGAAAGCAACCCAGAUGAUGAACGACGUAAAGUUUCGAACUUUUACCUGAUUCAAGAUUAUGAGUGGCAAGAAUGAGCCCACCAGGGCCAUUAGAAAGCUCGUCUACCAUGAACGAAGCACAAUCAUUGAAACAACGGUGUGUCUCGUUGAUGCUAUUGUGAAUAGGAGACUCAACACCAAGAGAAUUAGCCAAUUUCCUUUCGCUAGACAUAUAAGCUCCUCUUACUAGCUUAAACCCUAUCGGCAGUUCCAAUUUAUCGGCGGCUUUUUUUGUCUGGAACAACCUCUGCCCGGCGUCCUUCAAAUAUGCUUGAAUGGUCCCGGAAAUCAAGGGCUUUUGACCUUUGUUGUACAUGAUUGCCGCUGAAUAUGUGAAGUAAUCGAUCCCUGGUUGGAUAGAAGUAUCCUCUGCAUCAAUGACUACAGGCACGUUGCUUUCAAUGGCUUUAUUACAUAUGGUGGUUAGUCUUUGUUGAGCUAGUUCAAGAUCAAGCUCUUCUGCCAUGGUCAAAGGGGAGGGUUUUGUUAGUGUGUGGUAAAAAGGACUGCAUUCGACAAAUAUGGGAAGGGUUUUUAGCUUCCAUGGGAGCACAAACGAAGAUGAAUUCUUGUGUUUGUAUUCCCAUCUAAGUAGAUCACUCACUCUCUUUAGCAAAGAGAUUGGGCAGAUAGCUGUGAUCUUCACGACUACAAAACUAACCUGUUGUUCAUAGGAUCAGUAGAUAUAUAGUCUCAGAAAAUAAACAAGAUAGAUUCAUUGAUGUGAAUGUGAUGGAUGCAAAUUACAGAAGACUUACAGAAGAUGGAGGAAGAGAUUGGGUUGAUUCAACAGUUUUGAUGAACUGUUGAGCGUUUUUAUCACACGAUUCAUUAUCAACUGCAUGCUCCAGACCAUAAUCCAACAUCCCUCUUAACCCGGACUCCCAUAAUUUCUUCACAGUUCGACCAGCCUCACCGGCGUCGGAACCGGCAACAAAGUGCUCAUAAACCGUAUGCUUGAUUCCACCUAACACAGCCUCUCUUAACAAACCCAUCUGCAUUAACCUAGAACCCAUCACCCACAUCCCCAAAUCCACUACCGGCUCCACCGAAGCCAUGCUAAGGUUCGCCGCUGAUCGUAUAAGUUUACCAGUCUUAACGGAUGAGAAAAGGCGUUUGGUGUCUUCAAAAUUAUAAACACAGUCGUCAUUGGAGUUGUCGAUGGUGCUUUGUUCCGGCUGUGCUGGAGGUGCGAAGAUGGUGGUGGUUGCCGUGUUAAUCGUUGUUCUCUGAGCAAAACGGAAACGGGGGGUGGUGAAAGAGGGAGAAGACGAGUUAAGACAGCGAAGGAAAGAUGGGAUCAAUUUGGAAGAGAUGCCAUUUGUGGUCAUAGCCAUCAACGGGAUGAUGGCAACGGCAACGGUGGUGGUGGAGGCUGUUUAUAAACCGUAGAAAGUUGCAAGAUUCAGACGAAUUUGUUGUAUGCAAAGAAGCAACUCCUGCGAAAUUGCGAUGAGCGUGUUGAAGCUAGUGAGGUGUAUUUAUAUUCAAGAGUUU